CUAGUGUGAGGAAUGUAUGGAUUAGUCACGUCUAUUCUCAUAGUGUUAGUUAUACAGUAUGUUGCACAAUGGUGACUCAUAUUCUCUUUGUGUCCCUCUGUAGUUGGUGGCUUGAUGCAGUAUGCUUUGUCAUGUCUCAGGCACUAUGGCACGAUGAUCUAUUCUUCUUAAUCUCCCUCUUCUUGCCUAAAAGGCAAUCCAUGCAUUCACUGGAUACAAAGGGUCAAUGGAUAUAUAGGGUCUUACAUUCCUGUGGCCGGGGGAACAACACAGAUACCAGAAGAAUACCAUGUAAGUUUAUGCCUCCCUUUGUUAUGUGUCCUUAUACACGGCUUUGUUGUAGGUUCCCCCUAUGUAAAAAAAUGAUGGAUGUACCGUUCUGCAAGGAUAAGUUUAUAGUUUAAUUUCACUUCCCAUUGCCCGCCUAUAUUUCAUUUUACUCUUCAGUUUAGUACGAACGAUUAUUCCAAUAUAUUUGGCUAUUAAAGAAAUAAUUCACAUUUUAUCAAUAAGAAGUAGAUACACUUUCUACUAUGAUCUGCUACCAUAAUAUCUAUAGGUAUUGGGCAAAUAACUUAAUUAUUAACUUUAUGUGAAAAUUAUGGAUAAAAAUCAUGCUACACUCCUAUCUAGAUUGUUAACUUUCUGGAUCGAGGAUCUCUGGUAACAAUGUUGCCACACCUUCCUAACUUACAGUUCCUCCCAUAUGUUCUACUGUCAGUUGUAAAGCACUGAAUACACCAGUGUAUGUAUGCAUACCUCUAAUGUUAUCAUUGGGGCAAAGGUAAUAAACCCUUAAAUAUGGGUAUAUAUUAUAAUAUGCUAGAGAUCUCAAGAUAUUUAGUAACAAUCUAUGUGGCUCAGUUGAGUGAGUGUGGAAUAAUUUAGAAUUCUCCUAAGUGAAAGAUACCCAGCAUAAGAGAAAAACUCUGCGAGGUGCAUUGUAGUUGUGGUCUAGCAAUUAGACAGCUUUGUUGUCCUCCGUGUGCAACCCUUUGUUGUUCGCAUUAAAUGAAAACAAAUUAAAGGAGAGAGGAAAAAAAAUCCACAUCCAUUUAGAGUAUAUUGAUGAAUAGGCAGAACGCAUGCUGCUUUUUCUACUGUACAACUCUCUCUAUUCUAUGCCAAGCAGUUACCAUAUGGGCUGGGCUUUGCAAGCUAACCAUUGAAUUACAAACACUCUUUUGACUGUGAAUUGAAUAGGGGAGGAUGUCAGUUAUUGCCUCCCUCCUGUGGUCACACCACAAGUGCACCUGCAGCAAGAAACUGGCAUUAAUCCUAUGAAAAGAACCACAUGCUCUUUUUAUUCUGAAAAGGCAAAUCCUAACAUUGGCUGUGCUUACUCAACUCCCAUCUUAGCUAACAGAUUACACAGAUGAAAAAGGAAAAAAAAGCUCUCUUAUAUGCAUAUUUAUUACUUACACACAUUUUUUUUGGCACUCAUCCGCUAGAUUUUUUUUUUUUUCCCCAGCAUUCAUUAAAAUCACGAUUUACGCAGAAUAUUAAACUAAGCCAUUUAUAGCUUUAAAUAAACCGUCCACAUUCCGGGUUCUCCAGCUGCUGUCAUCUCUCCGCUUCCCUUCAGCGACACAUUUCUUCUCUACCGAAAUCACAACCACAUCCAACGACAGUACAGAACCGAGAUCCAUUAAUUACGAUCGCCUUGGCUUACCUGAUUGCAAAAUGUGCGUCCGGGAUAAUACCAUUUUCUGAUCUGUUUUUGCAGGAGGAGGUGUUCGGCGUAAUCAUUUUUCUCUCUCACCCCCUCCAGCCGUAGUAAACUUGAAAUGGAACCUACAAUGAAGUGUGCAAAGUGGAUUGGAGUGCUGUAGAAAAAAAAAAAAUGAUGAUGUCUGGAAGCAGUGAACUGGGCAAUCUAUUAAAUAAGACAGCUGUUCAGCUAGCAGAGGUUUCUUGUCUGCUUCUAUGUAGUAUGACAGCUGAGCUGGCGAUCAGACUGAGAUUUUGCCUGCAGCGCCUGCUGUCGCAGGCCUCCCAUGCCCUGUAUUGUAAGGAGGGGAGUGAUAUGCACUUCAUCAUCUGUUGGCUCAAUUAACUCUUGGCUUGCUACGAAUAUCUCUUAGCCAAGGUACCAAACUGGCACAUCCGUUAUUAACAGGAAAACAUAAAGCUCCAAUUUUAAUUAUUUCAUUAAAAACAGAGAAAUGCAUUUUAUUAAACCAAUGGAUUUUACAGAUUCUUUUUUUCUGUAUAAAUAAAAAGGUUAUACGAUUAUUAAAUUCUCUUGUUACCUGCUGUAUGGCUUAAUUUUGUAUAUAUAAUUUGUUGCCGUGGAGAACUAAACACUAUCUUGGUUAAAGUUGCCAACAACAUAUUAUGAAGCAAAACGUGCAGAAAGCCUUGUGUUAUUAUGAGCUGUUCAUAAAAUGUGAUUUAUGUCGUUAGAGGGAAUGGAGAAACAUUAUAUUUUAUUAAGCCUUUAAAAAUAUACUCACCGCGCGAGAAACAUCUGUGGGUAUGUUUACACUGUGGAAACAUUAGCGCAUGGAAUUUAAAUUAAUAUGGUGUAAUGCAAGCCUAGCUUUUUAUCUAUAGGAUCUAUUUUCAGAAUUGUAUGAUCCGGCGGUUACUGCAUUUGAAUGAGCACCCUUACUUGUUGCUUUCUUUUUGUUUAGGCAAGUUGUGUUAUAAUUUAUAUUAUUCGUUUGGUAUAGUUUGUUUUACUAAAAUGCAAAUAAACCACUCUUUCUUUAUAUGAAAUCUGUUUUAUUGAAUGUGAAAUUUUAAUUUGGUGUUCUGUUCCAGUGAAUUUGUUUAUCGUGUUUUAAGCCCCUCAUUAAAACUGUUUGUAAUGUUUUGUGUGUCGGUGAGGCUGAUUGGAGUAGAAACUUUUAACUGUAUGUAGUGUGUUUCCAAUUUAAGGAAGGAUUAUGGUACAUUUUUGAGGCCGGAGUCAGAAAGUACAUUCCAAACACCACUCAGCUGAAAGGGUAAGGGUAUGGUCCAUCCAGUAAAAAUGUCCUCCUGUAAGCAUUGAAACUGUUGUAAGCCCAUUGUGAUUCAGCUCUGCAGUAUGGUUUAAGUAGUUUAAGUGUUACCCUCCUUAGUCCAUAAUGAAUCAAGAAAGGGGUUGGUAGAUGGCAGGCACUUGAAAAGACCAUGUGAUUAUUGAAUGUCUUAAAGAAGCACAGAUUUAAAAAAAGAUCGACCAUAAAGCAACACCAUAAUUUUAGAAGCAAAUAACACACUACUUUGUUCUGUUGUGUGUUUAAACAGUUGAUAAAAUAAGUUAAAUUCCACCAUAUCAUGCACAAUGCACCUUUCUUCAGAUUUACACUGUCAUAUCAUGACACAUUAGAUAAAUAUAUGAUACCUAUGGAUAGGAUAAAGUGAAACUAAUAGAUGUACGGAACUUAGCUGUUAGAAUAACUAAUAGGCAAAAGUUUGACUCUUAAAAUAUGUAGCGGACCUUCACCAGGUAUCCUGGAUAUCCAUGUACUGAUAUUUAAUAUAUUCCUUAAUUUAUUUCUUAAUGCCUCAGAAUCCAUCCAAUUUCUGUUAGAAAGAGUGUGGGGUAGAUAUCAAUUGACAUUUUUAUAGGUGUCAGUCGCUCUGGGGAUAGUUCUGCUUCAAGCAAGUGUCUGUGCCUGAGGUAAAGUUAGUCAAUAAAGCAUUAUAAUAGUGUUAGAAUGGAGGAGCUAUAAUUCAAUGUGUCCAUCCAUCUUGGCACAGCCCCAACCCACUAUUAUGUCACUUUCACUUUACACCUAUCAUAACAUUUGCAUUAAUGGCUAGAGGAACCCUUUUCUCCUUUACGUUAGAGAAUGUCAGUGGCGGAACUAUAGCCGGUGCAGCCAGUGCGUUGCAUCUUGGCCUGCACACCAUGGGGCCCAUCGGGUGGCCAAUGAACUUGGGGACACCUGAUGGGCAUUGCUGAACAGAGGGCCAGUCGGGCCUUUAAAAAUGUGACAGGCUGGGACGAAGUGCGAGCUGGUCAUUCCUCCCAACUUCUUAUAGAGAGCGCUGGGUCGUCGGGAAGAGGAGGGAGGCUGCUGCACCUCAGGAAGCAUGUGUGUCCAUCCCGAUGAAAGUCUGUGAUACAGACUGAAACGUAAAUUUUUAUUUUGAGCUAAUAAAAGCUAAGUUUUAUUCAUUCAACUUGGAAGUCCCUGGAGUGCUAUCUUGUACUUUUGGCUGUAUCUGUGUGUCAGAGUGUGCAUCUGUGUGUCAGCGUGUCUAUCUGUGUGUCAGAGUGUGGAUCUGUGUGUCAGAGUUUGGAUCUGUGUGUCAGAGUGUGCAUUUGUGUGUCAGACUGUGUAUCUGUGUGUCAGAGUGUGCAUCUGUGUGUCAGAGUGUGCAUCCGUGUGUCAGUGUGUGUUUGUAUCUGUGUGUCAGGGUAUGUGUAUAUGUCAGUGUGUGUAUCUUAACGUUACUCAACAAAUAUGACAUAUGUUAAAAUGAUUGAUACGCUACGGUGCUUUAAUCUAUAAAAUUCUAUGAACCAUUUCCAAUAAUUCAGUCAGAUGAAAAUUAUUUUUUUAUUCAUAGAUAUUAAAUUUAAUGGACCAGCUAUUACUAUUUCUUCAUUGUUUGUUACAUGGUGUUAUAGUUAUUCGGCUUUGGUAUUUAACUUAAUAUUUUACUGAUCACCAACUUAGAAUAUGUCAAAUUAUGAUACUUUUUUUUAUCACCAGCAUAAUGCAGUAGCUAGUAAAUGUCCAUUGUCCUAAGUAAUCAUUAUUUCGCUCCCCCUUUUGUUGAUAAUUGGAGAAUUAAUGGGCCCUGAAAUAGAGACCAAUGUCAUGUAGCAGCUGCAAAAGCACACACAACAUCAUCAAUAAAAAGGAGCAGAUGUCAUGCUUUGAAGCCACAGGCUAAUGGGUAAUAUGAGGAAGUAGCAAUUCAUAGAAAGUAGAAGAACCUUUGGAAGAGGCUCCUGCCUAUACUAGUUAACCUUUUUUUAUAAUGUCAUUGUUUGUAGAUCAAUCGCCUAACACAAAUUGAACUUUAAAUGUAUAGAGCAUCAUGUACGGGUAAUGCACUUUGCAUCAUACAUUAGAAUGUGCUGUUAUACACGUGUACAUGCAAUAACCUCUUAAGGACUUUAAGGGGAAGGGAAACACAAUAUAUCUCAAAAUGUAUGUUACAAAUCGCAAAUAAGAAAGCACCCUCACCCCCACCCCUCUUACUUCUGUACCCCACCCCAAACCCAGGACGAAAGAAGAAUAAUAGAUGCCGACAAGAUUGUUGAAAAUAUUUACUUGCUAUGUACGUAUGUUGAAACUACAGACAAACAACUGAUAUAUGCAUUCGAAAAGUUAGACUACUAUGAAAAGCAGAUUAAUGUUAUGCAAACCUGUACCACAUACUCUAUUCUGUACCCCCACCCCAAAAACAAACAUCUUUCAAAAUAAAGAAUUUAAAAAAAAAUAAAAAAAAUUGUUAGAAAACUUUUAAAUUAUUUAUCAACAAAAAUUCCCGUAGACUUUAAUGGGGUCUUCUGUGCAUAAAUCAUUUGGAAAUUGAAUAUCACAGUUUUAUAUCAAGGCCUAUGUAAGAGAUUACAUGCACGCAUUAGCUUACAGACAGACAUAAUUGUAAGUAAAUAAUAAAUGCACUAACUUUGAUUGGUUGUGUUCAACAGAAAUCCCAGCGGUACAUAACGGUGCAGAAUAAAUCUAUCAGGUAUUACCAGAAAUGAUCAGACUUGACGGGAAAGCCCAUUAGCUUUGCAAGUUUCACAUGCUGUCCAUGUUAUGCUGGCCUCCACCUUGGCCAUGAUUUAUUCCUCUUGGAGCUCUGUAUUAAGACACUGCCCCCUCCCCCCCAAAAAAAAUAUACUAACCUAAUUAUGUUAAAAAAUAUGCACAUUUGUCUGUUGAGCCCAAGUUUGUAUAUAUACAUUUUGGUGAGAUAAUAUUGAGAUAAAUGAUACAUUCUAAACCAUAUUGUUAUUGUUAAUAAAGCUUGAGAUUUUUUAUAUGCACCUUCCCUUUAGCACCCGUGUAUCUACACAUUUAUAAAGGGAAAGAAUAUGUUUAAAUUAAUAUACUUAAACUUAGAAAGGAGAAAUCUUACCUCUUAGAAUUUGAAUGCCUCUAUAAACUAUAACGGGAGGACUUUCGGGUCUUUCAACACACUUAUAUUUAAUAAGGAGAGCAAUCAAUUUUUUUUCACAAUAAGAUAUUAGUAUCGUAGUAAUUGCCCAGUAAGUACACGUUGAACACUGAAUGAUAUAACAGAGAGUGGGGAUUCAAAAUUUUUUAACUUUCUUCCCUCCACUUACAUUAAUUAACCAAUGCUUUUAAUUGACAAAAUGAUGUAGUAUGCACUUAGCUAUUUUGUGAUAUUGAUAUCUAUAAAGCUUUAAUUUGGAAUAUAAAUCUACAAAUAUUUAUAUAAAGCGAGCAAAGUAGGAAGGGGGAUUGGAUGUACUUGUCCAUCUAGGGACAAAUGACUUGGCUUGCAAUAAGAUUUCAGAGUUAAAGGAAGUAUUUUUUUUGUUUUUGCCAAUGAUAUACGGCAGGUUGUUUCCACACUGUCAUUCUCUGAAGUUCUGCCUGUGCAUAACACUCAGCACAACAGGCGGGUGCGUAUUUGGGACUUUAACUUGUGACUUGGUGAAUGGUGUCAUUUGGCUUCAUUUAUCAUUGUAGCUCUGUUUUAAGUGGAAAUAAACUGUAUAAAAAAGAUGGUUUGCAUCUUUCUCAAAAGGGAACACAUGUUCUCAGUGAGCAGUUCAGAGGUUUUGCUAGGAUGUAUUGAAACUAGGAGGGAGGUGGGGGGCGAAAAAGGGUGAUAAAACAUCAAUCCAAUUGGCCCCCAAUACAAGGACAGAAGGUGACUGUAGCAAGUGUGUCAAAAAAUGAUAAACUUAGUCAUGUCUACAAAUGCUUGCAGUUUAGGGAAUAAGAUCCAUGAACUUGUGGCAACUGAUAAUGUAGAUUUAAUCACUGUUUCUGAGACAUGGUAUAAUGAGAAAAAUGACUGGGACAUAGCAAUACCAGGGUACUCUUUAUAUAGAAAAGACAGGGAAGGCAAGAAAGGGGAGGGGUGGCCCUGUAUGUGAAGGCUAGCAUAAAAUCAGGACCGGCGUGUCCAUAAGGCGGCACAGGUGGCCGCAAAAAUUCGAAUCCCUUGCCUCUGGCUGGGGACUCAGAUUUUUCAAUUCACUUUGCUCUCCCUGCAGCCAGCACACAGGAGCCUGGCAGUGAAGUCAGCCGGCCUCUUGUGAUGAUGCCCCUUUAUUUCCCUCUGCAGCCCAUGCCCCCCACAUACUGCCCCUGCCCCUGUGCUCCCUCUACAGCCCUUCUAUUUCUCUCUACAGCCCAUGGCCCCACCAUACUGCCCCUGCACCCACCAUAUGUAACGAGAAUAUACCCCAACACGCAGGAUUCAGCUAAACAAAAGACAACACAGAGGAGAGAUACGUCUACCGGACCUUAGAAUGGCCGGACUCGACGUAUUUGAGAGGAGACAGAGUCAGGAACAAUCCGAAAUCAAGGGCACAGAGAGACAGCGUAAACUAGGACAAGCCGGGGUCUGGUACACAGUAAACAACAAGCCGACAACCAGAACAGAUAAGGAUAAAGAGAAAACGUAGUCAGAAACAAAGCCAAGGUCAAUACGGAGAAACACAACUGAACACAACAAGCGCUAAAGGGAACUGAUACAGAAACCACGAUAGGGCAAGGAACAAAGGAAAGAAGGUGAGUAUAAAUACCUAAACAUCUAAUUUGAUUGGUCCCUGUCACAUCCACGCCCCCAAAAGGUAAGUGUAUGGGGAGUGUGGCAUGACAGGGACCAAUGGGAUGCCUUUUCCAAUUUAGGCACCCACUGUCCCUUUAAGAGCGCGCCCGAUACCCGCGGCGCGCUCUUAGAGUAGGUGGAACACGUGACCGCUACUAGUUACAGCGGUCGGCUGAGCCGCGCGCGGCUCGUGCAGCAGCAGGACCGCGCGCGGCUCGAACAGAGGACCCCGGCCGGCCCCUGGAAAGGGUAAGUACCGCUACAUUACCCCCCCCUGAGGACACGCCCUCCGGGCGGGGAGGGCCAGGCCUGGCAGGAAAACGAGAAUGGAAAGAGCGCACAAGACGAGGAGCGUGAACCGCAUCAGCGGAAAUCCAACUAUGUUCCUCAGGCCCAUAGCCCUUCCAAUGCACUAGGUACUGAAGUCGGCCCCUAAGGAAACGAGAGUCAAGAACUGCAGAAACUUCAAAUUCCUCAUGACCCUCCACAGAAACAGGAGGGGGAGGAGGUGCAUGUUGGGUGUAGCGGUUGCGUACGAAAGGCUUUAACAACGAGGUGUGAAAGACAUUAGGAAUACGCAGAUUCUUAGGGAGACCCAAGGCAUACGAAACAGGAUUAACCUUAUGCAGAAUACGAUAAGGACCAAUAAAGCGGGGAGCCAAUUUCAUAGAAGGCACCCGGAGGCGAAUGUUUCGCGUAGAAAGCAGAACCCUGUCCCCCACAACAUAAGAAGGAGCCGCCCUGCGAUGCUUGUCAGCCUGCACCUUCUGGCGAGCAGCGGAAUCCACCAAAGAACGCUGAACCUGCUCCCAAGUAUUACGCAAAUUAGCCAAAUGUUCAUCCAGAACUGGCAUGCCCUGUGAGGAGAAAGCAGCCGGAAGAACAACAGGAUGUUGGCCAUAUACAACGUAAAAAGGACUCUUGCCGGAAGAAUCAUGAGUAGCGUUAUUCCGAGCAAACUCAGCCCAAGGAAGAAGGUCAGACCAAUUGUUCUGAUGGUGGGAUACGAAACAACGAAGGUACUGCUCCAGAGAUUGAUUGGCACGUUCGGCAGCUCCAUUAGACUGGGGGUGGUAAGCGGAAGAAAAUGAGAGAGAAAUACCCAUUUCCGAACAAAAGGCCUUCCAGAACCUGGAAAUAAAUUGGCUACCCCUAUCAGACACAAUAGAUACGGGAAUGCCGUGUAAUCGAAACACCUCUCUGGCGAAAACAAGUGCUAGUUCCCUGGACGUGGGCAGCUUGUGAAGAGACACAAAGUGAGCCAUCUUGGAAAACCGAUCCACUAUCAUUAGGAUAACUGUGUUACCAUUCGAGGGAGGUAAUUCAACAAUAAAAUCCAUGGACAGGUUAGACCAAGGUCUCUCGGGAAUAGGUAACGGAUGCAACAGCCCACAAACAUCCACGAAUAGUUUAUCAGUAGGUCUCUCGCUAGGUGCCAUGUUUUGUUUCGCUUGUAUGACCUGCAAGAGGGACGAAGAAAUAGACAAAACAGUGGUAGCGAUUAUCCUUUCUGGGGGAAUCACAGGAGUAACAUCAAUCUCCUGUUUGUCAGCAGUUUCGAACUGUCUGGACAGAGCGUCUGCUUUAGUGUUGCGGUCACCUGGCCUAUAGGUGAUAAUGUAAUUGAAAUGGGACAAAAAUAGUGACCACCUAGCCUGCCGAGAAGACAGUCUUUUAGCCUCACUAAGGUAGGAUAGGUUCUUAUGAUCCGUAAAUAUGAGAAUAGGAUCUUUAGUUCCUUCUAACAAAUGUCUCCAUUCUUUCAGUGCUAAAAUAAUAGCAAGGAGUUCGCGAUUACCCACAUCAUAAUUCUUUUCUGCUUUGGACAUUUGUUUGGAGAAGAAGCCACAAGGAUGCAAUGGCUUUUCAGGCGACUCUCUUUGGGAUAAGACAGCACCUACCCCGAUAUCAGAAGCAUCAACUUCAAGAAUAUAGGGCAGUGUGGGGAUAGGGUGCUGUAAAAUAGGUGCAGAAGCGAAUGUGGUUUUAAGAAACUCAAAAGCCUGAAGUGCCUCGGGAGACCAGACACGAGUAUUGCCUCCCUUUCUUGUCAUACGGGUGAUAGGCGCUACAAUAGAGGAAAAACCUUUAAUAAAGCGUCUAUAAUAAUUAGAGAAACCAAGAAAACGCUGAAUGGCCUUCAAACCUUGUGGAAGAGGCCAUUCCAUGACAGCAGAAAGCUUCUGGGGGUCCAUACGAAAACCUUUAGCGGAAAUUAAAUACCCCAAAAACUGGACUUCGGAUUGGUCAAAUAGACAUUUUUCCAGUUUACAAUAAAGACCAUUAGCAAGAAGGGUCUUCAGAACUGUCGUAACAUGCCUGUGAUGAGUGUGUAAAUCUGUAGAGUAUAUUAAUAUGUCGUCUAAGUACACAAUUACAAAUGUGUGAAUAAAGUCUCUUAAAACGUCAUUGAUAAAUUCUUGAAAUACUGCUGGGGCAUUGCAUAGACCAAAUGGCAUAACCGUAUACUCGUAAUGGCCAGAUCUAGUGUUGAAUGCCGUUUUCCAUUCGUGGUCUUUCUUAAUAUGUAUUAAAUUGUAUGCACCUCUAAGAUCCAAUUUAGUGAAUACAGUAGCAUGUUUGAGUCUGUCAAAUAAUUCUGUGAUUAAAGGUAUAGGAUAUGCAUUUUUGAUGGUGAUUUUAUUUAGACCUCUAUAAUCGAUACACGGUCUUAAAUCACCUUCUUUCUUUGAUACAAAGAAGAACCCUGCUCCAGCCGGAGAAGAGGAUCUCCUAAUAAACCCCUUUUCUAAUGAUUCCUUAAUAUACUCCUCCAUGACACGGUUUUCUUGAACAGAUAAAGGGUACACCCUGCCCUUUGGAGGUAUUGUGCCAGGCAAUAAAUCGAUAGCACAAUCGUAGGGUCUGUGAGGUGGUAAUUUGUUAGCCUCCCUUUUAUCGAAGACAGUUUUGAGAAAUAAGUACUGAGAGGGUAUAACAGUGGACAAAGGAGGAGUUGUAGGGACAUUAAUAGAAUUCAAAGGGGUGACUUCAAUAGUACAGGACUCAUGGCAGGCAUCGCUCCAUGAUUUUAUUUGCCCUGACUCCCAAUCGAAAAUGGGAUUGUGAGUACGUAACCAUGGGUACCCUAACACAAUGUGAGAAGAGGGAGAUGUGAUAACCUGGAAUCGAAUGGUUUCAAAGUGUAAAACCCCUGUAUACAUGUGUAAUGGUACAGUUUCAUGAGUAACAAUUGGAGAACUUAAUGGUCUACCAUCUAUGGCCUCAAUGGCCAAGGGUAUCUCCCUUUCUCUGACGGGAAUGUUAUUUUUCGUAACAAACUCAGAGUCAAUAAAGUUCUCAGCAGCCCCAGAAUCAACCAAGGCUAAUAUGCAUUCUGCUAUACAACUCACCCCCAUAUGAAGGGAAACAGGGAGAAGCAAACGAUUAGGAGGCAAUUUAGGAGACUUAGAGAUCACACCCAAGGCCAGUCCCCUAUAAGGUCUUAGGUGCGAGAGUUUUCCGGACGCAAAGGACAUUCCCUUACCAUAUGGUCUCGCCUACCACAGUAUAGGCAGAGUCCAUUCCUUCUUCUAAGUAGUUUUUCAGUAUCCGAGAGUUUGGCAACCCCUAAUUGCAUGGGUUCCUCCUCGGGUACUUUAACACUCUCAGGUUUAUCAACUCUAGGGUUAAUAGAUGUGACCAGACGUCUAUUCUUGUUUUUGGUAUAGAGCCUGUCGCGAAUUCUAUUAUCUAUAUCAAUGAGGUAGUCAAUAAGAUCCUCUAAAUGAAUAGGAAGCUCCCUUGCCGCUACCUCAUCUAAUAUAGUGUCAGAUAAACCUUCCAUGAACGCAGUAGUUAACCCAUUAUUGGUCCAAUCUACCUGUGAAGCAAGGGUACGAAACUGAAUAGCAUAAUCCGCUACAGACCUAGACCCCUGUUUAAUCCUCAUUAAUGCUCUUGCGGCAUUCUUUGACCUCUUUGUUGUGUCAAAAGUUCUACGAAAAGCCGCAAGAAAACUAUUGAAAUCAUGAACCAUAGGUCCAUUGGCCUCCCAAAUAGGAUUUGCCCACUCUAGUGCUUUGUCAGUAAGUUGAUGCAUCAAAAACCCCACUUUAGACCUAUCAGUGGGAAAGGAAUGAGGAUACAUCUCAAGGUGGAAUUCUAUUUGAUUAAUAAAACCUCUGCAUGUCUUGGCUUCCCCUCCAUACCUAGGAGGAGGUGUUAAAUGGGGCGAAGCAUUGGUUGAAUUGGAUACUUCGGGAGGAUGAGGUGUAGGAGGGUUCGGUGCGGUUGCAGGAAUGGUUCUAGACAAGAGCGUCUGGAGAGCCUGUGCUAUCUGAUCCAUACGGUGAUCCUGCUCUACAAACCUUGCCUCGUGAGAAGCCAUUUGCUGAGCCAAAUCUGCGGGGUCCAUGGCCCUAUCGUAAUGUAACGAGAAUAUACCCCAACACGCAGGAUUCAGCUAAACAAAAGACAACACAGAGGAGAGAUACGUCUACCGGACCUUAGAAUGGCCGGACUCGACGUAUAUGAGAGGAGACAGAGUCAGGAACAAUCCGAAAUCAAGGGCACAGAGAGACAGCGUAAACUAGGACAAGCCGGGGUCUGGUACACAGUAAACAACAAGCCGACAACCAGAACAGAUAAGGAUAAAGAGAAAACGUAGUCAGAAACAAAGCCAAGGUCAAUACGGAGAAACACAACUGAACACAACAAGCGCUAAAGGGAACUGAUACAGAAACCACGAUAGGGCAAGGAACAAAGGAAAGAAGGUGAGUAUAAAUACCUAAACAUCUAAUUUGAUUGGUCCCUGUCACAUCCACGCCCCCAAAAGGUAAGUGUAUGGGGAGUGUGGCAUGACAGGGACCAAUGGGAUGCCUUUUCCAAUUUAGGCACCCACUGUCCCUUUAAGAGCGCGCCCGAUACCCGCGGCGCGCUCUUAGAGUAUGUGGAACACGUGACCGCUACUAGUUACAGCGGUCGGCUGAGCCGCGCGCGGCUCGUGCAGCAGCAGGACCGCUGCGCGGCUCGAACAGAGGACCCCGGCCGGCCCCUGGAAAGGGUAAGUACCGCUACACCAUACUGCCCUGGCUGUGUCCCCUCUACAGGCCCUCUAUUUCCCUCUACAGCCCCCACCACACUGUCCUUGCCCCCCUCUACUGCCCCUGUUCGCCCUAUACUGCCCCCUCUAAUGCCCCUGUUCCUCUCUCUAUAGCCCCUCUAUUUCCCUCUACAGCCCCUCCCCCCUCUACUACCCCGUGACCUACUCUUCAGCCCCUGCCCCUAUUGCUUUUGUCCCCCCUCUUCAGCCCCUUUACCCCUCUAUUUCCCUCUACAGCCCUUGCCCCCUCUACUACACCGUGACAUACUCUUCAGCCCCUAUCCCCCCUAUUGCUUUUGUCCCCCCCUCUUCAGCCCAUUUGCCCCCUCUAUUUCCCUCUACAGCCCCUGUCACCCCUCUACAGUGCCUGUCCACCCUCUACUACCCCUGUCCCUCCCUCUACUGCACAUGUCCCCCCUAUACUGCCACUGUCUUCCCCCUCUACUGUGCCCCCACCAUAUUGCCCCUUCCCCCUACAGCCAUUGUCCUCCUCUACUGCCUAUUUACCCCACCAUACUGUCCCUGUGUCACCCCUAUAUUGCCUCAGUGUCCUCCUCUACAGCCCCUGUGUCCCUCUCUACAGCCUGUUUCCCCCUCUACUGCUCCUGUGCCCCCACCAUAUUGCCCCAGUAACCCCCUCUACUGCCCCUGUGCCCCCUCUACUGCCCCUGUCUCCCCCUCUACUGCCCCUGUUUCCCCUCUACUGCCCCUACUUCGCACCAUACUGCCCCUGUGCCUCCACCACAGCCCCUAUAUCCCUGUUACAGCCCUUAAAACUCUUUUACACCCCAUAACUCCACUACAGCCCCUAUUUCUUUACUAGAGUCCUUACCCCCCACUACAGCCCCUCUCCCCAAUUGCUGCCCAUAUCCCCUACACUAUAGCCCCUGUUCCCACUUGCAGCCAUCAACCUACUUCAGUCCCUAUCCCCCGUACUAUAGCCCCUAUCCCUCACUAUAUUUCCUAAGCCCCCAAUUACAGCCCCUAACUCUCAACUACAGCCCCAUCCUCCUACUGCAGCCUCUAACUCCUCACUCACAGCCCCUAUCACCCCACUGAAAAUCACUACCAAUCCCCCUCCCAAGAUUAGGUUCUGGAUCUGCCCUUGCUCUGUAUACCUGUGUCUGUAUGUCUCUGUAUGACUAUAUGUCUGUGUAUGACUGUGUAUGUAUGCCUGUGUCUGUAUGUCCCUAUAUGACUGUGUCUGUAUGUUUCUGUAUGCCUUGUUCUGUAUGUCCCUGUAUACCUGUGUCUGUAUGUCUCUGUAUGACUAUAUGUCUGUGUAUGUAUGCCUGGGUCUGUAUGUCUCUGUAUGACCAUAUCCAUAUGUCUCUGUAUGCCUUGUUCUGUAUAUCUUUUUGUGACUGUGUAUAUAUGUCUCUGCAUGCCUGUAUGUAUCUGAAUGUCUUGUUAUGCAUGUCUCUGUAUGCCUGCGUCUUUAUGUCUCUGUUUGAUUGUAUGUCUGUGCUUGUAUAUCUCUGUAUGACUGUGUCUUUAUUUUUCUAUAUGACCGUGUCUGCAUGUCUCUGUGUGUGUCUGUAUGACUGUAUGUCUGUGUUUGUAUGACAGUGUAACUGUCAGGAUUACUAGUUGAUCCAGCAUGUAGAAUUGUGUCACACAGAUGACUAAUAGGUAACGUGUUACCGGGCCUUAGAAUGGCCGGACUUAACGUAUCAAAGAAAAGUCAGGAUACUUGCCGAAGUCAGGGGAUACAGAAAGAGACACAACGAUAAUAGAAAGCCAGAAUUCUGGGAUACAGAAUACAGGGAAGUCAAAAUCAAAGCCAAAGUCAAAAACUAGAAGAAACUUGAAUCAGGAGCGCGCUCUCGGACAACCACAAGGGAAACCACGACAGGGCACUGAGCAGGAUGAGAACUGGGCCUAAAUCUGAUGGCUGCCUUUGACCCCAAAGGCAGUUACCAGGUUCCUAUUUGCAUAAUUGUUGCUCAGCAUCAACCCUUCUGUGGAUUUGGUUGCUGCUCGGCACAACUUUGUGGACAGUAAAUGCCAUUAACCACAUUUUUAUAAGCGGAUGAAUACGUCACAGUAACUGUAUGUGUUGAAUAUAUGACUGUGUGCCAUAUUUCUGUGACUAUGUGCCUGUAUGUGUGUGGAAGUGGGAAGUUAUCAUCAUGGGUGACUUUAAUCUUCCUGAUGUGAACUGGAAAACCAAAAUAGCUGCUUGUGCCAGGAGCACACAUAUUCUAAACUCCCUAUUGGGAUUGUCUCUAAAACAAGUCGUUGAGGAGCCAACUCAUAAAGAGGCCAUGCUAGAUUUAGUGUUAACAAACAGAGAUUUGCUAUCAGAUAUUACUGUAGGUGAAUGUUUAGGAUCCAGUGAUCAUCAGUCAGUGUGGUUUAAUAUAUGAACAGUGACUGAGUCAGACCACACAAAAACAAAAGUUUUAGACUUUAGAAAAACAAACUUUAAAAAUUUUUUUGAAUAUGUGUAAAGGAGUGUAUAUGUGUAUCCUAGCUAUAACAUAAGGCUAUGGACUAAUGAAAGUAUUUAGAAAAUUGGGCAGACUAGAUGGGCCGAAUGAUCCUUAUCUGCCAUCACAUUCUAUGUUUCUAUAAAGGAUAAGAGUCUCUAACACUCAACAUCACAUGGAAUACUACUAAUUUGGAUAAAUCCAUGCUUCAGCUAUCUAGUAAGAGUAAUUCCCAAAGAUAAGAAUAGUGUCAGGUAACUAAAUCCUGCUGAAAUCUACCCUAAAUUUUAUUAAAAAAUUAUUAAGUUCAAAAAAUAAAACAAGGAAAAUUACUGACUAGUAGUGACUGUUACUGUAAAUGAGAAAGAGAAUUAUAUAAAAGAUCACUAAAGGUUAAAAUUUAGACUAAAAAAAAAAAAAAUAUUAAUCUGCGUAUUUCCCAGAUGAAUAAAAUAUACAAAUUGCUGAACAUGAAGUAUUUCUCAUCUGUCAAAUAUAGAUUUCACUUUUUUUUUAAUAAAGUUUAUUGUACUUAUUCAAGAAUGGAUUUAUUUUUAGACAACAGGUGUUUAACUAAUGAUGUAAAAAAAAAGUCUUAAAUACAGGCGUUUAUGUGGACGGAUCAUAACGUUAUAGUUUUGAAUAUAAAUUCUGGAAAGACAAAUGGAAGAACUUGCAGGUGAUUAAAUAAUAAAUUAAUAAGCAAUAUACAAGAUAUAAAUUACAUAAAAGAACUAACUAGAAUUUAUUUCCUGGACAAUAACAAUGGUAAGGUGUCAACUCCAACUGUCUGUUGUGCUUAUAAAUCUGUCCUUAGGGGGACACUUAAUAAGGAAAGGAUCUAUCAUUUUUUAAACCUGGCAAAUCUCUAAAUCUGGUGGAGAGUUAUUGAAGGAUCUUACUACUAAAUAUGGAUAUUAAAUUCCAUGCUACGGUUCUUGCCACUAGAUUACAGGAGAUUUUGCCAUAUUUAGUUCAUGUGGACCAAAUUGGUUUUAUUAAAGGCAGGUCAUCGCCUAACAGUGUUAGAAGAAUGAUUAAUAUACUUGAUGUGGUGCAUCACUCGCAAGUCAGUUGCAACUUUUAAGGAUGCACACUAAAAGCUUGUGGCAUCCGGGACUGGAUGUAUGAUGCCAUAAUGUUAUUAUACCCAUCUCAAAAAGCAAGAUCAAUAGAAUGGAGGAUCACUGCUGAUUGGUUCAAAGUCAAGAAUGGUACCAGGCAUGGCUGUCCCCUGUCUCCUCUCUUAUACUUUUUAUCAACUGAAUCGUUAGCAUGCAACAUUAGGAAUAAUUCAUCAAUAAAAGGAAUUAAAAUGUAUGAUAGCGGAUCUGAAAUUGUAAUUAAGUGUAUGAUGUGAUAAUGAAAAGGGAGCAGGCUUCCCCAAACUACGGCCCUCCAGAAGUUGCUGAACUGAAACUCCCAUGAUUCUCAGCCUAUCUAUUUCAUUCAUAGAAUCAUGGGAGUUGUAGUUCAGCAACAUCUGGAGGACUGGAGUUUGGGGAAGCCUGAAAUAGAGGAUCCACUAACAUCUUUACCCGAAUUAAUUAAAGUCAUAAAAAAAAAAUUAGUCUUUAUAUAAAUUAUAAAUUAAAUAUAGAGAAAACUAUAAAUAUGGCAAAAAAUAAGAAAACGGAAGAAUAGACAAGCUUAAAUGAGAAGUAUAGUUUUAUUUGGGCAACAAAAGAUCUUACAUAUUUAGGAAUAAAACUUACUAAAAUCUAAGGAGAAUAAGAAAGGCAAAUAUCUUACCUAUGUUGAAGCAGACCAACAAAAAACUAGUUGAAUUUAAAAAAUUCUGAAAUAUCAUGGUUAGGGAAGAUUAAUGUCCUAAAAUCACAUGUCUUACAUAAAUGGACUUACAUUUUUAGAUUGUUACCACUUACAUCCAAGUCCUUGGCUAAAAUGUUACAAACAAUAUUCAAUGGUAUUUCAUCAUUUGGAAGGAAAAGAAAAACACGAUUACAAUUAAAGGUAUUAAGCUCAAUGCUAAAAGAUAGAGGAUUAGGACUACUAAAUAUGAUAAAAAUUCACAAUGUGUAUAUAAUCAUGCACUAAUUUAGCAAUUUGAAAUGGAAUAUACAUAAAGAACCUUGAUAUGAAAUUGAAACAUCAAAUUAGGUGAUUAAAGAUUAUGAAAUCCUAUAGAAACUGGAUAAAAAAUAUAUAAAAGAAAAAGUUAUAAUUUUAAUUUAUCAAUAGCAGAGAAGAGGUCAAAGCAUUCCAAUAGCUCGAAAAAGACCCAAUCUUGGGUGAAAAUUUUGCAGUGUUCCUUAGGAUCAAAUAAACAAGCCUGAAGCUAUUGAAAUGCAUAGAACUCUUCUCUGCUGUUGAUAUUUAUUUAUGUUGGGCUUGUGCUGGCCCAUUGUCUAGUUUAGCACCUUUGGCUUAUGUGGAUUGAAUGUGGAUUAUAUAGCUUCUGCCCAAUUUGACCAGGAGCAGUGAGUCGGGGGCUAAAGACUGGAAGUUUUAUUUCCAUCUCUCUGGCCAAUCAUUGAGCGAUGGUCAGAGCUACCUGUUAGACUGAACAGAGGAACUUGAAGAUCCUCUGCCAUGAAUCUUCUGAACCACACUACAAUAUUAGUAGUUGGAGGUUACAGAGAUUUACAAGGUGUAAAGGGGGUUAGUAGGCAUACAAGAGUGUAAGGGGAAGUUAAUAGAUACACAACGUGGUAAAUGGUGUAAACAAACACACAAACGGUUAAAAUGGGUUAAGAGACAUAUGAAGGUAUGGGGGAAUUAAAAUAUACAAAAAAUGUAACGGGAGGUAAGAAGACAAUUAAGAGGAUGAACGGGUAUAAAUCAAGAAAUACACAGAAAUGUGUGAGUGGGGUGCAAGGCAGCAAAAAUAGAGUGUAACAACACAACUAUUUCACAAAUCGUAGGGCCAACACACAAUUCCACCCUAUGCAUGCAUUUGUUUCAGGCAAACUUGAAUUGUAGCAAUGCGGCUAAAGUGAUCUCAUUGAAAACUAUCCAUGGUGAAAUAAAAUAACUGAAAAUAGAAUAAUAUAUCCACUCUAAAAGUGUGUUCCUGUACAUUAGGAGAGAUUACCAACGAUUAAAUGGAAUCAUGCUGAUAAUUCACUCUCACCUACUGCUACCAUGAGAUUAAACUUACCAGUCAAGACUUUACAUGCAGACCUCUGGCUAUGUAAUUUGCUUUAAAUCAAAUUUGAACUCGAAAAACUUAAUGUGCUGUUCAUGUGGUCUUUUAAGUACCUGUACUUCUGUAUGUCAUUCACAGUCUCCGCUCCAUUACCUCCCCAUCCUCGCUUUCCAAUAUACGUCUACUCAUGAUUAGCCUAAAGCAGUAUAAAUUUCCUCUAAUUGCUACAUUGUUCAUCUUGCUUUGCUCAACCUACCUACCAUUAUCAUGUCUGUCCAGUGCAGUACGGUCAUUAAUCUUCUGAUCCUUCCUGUGACCUUAGACAGAUAAACUGAACAUUGCAAUCUUAAAAUUGUUUGAUAUGUUGCAGCAUUUAUUUAUUUAUUUUGUUGUUCCUGACGUUAGUGUGGUUUUUCUGAUGAUUGUAAUUUAUUUUCUAUUGUCCUGACUGGCUUACGAUAUAUUCUUUUUCAAAGGCAUUCUAAAGUCCAGUGCCUAUAUCGUACCUCCCAAGUGUCCCUUUUUAAAGGAGCACUUCACUGCCCAAAUGAGCAAAUAAAAAUGUGAAUCACUCUUUAGAAGACAUAUCCCAAAUGAAUACAGGUGAUAAAAAAGCCAACAGAUUUUAAUAAGUUGUGCUAAAACUUCUCCAAAAAUUCUCGGUGAAAGUGUGGACGACACUUUGAUAAAUAUCCCCCAUUUUUUCCAGGGUUAACACAGAGCUGUGCAAUUGUUCAUGGUUCUGCUGUAGUGCAAAUACUGCAGUGUUCUUCAUUAUGUCAUUUCUCAGCCAGUGACUGACUGAGGACAGUAGGAGUUAUCAUUUUGGACAGCACUCGCUUAACCUCUGCCUACUCUAUUAGUUUCACUGCUCAGCUCUAGCUAACUGGUCAUUCGAUAGCAAAGAAGUCAAAUACUACUAUUUGUAGUUCAUUAAUUGCUUUGAUUUAUCUGGCUAGAUUCCAUAUUUCUCCAAUUUGAUGAGAUGCCAGUAAUGAUUUAUAGUUCUCUUCCCCAUAGAAUGUGAAUUAUUUUCACUUUCUCUUAUUUUUUAGUGUGAAAAAAGCACAGUUUGCGGGAUCACAACCUGAGACUUAAUGCGUCAGUCAUCUUCAAACAUUUCUCAAAACUUUUCUAUUGUCCUACAUAAAGAUGUUAUAUGCCGAUUGAAAAAGCCCAUUAAGUGGCGAAACGCGUCUUGGAUUUGGAGGACUUUUACAAUAGACCUUUAUAUUUUCCUUUUAAUUCUAUUUUAACAGUUUUUGUUUUAUAUGUUGAAAUUAAAAUCUAGUCUUUGAAAUAAGUUCCUCAUUUUCUGCAGCAUCCUUUCCAGUUCUCGAAGGGUAGUGUCACCCCUAAAACUGACACAAAGUGGAUUUUUUGAGCCAGUUAACAAACAGGCUCCAAUUAAGGUGAGCAGUACAUUGAUAUAUUGUAUUUGAUAAUUUUACAUAUCAGUGUCACCUAGAUUGUCUGUUCUAUCUGUUUCAUCUCCAUUUCUACCAACGGGGGAGUGAAUACACUAAGGAAGGUUUUCUGGUAUACCUGAAAAUCCAGAUCUGACUGUUGUUCUGACCCGAUAUCGAAAAAGGCUCAGAAAAAUGUGAGUUUAUGGACAUAUUUACUCCAAUUUAUAAGUUUGUCAUUAAUAAUACAGUAUCACACUAUUAUAUUCUCUCUCUAUAUGUAUAUGAGAAACACCCCCUAUAUUUCAACUAAAGGGUAAGUGUAACAAAUUAAGCGCUGCACCUUGGGUCUCUGAGUGUUAAGUGGUGGGAUUAUCACCUAAACUUGGGAGUUCAUUCUUUUGUUCACAUUCUGUAUUUAAGUGGAUUGUUGGAAAUCCACUAACGGUGUUAUAGGUGCUGAUAUUAGAUCUGACUUUUUGCCAUAUAUUGUGAAGUGCCUUACAUACACUGUUAUAAGGAUUAUAAAGAUGUUCUCCCUUAAUCCCAUUGUGACAUUGCAAUACAAACUAUAAAAUCAUGUCUAAGGGAAAAAAUAGUCAAAAACCUGCCAAUGAUUUAUGGGAGAUUUAGUUAACUCAUAGAUGGAGAUCUUGUAUUUAAAUAUGCAUGUAGAAACAGAUUUGCUCAUUUUUAUUCACAACAAUAUAACAGACUAGCAGGGAAAACAUCACUUCUAGAAGUUUGAAAAGAUAAAAUUUUUGUGAUGUCCUAAAUAGAACUGAAUAUAACUUUCAAAAUGUGUUUUGAUGUGAGCUCACCACAUAUGUGGGGUCUUUGGAAUCUGGUGUGAUAAUAUAUAGUAUGCAUAGGUAAGAGCAGCUAGCUGCCCCCAAGUGUGCUUUGUCUGCUAAAUAAUAGAAAUGCAGUUCCCCGGGUGGGCCUUAUAUCAAAAUCUGAAGCAAAUUGUACAGUUAGCGUGUUAGUUUCUCCUUAAAAUAUUCCAAGUUGUUUUACAUCCAGAAUAGUCAAAAAUAAAGCUGUUCAGUUCUUGUAUACCCAGUUAAAUAACAAUGUUGGCAUUUAUACCAAUUCAAUUUCUAAGCAUUUAUGCUUCAGUCGCCCAGUUGUAGAAGUUGUCUUUUCCUAUUGUGUGUAAUGCUGUUUAAAGCUGCAAAACCGUCACAUUGCUCAAUUAAAUUUUAGUUUAAGCUGCACAGUUUGGCAUUUAUAGGAUGCAGUCCACGUGGCGUCUCUCAUCAUUUGAGGGCCUCAAUACAUUAAGCAAUAUUUACUAACAUUCCACGACACGAUCCCAAGUCAGAAACAAAACCUCGCCGAGUUUGCCCUUUACCUAUACAUGCUGGGUGACAAUGUUGGAAGUUUAAGAACUAAAAAAAAAAAGAUCACAGUAAUACUGGGAGAUUUAAUAAUCACACUGACAUUUCGUUUGAGUGCUGUAAUUAUUUUUAAUGUCAAAAUGGCACUAUGGUGACAUACAAAUGUGGCCUCGGCAUGUAUCAAGGUAAUUUUGUAACAGAAAUAGGACGCCCUUGUCAUUCUGCUUAAUUUGUCAAAUGAUGAUUGCCAGCAGUCUGAUGAGAAGACACAGAUGAAAUAAUUGUGCCCACCCCUCUUUUCAAAAAUAAAUGAUAAAGCUACAUUUUGUUGCACAGGAGGCCAUUUUCUGUUGGUCUCAUCGUAAAUGCAAGUUCCUGUGAUGCCACGAUCAUUCAGUUCCAGACCAUUUGAGAGAAAGUAGAGCAGCCCUAGGACAUUCUGUUUACAAAGGAUAGUUCACAUUCUGAAAAAAGUGCUUUUCUUUUGUGUGACAGCCAUAUUUAUAUAAAUAUUAUCUGUGUAAAUCUGUUAUAUUGCUAAUUGUUCGCUCUAGUAACAGAAGAGCUGAUACAAAUUCAUAUGCUACUUUAUGUGUGAAGAGUGUGUUCUCUUAUUUCAUUUUAUAAAAUGUGCAGAUUUCAAUAUAAUUUGACACUUUUAUAAAUUAACAUUUUACCCCUCAGCUUUUAAUCAAACAACCAGUUAUGUUACUUCCUGGUUUGGUUAGCUCAAUUGAGAUUAACUCAAUAGAUAGGCUAUUGCUCAGAGUACCUGCCUUGCAAAAUGUCUCAUUGAGAUGAAAUUGGAAAACUGAUUGGACAGACACAGAAAGUCUGGGCUAGAGAAAAAAGGAGGGCUUGCAAAGACUGCAGACAAGAAAUCUGCAGCUAUUGAAAACCGUUUUUAAAAAUAAUCCCAAUGAAAACAAUAUGCAAUAACUGCAUGCAUGUUUUGGUUUGGGGGCAUUUCUACUAACCUGUUAUCAAAAAAUAAAAUAUAUAUAUAUUUGUGUAGAAAAAAUAGUUAAGAAAGGCUUGCACUCACGGUCUUUUUCUUUUAUAAAAUUUUUCUUUCUUUAUUCCAUUUCUUGUUAAAGCAUAAUCAUAGUCAUAGUCAACGUUUCAGCCAUCAUCCGUGGCUUUCAUCAGGAUCAGUUCAGCCAGUGUGUAUAUAUUUGCUUUGAUGAUCUUCUAUCCCUGCAUGCUUAAAUAUAUAAUAGCUACCUACAGCUUUAUUACUACUGCAAACAUUUUAGCUAAUUCUUCCUUCAAUAUAGAAAUUGAGCUCAAAGGCAGUUUAUUAGAGACUUAACCAUCUAUAUGUAAAUAAAGAAAAAUGUAAGUACGAUUACUGAAAGAGAGGAAAAAUGACACUAUCUCACAUCAGUAUGUAAGGCACUUUUACUGCCCAUGUUUGUAAAAUAAAACUACUAAAUACAGUGAGGGUUCCAUAAGCAAUUGAAGUGUAGCAUAGUUUGUUUGGGCUCUUAGUGUUUGACUGUUAUGAGUUUGGGCACUAAAAAUAUUGUCCUUCUAUUUAUAAACAAUGGCAGUGAAAACUACUGCAAAGUCAUGUAUAGUACAGAUAUUUUGUGUAACUGUAAGUACUGUUCAUUGGUAUAAAAAAAAAAAAAAUAUGGGGGGGAGGGGGGCGGGGCCUGACCACCAUGCUGGAAGGCUGCACAUGGAAUGAGCUCCUGGAAAAUCCAUGUAUUUCUGACAUUUACUGCAGCCAUAAGCCUGAUUACACUCACCCAACAAGUGCAGUGGAAGCGCAGCACACAGCAUAGCUGAAAUCUGCAGCAUUUUAAUUGACAGACAAGCAGUUUAAGCCCGAAAAGUCUUUGCGGCCUACCUGAGAGUACAGGCGCAGGAGACGCGGCAGAUCUCCCCGCUGGUAUUUCGACACGCAUUGCAGAUGACGGAAGGACUCCUGUCCCACCUCCCCUCCUCCCCCGCCGGGGAUAUCCCGGGACCAGCUAAUCGACUCUAACUACCUGCUACUGGAGGGACUGUGGAACUGCUAACACCUCGGCUGUACAAAACCUGUGACACCGAUCAAGUUAAAAUGGCAGACGCCCCAACAGCUUCUACUACACUUGACCCGCUGGAGACAAGCUUGGCCCGGCUUGACAAAAUAUUCACUGACUUUUGCCUGAAAUUAGAACGCAAGCAAAGUCAAGCCAGGGAGCUCAGUAGGAACUGCAGCUCAUCACAAGAUUCACGUGCGGUUGCACAGCGCAAUAUAUCUGCUGCCAUCAGGCGGACCACUCUCACCCUCAUCCACACAAAAAGCAUGAGACGACAUUACGCCUUUCACCUAUGGUGAAGGAAGGGAGACACAGGGGCGAGAAGAUGAGAGGGUACAACAAGGGCAAUACCUACGCUGUCCGUCCACCCAGACUAUGGGCCAAAACCACACCAGCGGAGGCCUGAGGGCCGAAAUAGGCUCCAAACCAUCAAGGACUUCCAUUGCCCCUCACAUGGGAUGGACUUGACCUUGCAAAGCAACAGAGUCAGAAGCUAUGGGGAAGGUGGCCCUGAAGCAGGUUGCGGAGGAGAGGAAGACAACUACUUGGCAUACCUAUGCAGAUACUCUCAGCAGACACUACCUGCCUACUACAAAUGUACCGGACUCUGGAAUAGGCUGACACUUCAAAUGUGAAACUGGGAGGCCUGGGACUUUCUCGAGAGCUCCAUGAUGCAGUGUUGAUGGCUGCAUGAUCAGCAGUGUUCUUUUAUGUUAAUUUUAGUUCUAUUUGCCUCAGUUUCUGUCCUUUUCACACACUUUUCACACCAGCGUAUCCCCCUCCAGUCGGGCAUUAUUAUCAUAUUUCACCUUCCAUAUUCCUAGUAGGUCCCCCAUAUUUGCCCAGUCUAUUAUUCAACAUUGCGGAGCAUACUCUCUCUAAUAACAUGUUUAAUAUACCAACCAUGAAUCUCUAGGCUGGUGUAUAUUCUAUAUCUGAGUAUUAGCUAUGCAUUUUCCACAUGGACAUGUUUACCUAGCUUGUAAUCCUUUGUUCUAUACAAAAAUGUGCUCAUAACCCAUUGCCAUGUAUGUAUAAACCUCUGUUGGCUACUACCGUGCUUGCAUAUGCUAUUGUGGCAUUGUCAGCCCUAUUGUUAACUUUGCACAACGAAAAAUAAAAUAUAAAAAAACAAACAAAAAAACCCCACAUAUGGACAUUAUUUUUACAAAAAAGUCACUUUUUUUUUUUUUAGGAACUCUUCAAAAAAUGUUUAGUCUCGUUACUAAUGUCUAUAAUUCGGAUUUGGCAAUAUUAUUGCAUAGUAAUCCAUAGUGUAACUCAUUCUGUGUGUAAGUAUUCCCGCUUGCAUGCUAAUAGUUCCAAUCAUGCGAUAAGGAAUACUAUAUAUUACUUUAAAAUUUAAAACUUUUAUCACUAGUUCUAUCCCAUUCGAACUCUAAAAACUUCUCUCAAAGAUAAGCAAAUCAAUGAAAAAAAAAUCUUAUUUUUUAGGCAUGUGUGAACAGCCAUCUAUACACAAACGUGCUAGCUAUGCAUCCCAUGUUCCAAAUAAUUGUUUUGCUAAGGAUUUUGAAACUAAAAAACAAUGAUUAAUAUGUAUUUGUCAAAUACAUAUAUUUUUUUUGUUGCUGGCUCAUUGUUAUUUUAAGUCAAGUUUAGUUUUUUUUCUCAUUGUGAAUUAUUUUGAGUUACUUGGCAAUGCACAUAGUAUGCUGUAAUAAUUAGUCGCCAAGUUCAUUUAAGUUGCAUUAAUACACAAGUAUUUCAAAUGAUGUCAUGCUUUUCCUCGUCCAAUACUCCUGGGUCUCUGGGAUCAAACAAAUGAUAUUGUCUCACUUCCAUUUCACAUGUUAGUUCUUCUGCCUUUUUAAUAUGGACCUUAGACACAGAUCAUAGUUAGUCACUAAAGUAACUAUUGUCAUGAAUUUGUGAGGAAUUCCUGAGGAAUUCUUUUUGAGCCUUGACAUAAGACUAGCUAAAUCAUCCAGCAAUAGCCCAGUAAAAAUAGACAUGUAAAGGAUCUACCCGAUGGCCUCCUCCUAUGCAGUUGUAUGUUAAUAGCAAAUGGGUGGUCAUGGCAUGGUGCCAAAUUUGGGUGCUUUGAUUAGUCAUCCAAGGGGUCUGUUGCUGUAAUGUAUCAUGAAAGAGCCUGCAUGAUCGUUUGAGCAGGGUCCUCAUCAUCCUAAUCAUAGGCGUGCGCAUGGGGUGUGCCGGGUGUGCCUAGGCACACCCUAAUCCCUGCGGCACGCACUAUGUGCCUCCCUCCGUAGGCAGGUGAGGGAGAUCAAAGAUCUCCCUCACCAACCCACAGGCAGUGAGGGAGGCAGCAGAGGACCCGGGGAGCUCUUGCCAGCAGCUCCGCCGGGUUCCUCUCGCGCGUUCGGAGCGUUGCCGCGGUUACCGCGGCAACGCUCAGAUCUCGCGAGAGUGAACUCUAGCCCCACUGGACCACCAGGGAAGGGAGGAGCACGGUCCCCCCUCCCUACAUAAGGUAAGAAGGGAGGGGGGAUAUUAAUUAAACGGCCCCCACACCCCCACACAUUACACACAAACAUACAACACACACACAUACAUCACCCUUACACACACAGCACACACACACACUAACAGCACCCUCACACUAACAACACCCUUACACACACAGCACCCUCACACAUACAUACACACACUAACAGCACCCUUACACACACAGCACCCUUACACAUACACACACUAACAGCACUCCUACACACACAGCAUCCUUACACAUACACACACUAACAACACCCUUACACACACACACACUAACAGCACCCUCACACUAACAACACCCUUACACACACAGCACCCUCACACAGCAUACACUAACAGCACCCUUACACAUACACACUAACAGCACCUCACACACACACACACAGCACACAUUAACAGCACCCUUACACACACAGCACCCUUACACAUACACACACUAACAGCACCCUUACACAUACACACACUAACAGCACCCUUGCACACACUAACAGCACCUUUACACACACAGCACCCUCACACACACACUAACAGCUCCCUUACACAUACACACACAGCACACACUAACAGCACUCUUACACACAGCGCCUUCACACACAGCACCUACACACACACACAGCACCUACACACAGCACCCUCACACACACAGCAGUUCCUGUAAUUGUAUCACUUAUUGUUAAAUUUUCACCUUCAUAAUACUGUCAAUGGCUGCGGAAUAAGUUGGCACUAUUUUAAAUGCCAAUAAUAAUAACAACAAUGAUUAAUCCAGUAAUUAAGUCAUUAAAUGUGUAGUAUAUUGGAUAUAAUAUUGGAUAUAACAUUGGGCAAGAUUUCAUAAUUUUGGAUAAACUUUUUUUUAAUGUUAAAAUAUAUUUAAAUUUUUUUUAUAGUUUAUGCAAAAACAUUUAAUCAUUUGAAAAGCUUAUGGAGAAAUAUUAAAUUGAGGCGACCAUUGGAGUUCUCAUGGAUGUGAAUUAAAAUUUCAUAUUUUUUUGUGUUAAGCAAGUGGUCUGACCACUAUUGCGCAACUAACUUUACAUCUAGGCAAUGCGUGAGAGUAGUCCCAUAUCAGAUGACAUGCUAAGGGGCAGGCAAUCUAGGUAUUAUGGAAUAAAAAAGUAAGUCUUAUCCCUCUAGAAAAGUAACAGGGCUGUCCAAAUGUUUUAUAGAGUUUUGUGCACAGAUAUAUUAGUUCAUAUAUUUGUCAGCUAAGUAAAUCUGUUUGGUUGAUUUGUUUUUUUUUUGUUUUAUGAUUUAUUUUGACUUCAUUUUAAAUUUGUUAAAGCAUGUGCUUUGUGUAAUUGUAUUGAAUAAUUGUGUUAUAAUGAAGCUUGUUUCUUAAUUGUGCAAUACUUCUCCACAUUAUGUAUCCGUAUACGUUACUGUAUGCGGAGAGUGGAGACAACACCUGGAUUGUUAAUUAUAUGCCAUAUUGGUGGGUAUCGUCAUCAUUGAGUUUGUAGCUAUUGAGACAACUAGAAGGAAUUAAGUUAAAAGAAUGCAGUGUGUGCGUAUAAUGAAUGCAGUGUGUGUUUGUAUGAAUGCAGUGUGUAUAUACUGAAUGCAGUGUGUGUGUAUAUAAUGCAGUGUGUAUAUAAGUGUUUGUGUGAAUGCAGUGUGUGUGUAUAUAAUGCAGUGUGUGUGUGUGAAUGCAGUGUGUGUAUAUAAUGCACUGUGUGUUUGUGUGAAUGCAGUGUGUGUGUGUGUGAAUGCAGUGUGGGUAUAUAAUGCAGUGUGUGUUUGUGUGAAUGCAGACUGUGUGUAUAUAAUGCAGUGUGUUUGUGUGAAUGCAGUGUGUGUGUGUGUUUGUGUAGAGUGUGUAAACGGUGAGGGGAGGGCAUUUUUAUUUUUUAUUUUUUUAUUUUAAUAUUAUUAUUAUUAUUUUAUUUUAAUAUUAUUAUUAUUUUAAUAUUAUUAUUAUAUUUUAAUAUUUGUAUUAUUUUUUAUUUAAUUGUUUUUUGUCACACACCUCAAACUGGAACACAAAUUAUCAUACCCCAUGGCCUGCUCUGUUCCUGUAACUUAUCUGCUGAGUGCUGGUGGAGAGUUAUAAAAAAUAGCCCUCCUACCCCUACCUCACAAAAUUAUAAGGUAUCCCAUUCACUAUAUGGCCAAACAAAAAUGAUGUCCAAAUUCCUAUUCCUUGUGCUCUUGCAAAUGAUGUGGAGUCUAACCCUGGUCCCCCAGCUAAUUCUAGUCCUAAUCUCCCCACUAAAAAAGGCCUCUCUUUUGUGCACUGCAAGCCUGGUGUUCCCAUUACAAACCAAAAAUCAUUGUGCUCUCAGAAUCAUGGUUAACGUCUAAAUUACCAGACACCGCCAUUGCAAUACAGGAUUAUUCAUGUUUUAGAAAUGACAGAGCAAAGAGAGGAGGAGGCAUUGUUAUUUAUGUUGACAAUUCCAUAUAGUUUACCCCUUUACAAAACCUUAGUCCUCCUGCCACCUUUGAUUUCCUUUCUGGUACAAUUAAAAUCCCGUGCAGUAAAUCAAUCAUUGUUGCAGGAAUCUACCGCCCACCUAGCUCCACUGUGCAUUCCCUUUCUGACAUCUCCUUAGUGAAACCAUAGCUCAAAACCCAAAAAAGUGAACUGUUGGACUUUGGAGAUUUUAAUAUUGAUUGGCUGAAUCCUAAAAAUAAUAGUUCUUGCACGCUGGUUAAGACUUUGCAACUGAUGCAAUUAAUCUCCUCCCCAACUCGCAUAAACAUUAAAAGCCAUAACCAUACCCUGCUAGAUUGUAUUCUCUACACUUCUCCUGAUAGAAUCCAGGAGGUUGGUGUUCUCCCAAACACGUUCAGUGAUCACUGUUUAGUGUACUGCGUGUGCAAAAUAAAGGCUAUUAAAUCCUCUCCCAAGGUUAAAAUAACUAGGUCCUUCAAAAAAUGUAAUCUUCAAUCCUUUCUAAAUGACAUCAAGAACCUCCCAUGGCACAGAUUAAACAUUAUCCCAGAUCUAGACUGUGCUGUUGAAUUCUUUUAGUCUGAACUUGGAAUUUGCAUGCCCCGCUGCAUAAGGUGAGGGUAAAAGGAGCACAUAUGAACUGGAUCACAGCUGACCUCAUCCAAAUGUACAGUUUCAGGAUUCUUUGUGGUCAAAGUUUAAGCCUACUGGCUCUAUGAAUGAUCACUAUGCAUAUAGACAAUGGCAAAAUAUAUGCACAAAACAGACAAAAUUGGCCAAGGUCCAAUAUUUCUAUGAAAAUCGGAACAAUAACAUCUCAAACCCUAGAAACUUCUGGAAAGUCAUAAAUAAACUACAAACUCCCCCAAUCCACUCCCAACCCUCCACUGUCAAAGUGGAUAACCAAACCCUGCAACUUCCCUUAGAUGUAGCAAAUGCCUUUAACAAUUAUUUUGUCGGAUGCUCUACUGCCCCGAUUGCCAAGCUAAUAAAUGACACGCAUCCUGAAACUACAAAUGUGGAUCAGGUCCCACUAAAUUUGCAAAGGCCCAAUAUAGACAAGUUCAUUUUUAGAGCAGGGGGGAAGAGUCAGCGCUAGAUAACAGACUAAAGGGCAGCAACCCAAAAAAGGAAAUCCCUCAAGACCCUUAAAAACAAAAUAGAAAAAUGGUAAAUAAAAGUCACAUAAAAAGUCUCUCUACAUACCAGGAUGGAGGGAAAGUUGGCAAUCCUCAGGAGUUGAUCCAUCCAGAUGGUUUAAAAUAUCGGUAUAUGUGGAGAGAAAGGGAAACGACAAAAUAGCCGAUGGUGUAAUAUCGUCAGAAUCCAGUAGAAAAUUAUUAAAAUUAAGCUAAUACACUCACAUUUAGCAGAGCUCUAGCCAGCUCUGGGGUAAAGGGCGUGUAGUGGUAUGAUCCCCGCUAACGGAUAUAGUGGAGAGGUACGUCCGUCAAUCCAGUCUGAUUUAGGAUUAGUCGUCAUAACCUGUAAACAAUCACCAGGACAGAACGGUGCAGAAAAAGCAACUGCUGUGCCACGGCGGGCUGCAUGGGGGGGAACAACCCAAACCUGAGCUUUGGGAUUCCAACGGCCGCCACUGCCAAAACAACAAUAACAACAGCAGCUCCGCCGACCGCGCUCCACUUCCGGGAUUCCGUGUUACCGCCACGCCCCCCUUUUGUAUUUUUCUAAAUUCAUUUUUAGACCUGUACCUGUUAGUGUCAUUAAAAAACAUCAUAAUAAUCUAAAAAUGAAAAACCAGUCCGAAACUGAUCAAAUCCAAGCAAUGCUAUUGAAGCUCAGUGCGCCGGCAAUUGCUAAACCCGUCGCAACUGUAAUUAACGAAUCAUUGGUGUCUGGAUACAUACCCAAACUUUGGAAGGCUGCGAGAGUAGUGCCUAUCCAUAAAAGUGGUGACACUACUUUGGUUUCUAACUAUCGCCCAAUAUCAUUGCUCCCGGUAUUGUCAAAAAUCUUAGAAAAAUGUGUCCAUACGCAACUAUGUGAGUACUACCAACAAUUAAACUAUGUGACUCCUGAUCAAUCAGGCUUUCGCCAGACUCACUCCACUACAACUGCCCUCUUAAAAGUUUGCAAUGACAUCCAAACUGGCAUGGAACAAGGAGACCUAACUGGAGCUAUUUUACUUGAUUUUCCAAAGGCCUUUGACACAGUAGACCACGACAUUCUACUGCACAAACUCAAAAACUCAGGUAUUGGUGAUCGUUCGCUAACCUGGUUUCGAUCGUAUGUAUCGGAUCGCUCGCAAUAUGUGUCCAUUUCUGACAGCGACUCCCUCCCUCUCCCAGUCACGUGUGGUGCUCCCCAAGGUUCCAUUCUCGGUCCCCUACUAUUUACAUUAUUUAUAAAUGAUCUGCCUAAUGUCUGCAAAUCCUCAAAUGUACACAUGUACGCAGAUGACACAGUAAUCUAUGCGAUUACUGUGCUCCAAGACCAGUUUACAGAGGUAGAAAAGUGGAUCGCAAAAACCAAACUCUUCCUGAACACUGACAAAACUGUCACAAUGAUCUUUGGAACAGUACCUAAAUUACACAGUUCCCACCUAUCAAUCAAAACAAAUUCAAAUGGCACACUGACCGCAGUCCACUCUUUCAAAUACUUGGGUAUGAUGUUAGACUCCAAUCUAUCUUUUGGCCUGCACAUAGAAAAGCUUGCAAACUUUAUCCAAAACUAGGUGCCCUGUUCAGAAACAAAUCCUGCCUAAGCCCUACAGUAAAGGAAAAGUUUGUACAGCAAAUGCUGAUGCCAAUCAUUAAUUAUGGGGAUGUAGUAUAUGCAUCUGCAUCGCAAUCCCACAUUAAUAAACUCAACACAUUGUAUAACUCGUUCUGCCGAUUUGUGCUACAAUGUAAUUACAGGACUCACCAUUGUGACAUGCUAAAAUAACUAAACUGGCUGUCGGUGGAAUCCAGACGCACCCUUCAUCUUUCCAGCCUUGUGUUUUAGAGGUUUUUUGGGAAACUCUCACCCUACCUGAACAAAAUGCUUUCCACAGCUGUUCCCACUUCCUAUAACCUCCGAUCCAGUACCAACACUUAGUCUACCUCAAUACAAAAAGAAAGCAGCCUGAUCCUCCUUCUCCUACAGAGCACCGCAAUUGUGGAACGACCUCCCGCACAAUUUAAAAUCUUCCCUAAGCCUAAAGUCCUUUAAGAGAUCCCUCUUUACAUACCUCAAAACAAAAUGCACCUGUCAUGGUUGAUUAUAUAGUUCCUGCCUGUUCUAUGUUAAAUUUUGUAUUUAUUGUGUAUUAAUAUUGUUUUUGUAUUUUAUUGUACCCUAAUGUAACAAUGCAAUGCUUUGUUGACCCAGGACAUACUUGAAAACGAGAGAAAUCUCAAUGUAUCUUUCCUGGUAAAAUAUUUUAUAAAUAAAUAAAUAAAGUGAGGUCUCACCAGUGUUCUGUACAAUGGCAUGAGCACUUCCCCUUUUCUACUGCUAAUACCUCUCCCUAUACAAGCAUUCUGCUAGCAUUUCCUGCUGCUCUAUUACAUUGUCUGCCUACCCUUAAGUCAUCUGAAAUAAUCACCCCUAAAUCCCAUUCCUCAGAUGAUGUUAGUAGGGUAUCAAAUAUUCUAUACUCUGCUCCUGGGUUUUUACGUCCCAAGAUGCAUUAUCUUGCGCUUCAGUGAUUUGAAGUGGUCAUGGUGGUAGGAGUAUGUAUGUGCAGUAUUUUAGUUCGAAACACCGCACACACCUUGUUGGCAACAGAGAUGAUAAUUUUCUUUAUAAGAAGGCAACGAUUGGGCCUUGCGUGGCUGCCCUGACAUCACAAAGAAGUAUGAUAAGCCACGCCAGGAGCUUUGCUUGGAGCUGGACUCCAGAUGACUAAAAACCCAUUUUAUAACAAAAAAGUUCGGGGGUAUUGUUAUAGCAAAUAAAUAUAAAAUCUGAGGUGCUUUCCCUUUAAGAAAGAUCCUCAAGGCAUCCGAAGGUGGGGGCGCCGAGAGGAGCCCUGUUACAGCAGAGCCAGGUCAUGUCAGUGAAUGUCUGUCUGUGUGUGUGUGUCAGUGAGUGAGUGAGUGUAUGUAUGUCAGUGAGUGUCUGUGUGUGUGUGUGUGCGUGUCUGUCUGUCAGUGAGUGAGUGUAUGUAUGUUAGUGAGUGUCUCUGUGUGUGUGUUUGUCAGUGAGUGAGUAUAUGUCGGUCAAGUGAGUGUGUGUGUGUGUGUGUCAGUGUGUGAGUGUAUGUCUGUCAGUGAGUGUCUGUGUGUGUCUGUCAGUGAUUGUAUGUCUGUCAGUGAGUGUCUGAGUGUGUGAGCUUGUGUGUAUGUCUGUCAGUGAGUGAGUGUAUGUCUGCCAGUGAGUUACUGUGUGUGUGUGUCAGUGAGUGAGUGUGUGUGUCUCUGAGUGUGUGUCUGUCAGUGAGUGUGUGUGUCUGCCAGUGUGUGUCUGUCAGUGAGUAAGUGACAUGAGGGGGCGGAAAAAUUUAUCUUUGCCUAGGGCGGCAGAAAUCCUUGCACCAUCCCUGCCCCUAUAUAUAGAGUAUUACACUAUUGGAGGAUAUAUGUACUUUAUACCAUAGAUACCAACUGGGACUUUGCACAGAUCUAGUGCGAGAUCUCCACGUAGGGUGUAUAUGGUGGAGGUUCCUCACCUGACAAUAUUACACCAUUUUAAGUCCUUAUCCCCCUAGGUUGUCAUUUGAAUUAUAAUCCCAGGAGUGUGGGAGGAUGCAGAAGGGGUGACUGAAUUUAUGGUGUGGAUUAUAUGAUAAUUGAAUUAAUAAGAGACUAUUAUACAAGCUUCAGGACACAUUUAUAUAUGCUUAUAUUUUUUUCCGUUUCAGAGUAUCAUUUCAAAUAAGUUCUGUUAAUUUUCAAUUUUCAAUUUUUUUCCCCAAGGUUUGUGCGCUAACUCAUUGCUCUAAUAUAGACUGUAAGCUCGUUUGAGCAGGGUCCUCUUCAACCUAUCGUUCCUGUAAGUUUUCUUGUAAUUGUCCUAUUUAUAGUUAAAUCCCCCCUCUCAUAAUAUUGUAAAGCGCUACGAAAUAUGUUGGCGCUAUAUAAAUGGCGAUAAUAAUAAUAAUAAUAUAUUUAAUUUUAGGUAUUGUUAUACUGCCCAACAGGGCAUUAGUAGCUUAAAUAUACUUUGUUGAAGAAAGAGUUAUAGUAACCCUAAAGCAGUAAAGGCUGCACAGUAAUAUGGUGAGGACCUGAAUGCUACAGUAGCCCCUACGUCUGUCAGUGGUUAGUACACCACUGGUUACUACUUUUAGUUCCUCUGUUCUCUGUGUCAUUGAUGCUGUGCACUCCAUUAGUUUGAUGUAGCUCACAGCCCGAUUGGAGAACCUCUGCUGUCAAAUAGCUCUGUGUCGUGUACGUAUCAUUAAAGAGAGACUAAUGUUCCUAAAUAAAUGGUUAGCUUUGGAAAAGCUCUACUUAUUCUAAAAAAAAAAAAAGAAACAAAAGGAACAAAUCUAACAUCGACCUGAAUCUACCCAUUAAAUAUAUUGGCCAGUCCCUAAUGUCAGCACUUCAGCAGUGAAAUAGCCACAAACCCAUCUUUUUAACAAGUAGGGCUGCAAACAUAGUAUAUAUCCCCACUAUCUUGGUACAUUAAUAGUAUAUCCAAACAAGUUUCUUUACAUUAAUAUACGUGGUAUUAAUAUAUAUAUGGUAUUAAUGUCACACAACAUAAUAAAAUAUAUAUGUCCUACUGCACAUGGUGAAAAAGAAAACAGAAGAAAAUAGAACAUUUUAUUUAGUGCUGUCAAGAUUAUAUCCUAAGCAAUGGAUUGUUAAGACUUCAUAGGAGAGUUGCAGAUUUUAGGCAAAAGCUGACUUGGAAAAGAAUCUACGUUUGGUCAUUUUGAUCUAAAAUGAGCGAUUUCCUGUUGAAUUCCCAGCGGAUUAGUGAGUACACCUUAUAUAUCCUUAUUUGAGGUACAUAACCUGAAUUCUUCCAAAAUGAUACCUUGUCUAUUGAAUCAAUGAUAUCAACGGCAUAAAUUAGCCUCGGUAUAACCCAAAUUACACCAAAAGCAAUUACACAGUGAAUGAUUUUCUUCAGAAUCAUUUGUUAUUUAUAAUUUGCACAUAUAAUUGUACAGUGGGAGCUCCUCGCUAAAUAAACAGCUGUGCUUCCUGCAUUCUCCCUACCCCCAUCUUCUAAGUUAUGGGAUAUAAUGAAAAUUGUUAAAAAUAAGGUGGUUUAGCUAAGGGUCUCCUCCAUGCCCCUAUUUUUAGGUAACGAAGAAGUAAUUAGAAAUGGGAGUGGUUAGAUAAUUCUCUUCUAGCCUGCACCUUACUAUUAUCCAAUAAGUUUUGACUUAUUAAAAUAUAGUUUAAGAUAGGGGGCAUGCUGAAGGGUCCCCUGUGACACUUAUCCAUUUGUGGCAGGUGAGUGGCUAAAAUGUGAUCAGGUGGAAAGCUCCUAUACCACUUAUCUAUGUCAGGGAGAUAAAGGAUUAAAACAAAUAGAAUGGGUGAGUAGGCUGCAUGCUUCGCCACAUCUGAUAACAAUCUUAAAAAUUAUUUUUUUUCCACCUCUGAAAAAUUGGCUCCCUCAGACCACAGUCUCAAUGGUCCCGCUGGUUCUAUCCUCGUUUUCAUCCAUUUAAAGACAGGUCUCUUAGCCGAUUGGUGGAGGAGCACAAAGUUGUUCAAAAGCAGCAUAAAAAACCCCCCAAAACUACACAACUAAAAACAAAAUGGCAACAAAACAGCUCACACUAUUUCAAAAUCAAUCAUUUAUUAAUACGAAUAAAAUACAAAAUAAAAGUACUUCGAAAGCACCAAAGAAGAAUUAACAUUAAAAACAUAAGAAUUUGCUGGUACAGCUUCCAAACGUGAACAUAUUUAUUAUGUACAGUAGUUGUAAAAUCAUUGCGUGUUACAAUGUGUUUUCUUUAUCACUUUGAAUUCCUGGCAAUUCACACUUUAGGUUAUAAACCCGACAGGAUUAUUUACUAAUGUCCAAACAGCAGCUAACUGAGAUACAAAUGGCAUCAGUGAAGCUUAAAUUGUCAAGCUGUGACUAACUGAGCAGGAGAAUGUCUCCACAUUAGCUCUAUGUGUGCGUACAUCUUGCCAUUCAGAUUUCAGUUCUUUACAAGUAUAGACUAGUGACUUGAAAUGGGCUGACCCCUGUCUGGAGGAUAUGUAAGCUGGCAUUUUAGUUAGAGAAACAGUAAGAAUUAGACAUAAGUUGAUCUUAUGUAAAAUAUCACAUUGUGACAUUCUAAAGCAUAUAUGAAUGUUAUUGAAUUUGCCCUUUUAAAUGUUAUUGCUCUAGAAACCUGCAUUUUAUAACACAUGGAAAGCUGAAAUUUGAAUGUUCUGUGUUCUUGGCUUAUUACAGAUGCCAAUAGAUUACAGAUUUGGUUUCACAUCAUCAGAUUGGCUGUAUAAGCACAGUAUAAUAAUCUGGCGCGCUCGGUGGAAAUGUAUAUUGUCAUCUUCCCACCCUCACCAAACUAUAGAAUGGUUAGUUGUUGUCGCUCUACAAAGCCGAUAACACUCUUUUGUGAGAGAAAUGACAAACACACCCCCCUUACAUAUAUUUGAAGGCUUGGCCUGUAGUUGUGAGAGGGGCUUGAAUUCCCUUUAAAAGGGCUGCCAAUCCACUCCCACCUUACCGUUGCUGGUCUGGCGAGUCUGAAACGUUUUACUUCCGGUUCAGAUCGCCAUAUUGGAUUUUCUUACCUGUUUUCCUCUUGGUCUUCUGGUCGGGUGCUUUCCUGACUCUCCUUCCCGUCGCCGGCGUCCGCACGGCUCGUUAUUUUGCCACCGCGAAAAAAUGUAAGUCAGGCCCGCUGUAAAGCAACUGCCGCAAACUUCCUAGCUUUACACGGCGGAGCCCCGUUCGUUUGAACCAGCGUUCGGUUCUUUUCCUUUUUGUACAGUAUGCCGUUCGGCUAACUUCCCUUAUCUACUUGCAUGUUUCACAUUUCUUAAUCUAACGAACGCUAUCAUUCCGUUAUAUACAUAUAAAUUUUCCGUUCAGUUUUCGAAUUACACUUAGGAUGGAUCCAUUCGUAUGUUUCAACACUCUACCUAGUUCUUUCAGUGAUUACAACAACUCACGAAAUAGGCACAAAUUCAACCGGUACUCCAGUGGAUUUUGCCCCUACUGGUUACAAACACUAUUACAGUCACUUAUAAAAAUUCUACUAAAGUAAAUAUAAAUGUUUAAACCUGGAUGAUGUGUCCUGAUUUUCCUGACCUUUUCCCACAGGUUCAUACCAGGAGUUCGUACUAGGAAUUGUGAUUUCUGACACCUGUGUCAAUUGUAUUUACUUUCUAGGUUGGUUGGAAUUUAAUUAUGAUUCAAUUUUGAAGGCCAAUGAUACCUAUUAAAUUAGUUAAGUGUGUCAUUUAUUCUUUUAGGUUAUUAUACGUUGGACGGUAGCUUUUACAAGCACAGAAGCCUUCAUCUUCUUUUCGUUUAAAUCUACCCUCUGCAGAGUGUCAGGUAGGUUCUGGUUUUUAGGGCCCACGAUCUGGCCAAACUACUACCUUACAUUCAGACGCUUAUAUAUCAAAUCUCAUGUCCACAGGUCAACAUCUUGAUACUAUUACAGUCGCUGUUUACCUCUACAUUGACAGCUUGGCCUGACUCACAUAUCAGGUACUACGCCAGAACCCAUUACUUUCUAUGUUCUGAGUGGUACUGGUCCUAGGUUACGUGACCCAAUUAGGUAUAAAAAUAUUUCUGGUCUUAAUCCAUAGGCUAGCGCGAGGCCAACAUCCCCAUCCUCAUACUCGGAGGUACUACGCCCCUCGGGCCAAAUCAUAGCUAGCCGCCUCGCACUGUUGCAAAGAGAGGGCCUCACCUGUCACUCACAUUCUUUCUUAUGCUUUAAUUGACACCGAGAGGCCAACACCCCGCCACAACGUUCGGUGGCCUCAAUUUCCCCUCGGGCCCACGCAUAGAUAGUGCCUCUCAGGCCGCUUGGCAACUAGCAGGGACUCAUCUGUCACGCUCGCAAAGCAUAAUUCUUUCACCGCUUGGUAUUUAGCUAGCCCCACCAGUAUCCACCCAAAUUCAUAACAAAUGACUGAUUAAGCAACUUUUAUAUUUUUCAGUUAUGUCACAAACUCCUGAUAUCCCAGAGGAACUUUCACUACCCAGCACACCCGCUAGUCCUGGUACCCCUGUUUCUGGUACAGAUGUGAAUAGCCCUUCAUCCCUUAAAUCAUGGACCAUCCCACGUCUCACAGCAGAACUCAGAAGACGCUGCAUCCCUUUCCCAGCUAUUGCUAGAAAGGCGGAGUUGUUUAGAUUACUGAACACUACCACCGACAACUCCGAGGCAGGGGAAGGCCCUAGUGGGACUCAAUUACCAGCUUUUCAUGCCAUGAUGACUUCUCUAAUGGCAUCCAUUGGCACAAUAAGUGACAGGUUGGAUAAAUUGGAGGCUGGUGGUGCUAAUCAGUCCACUACCAAUACUACGGUCACCAGUCAUCCUCUCACUAAUACUAUGCCCGGUAAUUCCUUUGAAUCCAUGGCGGUUAUAGAAUCAAUUAAUCCCUCGCAUAUGGUCCCAUCUCACCUUAAAAAGGACAUUCUGGAAGGUAAGGACGUUAACCUGGUCUCAUUGCUCAUUGCCUCCCAGGAUGUCCUAGAGAACAGGACCUUUGCAUAUGGGGAUAUUUUAGUCAUACUAAGGGCUAGAGACCCCCAGUGAAUAAGAAAUUGACCAUCCCUGAAUUCGUGCUGGGGUUUGGGAUUUAUAGAGAUGUCUACUGCUCAGUUUACCCUGAGAAAAGAGCAGAGGUGGAUGCGUGCAUGCACAAGAUCGUGGAUCUGGGGCACAAAUACGGUGGUACCGCUUUUUACGAUUAACACCGUUCCUUCUCUGCAAAGGUGGCUGCGGCUCUGGCUCAGUUCAAUUUAAGCAUAAAUUGGAAUAAAUUGGACACGGAGCUAUUCUGCAGGCACUUUGCAGGCCUCAGACCCCCAGCUUGUGCAGUAUGUGCAUCGGCAACGCAUAGCACCAAUUUCUGCCCGAACUCGGCUGAAAUUGAACAAAACCAACCGGCUUCUAACUUCCAAAGACCUACUAGAGGAUUAAAAGACAAACUGGGCAGGGAUAUUGUAUUUUUAGGGAAAUCCCAAGUUUGCAAUAAUUUUAAAGCGGGCAAUUGUGGUUUCAGCUCUUGCAGGUUAAUGCAUGUAUGUUCACACUGUUUCAGGGCCCAUUCCAAAACAAUGUGCCCAAAUAAAGCAUUUCCUAAACCAUAUCUCAUGUGCGUGAACCUCAGAUUAUUCACCACUUUGUUACAACUACACCCAUCACGCCAUUUCAGUAACUACCUUAUAAUGGGACUGACUGAGGGAUUUCACACUGGGUUAAUACAUUUACCUACAGGCAUGCUGGAAUGUGACAACCUACUAUCCACAUUAAAAGACCCACAGUUGGUACACAAACUUAUCAUGACCGAGGUAAACCAAGGGUUUUUGUUGGGCCCAUUCUUUUCACCACCCUUCACAUCUUGGAGAACCGACCCCAUUGGGGUUGUCACGGGAAAAAACUCACUCAAACCUAGACUGAUCAUUGAUUUAUCAGCACCACACUCCUCCACGGUCCCCAGCCUAAACUCACUUAUACCUUCCGAAGAGUUUUCACUACAGUACGCCACUAUCGACCAUGCCGUAGGUGCCAUCAUUAAAGCAGGCACAGGGGCAUGGUUAAGUAAAACGGAUGUAGUGAAUGCCUUCAAGUUACUUCCCAUGCUCCCUUCCUUUUGGCACCUUCACGGCAUUAAAUUGCAAGGGUUAUAUUAUUUCUUCACCCGUCUCACUUUUGGCUCCAAAAGUAGCCCACGUAUUUUUGACACAUUUGCAGAAGCUUUGUGUUGGUUAUUACUUAAUGUGUGUAAAUGUCCUUCGGUUAUUCACUAUCUGGAUGAUUUCCUCACGAUUGAAAACAACACACUCCCCCCAAGUAGUUUGAAACACAUAUUGGCUUUGUUUGAAUCCCUCACUAUCCCAGUCUCCCCGCACAAGACGUUGGGUCCCCACACUAACAUGCAAUUUUUGGGGAUACAACUAGACACUGUACACAUGCAGACUAGCCUCCCUCAGGACAUAAUUGAGCGUACCCUGGCAAGCAUCGAACACUACCUACUGCAAGGGUGUUGCACCUGGAAAGAACUGCAAUCACUGCUGGGAUCGCUCAACUUUGCAAUGAGGAUCAUUCCACAAGGUAGAUCUUUCAUUUCGCAUCUACUAUCCCUAUUUCCACAAUUCACCUCAGACACUUCACGUAGUACGUUAGACGACCAUGCAACCUCUGAUUUACGGAUGUUUUCUCACCUCUUGGAACGGGCGAGCCAUGUUUAUAUCACCCCACUCUGACACUUCACCUACACUGUGGACAGAUGCCGCAGCAAACACAGGUUUUGCAGCCAUCUGGGGAGAUAAAUGGCUUUGGGGACAAUGACCGACCAAAGUCAAAUCACUGCCCAAAUUCACAGAGACCUCAGCUUUAUUUGAGCUGUACCCAAUCGUGGCGGCGGCCAUUGCCUGGGGACCACAUUGGUCCGGUCACACGGUUAGGUGCUACUCGAAUAAUAUGGCUACAUGCCAUUUUGUCAAUAAAGGCCGGUCAGCAUCCCUGGUAUUUAUGAGACUCCUAAGACAACUCACAAGGGGAGCGGCCACCUGUCAAUUCUUUAUCACAUGUAUUCACGUUCCAGGGUGCACAAACACUGGUGCUGAUCACUUGUCUCGAUUUAGUUUUCAGGAUUUCUUCACGACACUACCCUCCGCUUCCAGACUGGCAACUCCUGCCCCACUUUUCCGAGACAUGAUAAUGGAUUAAAGGCUUUGUUAGAUCACGCACGUCACUUUCUCACCUCGCACUUUCAGUACACACUAGGAACACAUACUACAGGGCUUUUCACGUAUUCAAGAAAUUCAUCACUGAAUUCCACAUCCACGACAUGUUCAUGUUAGAAUCAAUAUUGGGUUUCACUUCUUUUUGCCACAUCAACCUUAAAUUAUCAUUCAACACUAUAAAACUGUACCUUACGGGCAUUCAACACCACAUGCUUAUCCAACAACCCAACACUACAGGUUUCCUGUCCUCAUAUCAAAUUAAGACAGUACUUAAAGGCAUUAAAAUAUUGGACGCACAUGUCCCCUCACAAAGACUACCCAUAGACAACAACAUAUUCCAUUCACUAAUCAAUUUAUUAGAUUCUUCUUCUUUCGAACCCAUAACUAAUACUGUAAAAAAGACAGCUAUAUAUUUAGCUUAUUAUGGGUUGCUCCGACCCAACAAUUUCACGAUUAGGACCAUUACAACCCCCGACUACCUAAGAACAAUGGACUUACAAAAACAUAACGACCAUUACUUACUAUUUUUAAAACAAUCUAAAACCAGCACCGUAGGUCAUACUAUUGAAAUCCCCUUGUAUCCUACUCACAAUAAAUGGUGCCCCGUACAAGUUUUUGACGCUUAUUUUCUUUCACUCCACAAACAACCUCUACAACCUUUGCUCGAACUGCAUGGAAACAUUCUGACUACAACAAAAUUUAUGCUUUAUGUACAUCUACUGUUGACUAGGCUCAACCUAAACCCCAAUCAUUUCUCAGGUCUUUCCGAAUUGGGGCAUCAUCUACAGCAUCUGCUAAUCACGUACCCAUUCACAUUAUCAAAGCAAUGGGACGCUGGAAAUCCUCAGCCUACACACUCUACAUACCUAAUCCCGUUAAAGAAUUAAGACAAGCUUUCUGUGACUUAUCUAAAUAAAUAAAGUUGGUUAACUGUAUUACUUCUUAUGAUAUUUUCUUUUGCCCACUUUUAUUACAGGCCUACUGCUUUGUCGGUUCCGGCACACCACAACCGACUGGUCCCAACUCAUUGAUGUUAUGGUUAUUAUAUGCUAGAUUUCUGUAUAUGACUAUAUUGCCCUGACUACAAAUUUGAAGGCUUGGCCUGUAGUUGUGGGAGGGGCUUGAAUUCCCUUUAAAAGGGCUGCCAAUCCACUCCCACCUUACCGUUGCUGGUCUGGCAAGUCACUCCUCCCACCAGUCCCUCUAUUCAUAAACACCCUCUAAGGUAGGCCCACUUUUAUUACAGGCCUAUUGCUUUGUCGGUUCCGGCACACCACAACCGACUGGUCCCAACUCAUUGAUGUUAUGGUUAUUAUAUGCUAGAUUUCUGUAUACGACUAUAUUGCCCUAACUUCAAAUAUAUAUAUAUAUAUAUAUAUAUAUAUAUAUAUAUACAUAUAUAUAUACAUACAUACAUACACACACACACACACACAUAUAAAACACACACAUUUAUAUAGAUAUUUGCUCAUAUUCAUAUACACACACAAAAACAUUCAUAUGCACCCACACUCACAUUCAUACACACACACAUGCACACAUUCUUAUAAACCCAAACAUUCAUACGUACACACGCUCACAUUCACAUACUCAAAUUCCUAUACAUUCACAUGCAUAUUCAUACACGAACCGUCAUAUUCAUAUGCACACACAUAUUGAUAUACACACACUCAAUACAUUUGAUUUUUAGUCAGAUCCCUGGUGCCCUGUGGUUUGCUGCUCAGAACAGCUCUGUGCAGAUCUGUAUUGAUACUGGGGUGAUUGUACCUCCUAACUCCUGGCAUUAGUGCAGUCCGGUGAGGGAGCUGGGAAGUCAGAAAACAGACUGACUCCAGCAAAUCCCCUGCUGUUUGUGAGUUCUGCUAAACGGAAUCUGCAGAGCAGGCAAUCUGCGUGGCACUUUCCAUUAGGACAUAGGAGCCAGGUCUGGCGAGAAGGGUUGUUCUGUUCUCCCCCUGUUAUCUGUCACCUGGGACAGACCUGUACUGGGCUAGUACGCUAUUGAUACUGAUGACACAUACACCAGGUUCCCUGUUUUUGUUGUGUAAUAAAAUAAAAUCAGGAAUUGUACCGAGGAUAAGUACAACGAGUUGUAAUUAAUGGUAAAUUUUCAGGCUGGACAAAGGUGGUAAGUGGUGUCCCUCUGUUCUGGGACUGCUUCUAUUUAACAUAUUUAUAAAUGAUCUUGAAAUAGGCAUUGAAAGUCGUGUCAGUGUUUUCAGAUGAUUCAAUACUAGGUGGACUAAUUCAAUAUGAGCAGGAUAUUACAUCACCACAGAAGGAUUUAUUUAGAUUGGGGGAUUGGGCACUCAAAUGGCAGAUUAAAUGUAUUAUAGAUAAAAGUCAAGUUUUGUACUUCAGGCUAAAUAAAGCACAAACAACUGAAUUAGGGAUAACAACACAUAAGAAGAAUUUAGGAAUUGCUAUAGACUACAAACUAAGCAACAACGUGCAAUCAGCAGUUGUUAAGGCAUGUAACGUAUUGUCAUGCAUGAAAUGGUGGAUUAAUUGGCAGAAUGAAAAUAUAAUUUUGCUUCUUUAUAAAUCAAUUGUGAGACCUCACCUUGAGUAUGCUGAAUAAGAAGGAUAUGAUGGCUCUAGAAAAACUACAGAGUUUGGACAUAAAAUUAAUAAAAGGAAUGGAGCAAUUAAGUUAUGAAGAAAGGCUAACAAAUUGAAAUCUAUUUUGUUUAGAAGUAUAUUAGAGGCCAAUACAAACCAUUUUCUGAAAUCUAUUCAUUAACAGGACUAUGUAAAAAAUACAAGGUCACGCAUUUAGACUGGAAGAAAGGAGAUUUAGUCUAAGGCAAAGGAAAGGGUAAUAUGCAGUAAGAACAAUAACAAUGUGGAAUUCUCUACCUGAUAAGGUGCUUUUGUCAGAGUCUGUACAGAUGUUCAAACAGCAACUGGAUGAAUGCCUGCAAAAGCAUUAUAUACAAGGAUACCAUUUUAUUAUGUGGCUAACAGCUUCUUGAUCCAAGGAGAAAUCUGACUGUUCUGGGGUUGAGAAAUAAUUUUUAUGCAAAAAAAGAGCUUCAAGCUCUCCCCACAACUCCUCCCCCCCUUAUUUUAGAUCAACAGCAAAUAUAGAAUUUAUUUCAGCCAAUGUAACUAUAAUUGGCAGCUGUCAGCAUUGUACCUAUUGGUGCAGACUAUAUUUUGUGGUGGGGUUGCAUCCAAAAAUGCUUUUUUUUCCCGUUUGAUUUUCUGUUUUUCAUGUCAAAAUAUUCAGUGAGAUUAAGAUGACUACAACACUGAAAAUGUUGGUGUACCUUUUUCCCCAAUCGGUGCUGCAUGUUAUAUAGCAUAGCACACUGGACCGUGUGCCGUAUAUCAGUAUAUUUACUAUGUUUAAGCAUUUUUGGUCUUUGCUGUUAUGAUAUACAGGCAGUAAAUUGCUGCUGCAGUUUUGGGUUUAACUGUUACUGUCUAUUUUUGGGGCUGAUCUUUAUUUGUAUAUAUUUUUUAACCGUAUGACCUGUCUCAGGGCACAGUACCUGCAGACAGACUGCUCUUUACCAGUAUUCCAAGGGCAAUGAAAGCACAUUAAUUAAGAGACACACACAAAAGGUGUUUUUUAAAAAUGUCUGAAAACAACGUACACAUAUAUGAGAGCGUGUAUCCAAACAUAAGGCUGAGUAUGUUUACGUAUGCAGGGCCGCCACCAGAAAUUUUGGGGCCCCUGACAAAGAACAAAGGUUUGGGCCCCCCUCGCCCCCACGGCCCACCCACGAGUCCGCCCACAGGACUCCUACCUAGUCCGCUGACAAUGAUGCAGGACUGAAUGUGGUGUGUAUAGUGGAAGUGAAUUAGAAUGUGUGUAAUGGAGGUAGUGUUUGUGUGUAUUAGAUACUGUUUGUGCAGUGAAUGCAGAGUGUGUGUUUGUGUAGCGGAUGCAGUGUGUUUAGUGCAUGCAGAGUGUGUUUGAGUAGUGGAUGUAGUGUGUGUACAGUGAAGAGAUGUAGUGUGUGUUUGUGCAGUGGAUGUAGUGUUUGGUUUGUGCAGUGGAUGCAAUGUCUGUAGUGUGUGUAUUAGACACAGUGUCUCUGUAUAGUGAAUGCAGAGUGUUUGAAUGUGUGGUGGAUGUAGAGUGUGUACUGUGAAUACAGGAUGUUUGUGUAGUGGAUGCUGUGUGUAUAGUUAAUGCAGAGUGUAUGUUAUUGUAGUGAAUGCAGAGUAUGUGUUAGUGUAAUGAAUGCAGAGUGUGUGUUAGUGUAGUGAAUGUAGAGUGUGUGUUAGUGUAAUGAAUGUAGAGUGUGUGUUAGUGUAGUGAAUGCAGAGUGUGUGUUAGUGUAGUGAACGCAGAGUUUGUCAGUGUAGUGAACGCAGAGUGUGUCAGUGUAGUGAACGCAGAGUGUGUCAGUGCAGUGAAUGCAGAGUGUGUGUCAGUGCAGUGAAUGCAGAGUGUGUGUUAAUGUAGUGAAUGCAGAGUGUGUGUGUUUACUAGUGUAUACUUUUCCCCCUCCCCCACAUUAAAUCUAAUUAAAGUUAUUCCACCCUCCCUGUUUCUUACCUGGUCCAGGGAGGGGGGAGAUUCCAUUCCUGGUGGUCCGGUGGCAUGGUGGGGCCCCCUGGCUCCCUGCAUUUGCAGAGGGGGCCCAGCAGACUGCACAUUACUUUACAGCUCUUCCCUCUCUCUAACUCUCGCGAGCGUGGCAUGCGUGCCAUGGUAACCCGUGGCAACGCUCUGAUGGCCGCGGGUCUCGCGGGAGUUAGAGAGAGGGAAGAGCUGUAACAUUCAGAUGCAGACUGCUGGGCCCCCCUGCAAGUAUAGUGAGCAGUCCGGGCCGCCCAGGACCGCCGGGCCCGUGACAACCGUCAUGGUUGUCACCCCCUGAUGGCGGCCCUGUACGUAUGUAUGACGAUUUGUAAUUCUGCACAUAUGUAGGUAAAUGUAUAUGCUUAUAGGCAUGCUGAUUUUGUGUAUGUCUGUAUGAAUGAAUGAGUGAAGAUUUAGGAAUGAAUUAUUACAAUGGAUCUUGAGGCCCUAAACAGUCAUUAUAGUGAUACUUAGGAAGGAAACAUGGCUUGCUGCUGUGCCUUUUCUUCAUCAGCCUGUUUAUACGGUGUAUCGUCAUUUUGUAGAAAAUAACUCUCAGACUUUUCUUAUUACUACUCCUCUAAAUAUUAAACUGUCAUAUUUGUACUUUUAGCAAAGAUGUUUUGGAAUGACAUAUUCUGCGGAGCUGCAGUGGUAUUGCUGUGAGAAUUUUUAAAGGAUCAUUUUUGGAGUCAGAACACUAUAAGCCUAUUGUAUAGUUUAUGGUGCAAGGAGGUCCCCUGUCACAAGGUCCCUGUGCUCAAUGGCGUUUACCGCAGCUAUAUGCCAAACCUGCUGGGUCUGUAAGGAUGUCCUUUUCAUUUAGACCAUAUAAUAAUUACUUUGCUGACAAUAAUCCAUCCCAUUUGUUUUUGUGGUGUUGUAGGCUGAUCAAGCAGACACUGUGCAUGUUCCUACCUGUCCCAGAGAAGCCGUGAAUCAGGAGAAUUUUAUUACAUGACAGGAGGCUUUGUAUUUUGCUUGUGAAUAAACUUUGCACUAUCAGUCACUGUAUGUCAGCUUUCAGCAUAUUCAGCAGUUAUACCCAUCAUUCAUGAUGACUAAGACAGCUGCUGGGGUCUGAACUACAUAUCUUAUGUCCAAUAUUUCAAACGGACAAAGAGCGACUCGUUUUAGGGGUGUGGCCAGGGGUGGGCUGUUCUGAGACAUUUUAGAUUACUUACUAACUACAACGCUUUUUUUUUUUUUUUUUUUGCACAGACAGAUUUCUAAAUAUGUUUAUUGUAGUUAAAAUACAAAUGACUGGGAGUAUUAUUGCUGUAGAGCUCUCUGAUACACUCAGACACAUCAACAAUAUGGAGCUCCUACAAAAGUGGGAAAUUAGGAUAAAAAGAGCGACAGAUGAAUUUAAAGUCAAAAUUGUCCCUUUGGACUUGGGCGGUAGGAACCCCUAAUGGACAGGAAUUUACAGAAUAAACCCCCAAAAGAUCAGAAUGUGAGGUUGCAGAUUAGUGGUGUCUCUUCAUGGUUUGGGUGGAGGCUGUAUUCUACUGCUUUCCUUUCCUGGAACUUUGCCUGGAAGGUUCAAUUCUAACUAUCUUGUGUAUAAAUUCUAGGCUUCUCAAUGGUGAAACACAUGAGUAAGCAGCCCAGUCAUGGGAUCCUGAGCCUUAAGUCAACUAGUUCAGAAUGGGAAGCACAGCAUUGGAUCACAUGCUUUUCGAAGAUGGAAAACAUGCUGCUUGAAGACACCUAACUUUAUUUAGUGCAAACACAUUCCAGUCUGUAGUGUGAUUCCCCAUCCUAGCCAUAUAACAUUCCCCAUCUAUUCUCAACAUUCUUUUUGUGUCUCCUGUACAAUCCUGUUCAAUAAACAGCAGCUUGAUGCACUAGAGCCCUUGAUGCUCUGUGUUGACUGUUUUACCAGCACUCAUAUCAGUGUGACUGACCAUCUCAUGUCCAGAGCGUCCAGAGGUCUUGCAUUUAAAAAGCAAUGCCUUGAGGUGAACCAUUUGCAGUAGGAGAUGACUGAAAUCAGAAAUUGGACAAUGUAUUAAUUACAGUGUUGGUCAGCAUAGGACAUAUGCCAUGUUUGAUCUUGGAGUCCCUCUCUCUCCACUGAAUUGGAUAAUAAUCCCAUUUACCUAUAUUGGCUGUAGAGUUCCAUUCUUACAGUAUGUGGGUGUUAUGAUGAACUCAGUUAGGAGAUGAAUAAAUUAGUCUGAUGUUAAACUAAUUUUCUCUUCUCAGUGGGAAGGCUGUUUGGGUUAUAUACUCUUAUGUGUAGGAAAGGUAAUAAUUGUAGUGUCUUUCCUGUAUCCAGGGUAACACAAAUUGGAUUAAAGUACUGUAUGUAGUCCUAUGUUACUACCCAGGCAUUAAAAGCCACUGGAAGUCAUAGUGUUUCCUCCAGGGGUGUAUUGCUACUAACCCAAGGCUAGUGGCAAGUAGAUCAUUUGAGCCCUGAUAGAUAGAUAUGAAUAUAAAAUCUACUUCUCUUCUUAUCACCUGCAAUUGUGCAAAAACAUAAUGUUUUGUAGAAAAUAAUUAUGUAUUCCUUUAUUUUGUAAUUUUGAUGUGUUCACGUGUAACUACAUGAUAUUUCUCAUGCAUGUUUCUCAUUGUGACUCAUUGUCUGGAUAAUUAUUUUUUAUGACAUCAAAAUGUUAGCAUUUUUCUUCCCCCUCCCCCACCCCCUCUUGGCGUUUCCAAAGCUGAUUCGGAUGCUACCAUUGUGUAAAUAAUUGCAUGUCACAGUAUAAUAAGGAGCAAUAUUUAAUAAUGACACAUUUACUUGCAGGUAGGUUUUUAUCAGUCCCUAGAGGGCUAUUUAUCUAUGGAUUUAUGCACUGCAUAAACAAGGAAAGCCAUCAUACACGUGCUUUUCUAUGCUAUCACCUUGCAGUUAUUCUAAGGGCCCGAUUUUCUAGAAGGCAAAGUAGGCAUCUGCCUACAGGCACAUGGGCAUCAUUGCUGGCAUUUCAAUGUGGCUUUUUAAAAAUAUGAAUUCAUUUAUUUUUAAUGAUUGCUGUAGGUAUCGACAGACAAUUGUUGGAUACGGCAGUUCGAGAUAACCUGUUCCAUCAUGGAUGUGCACUUAUUCAGUACUGGCAGGUGAUAAAUAGGUGUAAGAGAAAUUCCUUGCUUUUACUCUUUGACAUUUGUCAUAUCUAUCGGCUUGUCUGUAUAUGGACUGACAAAGCUUAUAAAGAGCAGUGUGUUAUACUAGAACUUUAAAGGGACACUGUGUAGUCACCUAUACUCACCUGAACAACUUUAGCUUAAUGAAGUUUUGGUGUAUAGAACAUGCCCCAGCAGCCUCACUGCUCAAUCCUCUGCCAUUUAGGAGUUAAAUCCCUUUGUUUAUGAACCCUAGUCACACCUCCCUGCAUGUGACUUGCACAGCCUUCCAUAAACACUUCCUGUAAAGAGACCCCUAUUUAGGCUUUCUUUAUUGCAAGUUCUGUUUAAUUAAGAUUUUCUUAUCCCCUGCUAUGUUAAUAGCUUGCUAGACCCUACAAGAGCCUACUGUAUGUGAUUAAAGUUCAAUUUAGAGAUUGAGAUACAAUUAUUUAAGGUAAAUUACAUCUGUUUGAAAGUGAAACCAGUUUUUUUUUUUCAUGCAGGCUCUGUCAAUCAUAUCCAGGGGAGGUGUGGCUAGGGCUGCAUAAACAGAAACAAAGUGAUUUAACUCCUAAAUGACAGUGAAUUGAGCAGUGAAAUUGCAGGGGAAUGAUCUAUACACUAAAACUGCUUUAUUUAGCUAACGUAAUUUAGGUGACUAUAGUGUUCCUUUAAGAUAUUUACAGGGCAUUUAGAGCACAUUGCAAAACGUACAGGUCCCACAGAAUAUGGCUUUGCAUACUUUGAGAUAAAAGGUUACUUAGAUUUAGAUGGUUAUUUACUAAAGUGGGACUUCAAAGUGAAUAUCAAAUGUCAGCUCAAAAUAGCCAAAUUGUAAAAAAAAAUCUCUAAAUCAGCUAUGCUUUCAGUUUAGCUACUCUGACCUCAAAUUGGAAAUUCACUUUGAAUUCUCAAUUUAGUGAAUAACCCUAUUAGUCUUUCUGAGUGAAAACAAAAAUCUGUGAAAAACGCAACUCUGAGGAUGUCUCAUUUACUUGUAUUUCUUGUGCAGAAGACAUGGGAUACUCACAUAAAUAAUUGCCGGACACAUUCUUCAGAACCAAAAAAUUAGCAAAAAUAGUGGACACCCAAAAUGCAGUCUUAAGCAAUCUUUUUACUCAUAAGUCAUUGACAAACCUCUUCAUGAAUGUCACGCAGUAAAAGCACUGACAUUGUGAGCAAAAAGAUCCACAAGAAACUUAACCAUCAUAUAUAUUUUACAUGAAUAAAUGACCAUCAGACCUGCAGACCAUGUAAAGUCCAUGCUACAUCCUUGCGCUAUUAAAGAAGCAUGCAUAACGCAAGGGCAACAUUUUCGUGAGCAAUUCUAAAUCGGUCUCUGAGUAUUUCUUUGGUCAAGUUCAAAUGAAAAUAUCUUUGCCCUUGCUUUUACUCCGGGCAUUCCAUCUUACGCAAGUAUUUUUCUUUUACUGCAAGAUUUUAAAAAAGGUACGUAGUGCCCUUUAAAAACAUUUUGAACGUAGCUGUUAUCUCAUACACAUAAAACUAAUGUUAAUGAUUAGAAAAAAAAACCUAAAUAAAACAUUGAUUUGAUAUUAAUUAUAAUUAAUUUCAGGUAACACAAAAAGAUAAUUGUUGUUAAAACAAAACGUAUUAUUUUGUUUUUCAUUUACGGCUAAAUUAAAUGUACUUAUAUUUAUGAUUCCAAAUUCCCCUUCAACCAAAUUUCCCAUUACAUCAAACUUUCAGAAGAAAUAUCUUUGGGCUAUAUAUGAAAUAAUUGCACCUGUCUGGUAUCAAUCUUAAAUAAUGGUUUGCAUAAAUUAGAUCUAUCACGCUGUUUCAACAUACGCAUUAAAUUGUAAGCCAUUUAGCCCUGCUCGUGUGAUUAGAGUAGCUAUUUGGUAGAGGAGAUAUGCUCAUUGAUGUCUUCUCUCUAAUUAGUGAAACUGCAAUCAGUUGCAACUUUAAGUUUGCCUUUUUCCAUUAACACUUUGGCUGUAUGGGGAACUUGGCAUUGACUUACAGAUCUGUGACAAUGACUUGAAAGAGAAGAAGCCUAGUAGAUAGUCCACAUAUAAUGUCAUGUGUUUUUUUUUUUGUGCCUGUCAAGAUGCAAUUGAGUCAGACGUGUUACUGACUAAUGAUGUAACCGUUAUCAACAGUGGAUAAUUAAUAUUAAUGAACAUAUUUCAUACUUGGUGCGUGAACACUCUCAAGGUGACUGUAUUAAAUAUAGUCUUUUAUUUAUGGCAUUUAAUUAAAAUUGAAUGAGUAAUGCUUGAAUUUUUAGUUUCUUAAAGGAGAACUCUGAGCUGUUAUUGACCCCUUUUUUUUCUUUAAUGCCUUGCAUUGAUAAUGCAUAAAAGAUAUGCAAAAUAUUUUUCAAAAAUAUUACAUACAAAGUCACAUACAUUUGAAAUUGCUGCAUCAGUAAAUUAUUUUCAUAUUAUUAUUAUUAUGUUAAUUAUACAGCGCCAUCAAAUUCCGCAGCACUUUACAAUGAGUGGACGAACAGACAUGUAGUUGUAACCAGACAAGUUGGGCACACAGGAACAGAGGGGUUGAGGGCCCUGCUCAAUGAGCUUACAUGCUAGAGGGAGUGGGGUAAAGUGAAACAAAAAGGUAAGGGUAGUGUUAGACUAGUGACAGUUGCAGAAGUGGAAUCAGUCAGGAGCUAGUAACAGUUUUAUUGAUACGCUUUUAUGAAGAAGUGGGUUUUUAACGAUUUUUUGAAGGAGUGUAGACUGGGUAAGCAUCUAACGGAGGAGGGAAGCGAGUUCCACAGGAACGGUGCAGCACUCGAGAAAUCUUGAAGGCGAGCAUCAGAGGUGGGAGUGCGGACAGAAGAUAGACGUAAGUCUUCAGCAGAUCGUAAGGGCCUAGACGGUACAUACUUGUGUAUAAGGGAGGAAAGAUAGGUGGGAGCAGCAUUAUGUAGAGAUUUGAAAGCAAGAACCAGAAUUUUAAAUUGAGCGCUAUAUCUUACAGGAAGCCAAUGUAGGGACUGACAGAAGGGUGAGACGUGGGAGGUGCGGGCGGACAGGAAGAUGAGCCUCGCCGCCGCAUUCAUUAUGGACUGUAACGGCGCAAGUUGGGAGCACGUAAGAGCACUGAGAAACAGAUUACAAUAGUCAGUGGGACAGUGGAAUGGACCAGCAACUUAGUCGCAUCUGGCGUUAAGUAAUAUCUUAAAAUAAACUGCAAGUUAUUGCUGCCUACUCAAAAAAAAAAAAAAGUGUUUGGUCAAUUAGGAUUCUCUAAUGGGUUUUUUUUAUGGGACUUUUCAAAGCGUUGACUUUAGUUUUGGGUAAGGCAGAGGUUUUGGACGUAGUAUUUUAGAACAAGUGUAUAAUUAAAGACAAACUUGAGAAAAUGGGAGCUCUAUGCACAUACAGUACAGCAUGGAAGAAAUAUUUCACAUUAGAUGAGGUGUGAUAGAAAAGGUAGCAUACCUCCCAAGUGUUUCUAUUUAGAAUGGACAGUCACUAUUUUGGUACCAAAUCCCUCUGUCCCUCUUCAAUCCUAAUAUCUGUUUUUUUUUUUUUUUUUAAAUGUAAUCUUUCUUUUUGUUGUGCAGGUACAUGCACUAGCCCCAGCAGCAUUACGAACAUGUCAGAGAUAUGAAAUAAACAGAAGUGCCAAUAUCAGAAGAAAGAUGUCAAUAAAAUAUGCUGAAAGGGUGGCACGUAAGCCUUAUAUAGAGUUAUGAGACAAUAAGGUUCACACUAUCUGCUAACUGAAAGCAAUAAAUGAAAAUAAAUAAAUACAACAGCAUGUUUUUGUUUUUCUAGAAAUUAUAAGAGAUGCUUGUAGUAUCCUGCUUGAUAGGACACAUAUUAGAUCAGACAAAUUAACUUGGAGAUACCUAGUAACAUUAACAAAACAGAAUUUCCACUGGGAGAUAUAAUGUAUACUACAGCAUUGUAUGAGUAAAACACCCUAAAAUAAACAGUAACUAUGCCUAAAGUAUUCAAUUGGUAAAAUUAACCUUGCUGUAGUAAGAAUCUGUGGCCCUCUCAGCCAAUGUUUUCAGAGGGAGAGACUCUGCGGCUAGUAAACUGGAGUCCAGCCAAGCUGAGAAAGUUGCCCCACCAGUCCAUGGCCACAUCACACUUCAGCAAGAUGCAACAUUAGAUCAAACUGCAUCUGGCUGCUGACAUAUUCCUUAACCUCCCGUCACAUGGCCCCAGCGUCGCACAACUGAAUCCCUCUGAUUAUAUGCUCUGUGCCUGGGGAGGUGACUCCAGUUUAUUAGCUAGACCCUCAAUGCCUAUGCACCGUCCACGGUGUCUGUUCAUGUCUACUCCUCCGUGAUGCCAUGCCAGGAAUGCAUGGGAAAACCCCCAUCUUUCUGUUCUGGCCAGCAGAUGGGGUCUGAGAUGCCUUGUCUCUGAAUAUAGGAGAACAGAGGCCUACCUCACAAGAUGGCCAACACACAGAGACCUUCUGCUUUACAUGCCAUCCCACAGACACCUUCCAAUAUGGAUCCGCUUCUGCAGGCUUUCAACUGCCCGUGUGCCCAUUUUUGGGCAAAACUCUGCAUCUGAGCAUCUUCUUCUCCUCCUAAUGUCCCUCUUUUCUUGAAGCUUCUUAUUGUUGGUGUAUCUGAGUGUAUAACAGAUCUCCACAGCAAUAAUACACCCAGUAAUGUGUCUUAAAACUACAAUAAAUGUGUUUAGAAAUCAGUCUCUGUAAAUAAGAUGCAUUGCUAUUGUUCUAAAUUUUACCACAUGACAGGAGGCUUCAUAUUUGCAUAUCUUUCUUUACUGAAAACUCCAGCAGCAUAGAAACAGUAACAACCAAUCAGAGAAAAGAUAUGGUGCCCAUAAGAGGCCCUGUCUAUGACAUCACUUCCUCUUUCUUUGCUGCUCCAGCCUACAACAGGUCAGAGUAUUAUUACCUCUCUGAUGUAUUUAUAUAUUUUUACUCUGCCUUCACUUUGUAACUAAAUAUCUAUCCAUCUACUGCUCCUUGCUCCCUUCCCUGUCCCCCUGUCUCUCCAUAUUCAGUGUGUUACUACCACUUUAUCUAAUGUUGGUCGGGUGGUCCGCGGGCGUCACGGCUGUCCGUGCCGCGCUCGCUGCGUGGACCUGCCCUGCUGACACUCAGGGGACUGUGUGGGGACGGGUGGAGGGUGGCCGGGGCGGUUUUGCAUUCUUCCGCCGUGUUUUUCUGCUUACUCACGGCAGCGAGCGAGUAAGCCUGCUGCAUGCGGCUGUCGGCCAUCUUGGAUCUCGCGUCUCACGAGACCAACGACGGCCGCCUUCCCUGCUCACGCGGCGGUUCGGGAAUCACCCGAUCACCAGUCCCUGCAGCUGCAUUAACCCCUUCAGGGGUCCCCCUCCCUAGGCACUUUCGUUCUUGGUUGAAAUAAAACAUUUUCUUCUCUGCUGUGAAUGCCACAUGGAUUUAACUCUUAGUGCCUUACACUGGAUGAUUAUGUUGAGCAUGCAAACAAUUUAAAUGUAUUAUGGUUCAGUCCAUACAAUACCACUAUUACUAUACAAACAAUUACUGUGACAUAUACAGAAUCAACUAUCUCACUGUACCCUUCCAAGGGCAUAUUGCGUUACUGUACCCUACACAGGGCAUAUUAUAUUACAUUAUUGUAUCCUACAGAGGGUCAUAUUAUAUUACUGUACCCGACGGUGCAAAUUUAUGUGGGUGUCCUCUGGGUAUUUUUUCAUGCCACACCACCUGGGGUGACCCCCCCAGAUAGGCAUGCAAGGUCACUGACAGACCAUUACCUUUGAUGUGGGUGUCCACUGGGUUACCACGGCACACCACCCGGGGUGAACCCCGAUCAUAUGCACGGAGGCCUAUGCCUCAACUUUACCACUGAUUACUACAGACAUAUAUGGAUGUUUAAACACUGCCUGUCAGUUUUACAUUAAAGCAACAGUACCAUGCCGGAUAUGAUUUGACGGCAGGAUCACUAAGGAAACUGAGGGUAUUACGGUGUAUCCUUCACAUGGAUACAUAUAUGUAUAUUUACUGUGCCUAGUGGACAUAUUGAACGUGGGUGUCCUCUGGGUAAUUUUUCAUGGCACACCACCUGGGGUGACCCCCAGAUAUGCAUGCAAGGCUUGUAAGGUGCUAAUAAUUAUAAUAUGGGUGUCCUCUGGGUUACCAUGGCACACCACCUGGGAUGAACCCAGCCGAAUAGACAUGGGUCCUGCGGCUGCAGACCUUAUGGAGACAGGCCCCACGCUCCUAUAUAAUAAGCCUGUAUAGUUAAAAACCGUGCAUACAGCUCUGGCGUACAUUUGUGGUGAACCCGGCUAGCCAGACCAACACCACUACCAGUUAAUCGCGCCUGCACCGCGGCUCUCAGUAGCCAGAUUAAACUAAUAGAGGUGACCCCUCUACACUUUGCACGAGUAUUCAUACUCUCAGACAAACUAAAGCGGGCAAUUCAAACCGUUUUACCUGAGUGAUCCCCAGUUCUACCAGGAGUCUUGCACCCCUACGUACUGACCCUCACACACUACUCCCACUGUCUCCCAUCAGGACAGAAACGAGUCAUGAUGGACACUCUCAACCUUCCCAAGAUUUCUAGGAAAUGAUAAACGCCGCAGUAGCGGCCUCAGUGGAGAAGGUUCUGUUAUGAGCUCUGCCCCACACUGCUUGAUGGAGACCUCAGGCCCACAAGCCUUCAAGUCAAAACGGCAAGGGAAGGGCUCCAGCCCCCCUGCCACUAAGGCCAAGGGCAAGACGCCCAUCGAACAGACCAAAUAGGUGGAGCACUGGGAAUCCAAACCCCGUCCGCCACAAUCUUCCGACAAAGAAGGCUAUUUCCCACCACGUACAUGGUAGAUGAGCGACACGAAGACAGCUCACCGUCUGAGGAAGUGGAACGGCAAGACCUACCCCACACUUCCUCGAAGUACAUUAGGGAAACCUUACUCUGUGACGGCGGGUGAGGCAGAGAUAGCAGUAGUGGCACUAAACCAGAGUAGCCGAAGACGGAACGUUCCUGGACGAACACUAUUGGCUGCGCAACCCUCUGGGGAUGGAAGUAUGCGCACGCCUCCAGACCGAAUACCCCAGACCACUGCUACCAGACAAAGUGGCAGUUGCGUCCAAGCUCAACAACACUGUGGUAGUCUUCAUUGCAUGCUCAGAACGAAACCCCGCAAUGGUGGGGAGUAUGGCCUGAGGUCGACACGCGAUAAAGUACUUGAUUUACCAGGCUUGAUUGCAAGAUACUCUAUUUUGCGGAUCUGGCACUCAACCAGGGUACACACCUCAACCCUACCACCUCCAGAGAAUGGGCUCGAUGCUCGAUAUGCCUCCUGGGCAAUGCAAAUGACGCACUAUGCGCCGACAGAUGCAAAUCUGUACUGGUCCGCAUCGAAAACACACUAUUGGACUUAGGAAUGACAAGAAUUCGGCCCAAAAGCACAAGGCCUACUAUUCAACGUAGUGUUCAUUGCAGUACUCAAGAAACACGUGUAUUAAUUCACACACUAAAUUAAACCCAGACCUCGCUAAAACAAGUCUUCCACACCCCUACGGGGAAAGGUGUUUUUGGGAGGGCUGGUCGGUAACGGAACCGAGCCACCAGCCGCUUCUGGGCGACAGGGUCCAGAUCGUAUACACAGUCCUCAUAUUUCUCCCAUCUACUACACUAAGGACCUCAUCCGCUUCAUCUACUAGUGAGUCAACCUACAUAACUAACUGUUUCCAAUUUUAUGACCGGCAACCUGUCUCUAUUUUACAGUUUUGGGAGACGACUACCAAAGUCACCUGGGUUCUCCAGACGAUACAAGACUAUGUCAUAUAGUUUUUUAUCACAGCCGUUCAGGUCACCCCUUCACCUCCAUUGUGCACGCUGGCGGAACAUCUCGUGGACAAGGAAAUCCACACCCUCUUCAAGAAGUGCGCAAUUCAACAUGCACCGGAGGCAGGGCCAGAUUAAGAGCCCAGUGGGCCUGGUGCUGACAAUUAUGACGGGCCUAAUUACAGAAUCAUAUCGACCAAAAACAGUAAAACACUCCCAAGUGUCAUGUAUCUGAUGGAGAUGGUGCUGGAGAGAAAGAAAACAGCAGCUAUAAGAAAACACAUACCCUAGGCUAAUCUCUCACUAAUUUAUGUUUUCAUCUUUCAAGUAAAUCCAUAACCCCUAACAGCAGUGUCCAGUCAAGCAAGAAGUCAAUGGGCACGGUAAAAGGGUGUGCCACUGACACAAAUCACGUAACCUGCCAAAAGGGGCGAACAUGCCCAAAAAGAGGACAUGUCUGCUCAAAGAAUUAGAAGGCCAGCCUGGCAUGAAUGCAUGUCAGGCUGCAUGCCAAUCAUGCAGCUGGCCAACUAAGGGCAUACUAUGCAGACAGCACCCUGAGCUUGGCAUAAAUGCAUCUAAUGAUGCGCUCGCUCAACGCUUUCUAAGGACUGUCCCCUAGCACUCGCUGGUCCACUUGUCUCCUUACCUUCUUACUAGCAGGCAGAAGCUCCUGGUAUAUAGUCUGGGACAGAGAAAAGCUGUAUGUAGUGAGUGUAGAAGAAAGGGAACAUGCCACAGUGUUAGAGAGACCAAAGUCACAUUACCUUAAAGGAUCACUAUAGGGUCAGGAACACAAACAUGAAUUCAUGACCCUAUAGUGUUAACACCACCAUCUAGCCCCCCUGGGCCCCUCAUGCCUCCAUAAAUAUAGCAAAAUCUUACUGUAUUCAAGCCUGAAGCUGUAACUCUGCAUGCUGUUAGACUCAGAAAAACAAGCAGUCUGCUGACAUCAUUAGAAGUGGUGGCCUAAUCCAAUCACAGUGCUUCACCAUAGGACUGGCUGAGGCUGACAAGGAGGCAGAUCAGGGGCAGAGCCAGCACGAUUCAAACACAGACACUAGAGACACUGGCUGGGUGACAUGGGGGCACUGGGAGACAUGGGGACAAGGAGACACCAGGGUCACAGACACUAGGGACACUAGCUUGGAGACAUGGGGACAUUGAGACACUUGAGGCACUGGGAGACAUGGAGGCACUGGGAGACAUGGGGACAGUGAGACACUGGCAGACUGGGGGCACUGGAAGACUAGGGGGCACUGAAACACCAGGGACACUGACUGGGAGACAUGGGGACACUGUGCCCCCAUGUGUCUGUGUCAUAAUGUCUCCCAAUGUCCCUUAGUGUCUCAGUGUCCCCAUGUCUCCUUGCAGCCUUUACCCCCAUCCCUUACUUCCCUGAGCUGUAGGCUGUCUCUGCAGGGUGGGAGUUGCUGUCUGGACUCUCUGUAGCUGCACCCCUGCAGAUCAGUGAGUAUAGAUAGGCAGGGAAGGAUAUGCUGGAACUUCCUAUCCCUGCCUGUCUUCACAUACAACGACCCCUACUGGCCAGUGCUGGUAUUGCAUAGUAAUCUUUAUCCUAAGAUUUAUACUAAGAAAAAUAUCAGCAUUUGUAUUGCCAGUAUCACUGUAAUAUUAGCACCAGCCAGGCAGCCUCAAAUACUGGCUGUGCCAAUAAAAUAAAAGCCAGGUAGAAUCCCUAAGAGUAGUGUGUGGGGGAAAAAAAAAAAUAUUUUUUUUUUUAUUUUUUUUUUAAUAAAUCAAUGGGCCUAUUCCAUGGGCCUGGGCCUGGAGCUGCAGCUCCAUCAGCCCCUAUGUUAAUCCGGCCCUGACCGGAGGGGAAGGCUUCCUCAGCAAAAUUUUUCCUGGUCAAGAAGAAGCCAGGAGACUACAUCAAUGGAACUCCUACGUGGUAUACAAAUGCUUCAAGUUGGAGGAAAUUCGUCUUCUACAGGACCUCCUAAGCGGUAACGACUGGUUUACACAUCUGGACCUCAAGGACGCACGCUUGUCAUUACCCGUUACCCUGGACUGCCGAAGCUUCCUCCGAUUCCAAUGGUGAGGACAAACAUGGCAGUUUUACGACUCCGUGGUGCUCGCGAAGCUACUGAAACCAGUGAGGGCACACAUCCGUAAAUUUGGGCGUGCAAUGCCUCGUAUACCCUGAAGAUUUGCUGACUCUUUACGAAUCCAGGCUACAUUUGCAGACAAUUUGUCGUUCACUUUCGGGACUCCAUGGGUUUUUUGUAGUACACAGACAAAAGAUCGCUUCUCCAUCUGAAUCGGGCCAGUUCCUCGGUUUCGACAUCGGCUUGGAGAACUACGUUCUGCGUCGAUCCACGGCAAAGAGCACCUCUAUAAGGAUAGCUGUCGGACACGCUCUAAGGUUGGAUGCGAUUCCUCUCAGGAUACUCGCCGGAUUGUGGGAUUCCUCUCCUCCUCUCCUCCUCCAUACAAGCGAUAUUCCCUGGCCCACUAAACUACAGGGCCAAUUAACGACGAGAUACGUACGCACCGGUCACUCAUACGACCACUGGAUACCACUGUCAGCAGAAGGGAGGACGGAAUUUCGAAGGUGAUUACUUCACAUACAAACUUGGAUUGGCAAAACGAUCUUUGACUCUUCCUUCGGAUACGAGGCGAUGGAUGAACCCCUACAAACGUGACCCAACCGUUCUCAAUAGCAAGGGUGCUUCGAUACACACGCACCCACAAGAUAUCGCUCCUGCUCAUGACACCCCUCGGACAGGGCCAACCGUGGUUUCCCGGAUCGCCUGGAGAUGUCUCGCGAAGACCCUCUACUACUCCCUACCUUCCCUCUACUUCCGACGGGACCUCGAGGGGAAGCCCACUCCCUUGUCAUGGAGGGACAACUUGCACUAGUUGCCUGGCCGAUUUCAGGGGCUCCUGGUCGGUUCACGACCUAUUGCAUCAACUGAGACCUCCUAUAGGACUCAUAGGCUCCAGGCACCAGGAAAGGCUAUGUUUCUGCCUGGUCGGCCUGGAGUGAUAGGUGUGUGGAAAGGGAGUCUGAUCCCUUUACCGCACCUGUCCUACUGAUACUCAACUAUCUGUCACACCUGGUCUCGUUGGGUUGGUCAUAUCGACCCCUCAACGUGAUCAGAUCCGCCAUAUUGGCGGCACACGUUCCGGUACAGGGCAGACCAGUAGGUCAAGAUACACUGGUUUGUUGACUACUACGGGGUGCCGAAUUGUCGAGACCCCGGCACCCAAGUAUUCACGCCUCUGGCAGGUGGAUGUGGUACUGAGAUUCCUUAGUGUAUGGCCGGACAAUCCUUGUUGGUCACUGGAAAAACUUUCAGCCAAACUAGCCCUCUUAUUAUGCCUCGUCUCAUUUAGACGGGUGGUGGACGUUAGGGUUUACGAUAUGGAUGGUUUCUCUCUCACCCAGACAGGUUACCUUUACCAUGUCGAGUCCGAUCCGUCUUCAGUGUCAUACCCAUACUUUGUGUCAGACGCCACACUAUGCGUGGUCAGAACGCUAAUGGGGUACACUGAUAUCUCUACCCCUUCGAACUCAUUCGACGGGUCACCUUCUGACUUCUCACGUGAACCCUCAUGGACCGGUGUCUACCGCAACACUGGCCAGAUGGGUCCGCUGGCUAUUGUCUUUAGCGGGCGUCGAACCUUGUUUUGGAGCCCACUAGGUCAGGGAGUGGCGGCCUCACAAACCUUUUCGGCCGACGCUUCCCUAGCUGACAUUAUACGCUGCGUGGACUGAGCGCGAGAGAGUACGUCUAGAACGUUCUAUUUCGACAAACAUCUCAUGCUUCCUUCACAUUGGUCAAUUCAAAGCUUUAAAAAUGCAAAUAUGAAGCCUCCUGUCAUGUGGUAAAAUUGAAGAUUAUAUUAGCUUUAGUGUACUAAUAAUCUUAAUUUUAGUAAUGACAGGAGGCGAAUAUUUCCCACCCUAUAGGAUCCCUCCCAUGUUUCUCGUGUUGAACAGAAUAUGUCCUUUAUGUUGAGGAAGGUAAGUACGUAUGGUUUGUAUGUUUGCUACUUAGACCUGUAUCUUGUGGAUCUUGGAUAGGUUGAAUAUUAGACAUGAACCUUGCAUUAUGUUGUGUUUAUAGAUUCUUAAAUAUCAUUGCUUUAGAAUAAAUAUACAUUGAUAUGUUUCACAUUCUAAUGUUUGUUGGUAUAUCAGAUGCUUAAUGCUUAUUGUAUGCGGAAAAGUUAUCACGCCAGAGACCUUUCACCUUUUUCUUUUCUUGCAGCGUGAACGUCUUCUCAUCGAGACAAAGAUUCACCUUCCAUACCUCUGCAUCACGGAACUAAUGGAGUUGGAUAUUCUAAUAUGUUGUUGAACUGUUGACGUAAUAUGAUUAUGUCUCUUGUUGUUAUUUAUUGUUUCGCUUCAAAGAAAGAGGAAGUGAUGUCAUAGACAGGGCCUCUUAUGGGCACCAUAUCUUUUCUCUGAUUGGUUGUUACUGUUUCUAUGCUGCUGGAGUUUUCAGUAAAGAAAGAUAUGCAAAUAUUCGCCUCCUGUCAUUACUAAAAUUAAGAUUAUUAGUACACUAAAGCUAAUAUAAUCUUCAAUUAUAUUUUAGUUUGAUCAAUUGUUUUUAGUAAGUUUCCUAAAAUUUCUCAGAGCAGCCUGCCCUUGUCCAAGCCCCUACUCACACCCCUCAAAUUAUAGUGACACUCUUUGUCCAUUUUAAAUAGUGGAAGGUAUGAAGUAGGGUUAAGAUGCAGAAUUAUGUAAAACAUGUCUUUUGCAAAAAAUAAUACACACACACAUAUAUAUACAAAAUUGAGCAUGCAAAAUACAUAGAUAAUUACUUAGCCCUGAAAGCAAUAACUUCAUAAAAAUUGUGUAUUGCUACCUAGCAUGUCUGUUUACUGAUAAUUCAAGUAAUUUUAUGCACAAGUGAAAGAGAAAAGGUUGCAAUUUAGGAGUAAGCUGUUUUCUCCAAUCAGAUUCUCUUAAAGUACAAAUCUCAUCAGGAGCAGAACUUAUGAAUUAUAUCUUAAAUGAACUUGGCUCAUAGAGGUAGCCUUCCCCAGGUAGUAUAAAAAAUGCCAUGUAUUGGUCCUACAGAAUAGGUUUUCCUUAGUCCCUGUAGAUUGUUUUAAAGCUUUCUUAAUCCUACUUAAAGUAGUAAACUGUAGAAAUUUGAAAGCUCUGCACUCCAUCAUGGUAACUAGUAUGAGGAUAACCUUUUGUGUUGAAAGUUUUAAAUAAACAUUAUGUUUUACAGAGUAUCAGAUAUGGCUCAGAUCCAGAAUAUGAAAGGAAAGGCUUGGAAGAGAAAAAGGGGAUGUCAAAGGACCAUUAUGAUAAGACUUUUCAAAUCAAACAUAGAACCAAGAGGAAGCACUCAAGUAAACAUGCCUACAUAAAAUAAAUGCUGCUAGGACCAACUGCAGUGAAGUAGUGUACCAACGAAGAGGGGGACAUUCUGUCCCAUGUUACAGAUGGGAAUUGGUCCACAGAUCAGCUCCCGCCUGUCAAUUCUUGUAGCUUGGCCUUGUGGACCUUCUGUGGAUGAUCUUCAUUAUCCUCUGCCUAGUGUGACAGGGAGCUGCAAGUAGUGUGCAGAGAUAUGAAUGAACAUUGUGAAGAAAAUAGACUUAUUUUUGGCAUUUUAUUCUUUUAUUCGUGACUUUCCGCUGUAUUUGUUUAUUUGGGAUUUAUUGGUUCAGUAGAUUAAACUUCAGCACAUCGACCACCCUCCUGGCUCAUUACCGUCAAAGGGAACCUUCUAUUAAGCGUUCUCUGUGCGGCCGACGUUCGUAUAUGUGAAUGCCACGUGGAAGAGAAAAUGCUGGCCAUCUUGUUUGCACGAAAGGAGGAAGCGGGACUUGGUCGUCGAGUGUCUGGAACCAAAAUCGGACACGACUUAGAACCACCGCUGAAACAUACAAAUGCCUACUUCCUUUUGUUGCCGAACAGCUAGGAGAGCGCCAUUCGGUAGUUUGGUUCAUACGAAUACGGGAAGCAAUCGCUCCUAUGAGCCAGGAGGCUCCGUUCGUGCUUUUAUUCAUUUUUAUGCUGUUCUCUGAAUUGACCGACCGCACACACUGAAUUCGUGGAACUGUUUUGGGCAGGAGCUCGUGUGCGGUCAGUGAACUAAGACUUCCACACUUUUUGAGAACCCCUAAACCGAUCUGGGUGGAAUUUGAAUAUGUUGGUCUCCAGAUAUGGGCUAUCAGUGGACAUUUGUGGGGAUACCUUGUGUAUAAAGGGGUGUUCCAAGUUUUGGGGAAAUUGUGUGUCCUCUGCCUGGAGAUAAUUGGGUUAUUCCUUAACUUAUCUCAGAAUCUCCCAGGCAGAGGAAAGGAGGGUUUUACUGUAAAACUGUAUAAUGAAUGGUUGUUCCUUUUGUUUAUUGUAGGAGGUCCUCUGGCAGGAGGAUUUCCAUAAAAGCCAGUGUGGCGUCGAUAAAGAUCAUUCCUGUUGUACACUUCAUGAAGUCUAGGCUCAUGCUUGGGAAAUAUUUUAUUUGCUGGGGAGAAUCGUCUUGGAAGCUGCAUUCAUCUACCCUAUUCCUCUACACCCUAACUGCCGUUAUAAUCACUUAUGCUCAGCUAUUGGGAAAGGAAUAGAAGACCUCAGUACCACAACCACUGAAGGUCUUAACAAACAUUAUAUCCCCAGCCGGUCCACUCUGAUCCCUGCUUGGAGCUUCCUGUCAGACUAGGCAAAGGAUAAUAAUAAUCAAAAUAAAAACCAAGUCCAAUCACAAUGUACUCACAGUGUGGGCUUUUCAGAAUGACAGAAAUCUCCCUGUCCUGCCAAAAACAGUCAGUAGACGGCCGCAGAAGGAGCUGGGAAGGCAGCCGCAGAAGGAGCUGGGCCCUGGAUAUAGCUGUGAACAAUUUCAGGAUUAUUAUUACAGCAGCUCACAUCAAGUUUACAAGAUAAACCAGACCACAGAAAAUAGAUACUGAACAUUCCUCAACAUGUUGGAGAUGUGGCCUACAUGAAGGCACACAGAAGCAUAUCUGUUGGUCAGUCAUAUUAGUAAAUAAAACCUGGAACAAGAUUUUCAGUUUAAUAUCAGAUAUGCUGAAAACUAUGCUCCCUUUUUCUCUGAAAGGAGCCAUUCUUUACUUACAUUUAGAUAGUAUGAAUAAAAAUGUAGCAAAUCUAAUUAUUUAGAUACUUAUGGCCAUGAAACGAUUGGCCAAUGGUAAUGAACCAAGAAAACUUCCAACUUAAAUAGGAGAAGGCCUUUUUUUCUACUUUUAAAAUAUAUAGUUCUUUUCUUGAGAUAUGGAAACCCUAUAUAAAUAAAUUCGCAAACUUUGAGUAAUGUAUGAUUCCUUCUUUUUUUUUUUUCUCUUUUUAAUGAAACUGAAUAGGCCUGGCACACAUCACCAUCACGCAAACUUGUAUUGUCUAAAUGUAUGUGUAUGAAAAUACUACGCAAUUUAAAGUAAUUACUAACGGCAAUUGUUUGUAAAUCUAUGAUUAUUUAUUGUUCACCUUUACGCAAACUAUGCAUUGUAAAAGCUAUUUGUAUAUUCUUAAGGCAAACUCUCAAUUGCAUAGAUAUAUGCCUUCAGUAAUUUGGUAUGUAAUUGUUUAUUGUUUGUAUUGGGGGGAAAAAAUAAAAAAAAUUCAUCAGAAGUUUACAAGAUAAACCACUAAAAUGCAAUGUGCAUGUAAAAAAACAAACAAUAAACAAAACAAAAUAAAAUGCUAUAAACUUUGAAAUAAAUUGUUCCUAAAUGGCUGUAGAAUAAGGCUCAAAAUAUACCCAAUGACAUAAGAGGCUCGGCAUCCGGCAGGACCAAGAUUAGAUGGCAAACCAUUGCAAAACGGCACUCCAGCCCACUAUGAUGUUUUAAAAAUAUUGCCAUUUAGAGCAUAAAUAUUAUUUAUUUAUAAAAUAUUUUAUCAGGAUGGAUACAUUGAGAUUUCUCUAAUUUUCAAGUAUGUCCUGGGCCCACAAACAUUGCAUUGUUACAAUAGGAUACAAUAUAAAACACAAAAUAUACAAACUAUAUAUAUAGUAUGCUAUAAAUAUAGAAUGCUAAAUAUCGUGCUGGUACUGGAUCGGAGGUUAUAGGAGGUGGGAACAGCUGGGGAGAGCAUUCUACUCAGAUAGGGUGGGAGCUUCCCAGAAAUGCUGUUAUGCACCGGGCUGGAAAGAUGAAGAGUGCGUCGGGAUUCCAGUGACAACCAGUUUAGCUCUUUUAACAUGUCACAGUGGUGGGUAAAGUAAUUACAUUAUAGUACAAAGCGGCAGAACAAAUGAUAUAACGUAUUAAGUUUAUUAAGGUGGAUUUGCGGUGCGGAUGCAUACACUACAUCCCCAUAAUCAAUGACCGGCAUUAGCAUUUAUUGCACUACCUGUUUCCUUACUGUAGGGCUUAGGCAGGAUUUGUUUCUGUACAGGGCACCUAGCUUUAGGUAAAGUUUUGAAGAGUUUUUUUCAAUGUGAAGGCCAAAGGAUAGAUUGGGGUCUAGCAACAUACCUAGAUAUUUAAAAGAGCAAACUGCUGUCAGUGUACUAUUUGAAUUUGUUCUGAUGCACAGUUGUUGAUUUUGUAGUUUAUGUAAUUUGGGUACAGUUCCAGAGAUCAUUGUAACGGUUUUGUCAGUGUUUAGAAAGAGUCCGCUAUCCACUUUUAUACCUCUGUGAAUUGGUUUUGGAGCACAGCCUUAAGCUGCGGUAGCUUGAGUUUUCUAGUGUAGAUUACAGUGUCGUCUGCAUACAUGUUGUGACGGACGAAUACUAGCGUUGUCCUCAAUUAUAAAAUCCAUAACGAUUACAGUGUCUGCAGGAUGCUUCUAUACUCACUAGGUAGCCAUCCCACUGCUGCCACCAGAUGUCACGGACCGCCUGGCACCCCGAUUGGGUGCCUCCGCCAAUCGCUGCUUCCUUGCUGUCGCCGAGUACCAUUAGCACCGCACCGGACACCAUAAGCACCGUAGCCCCUUAGCCCCCGGAGCUUGGCUGGGGUCUCGUCGUCCAGUCUCACCCUGGAUCAAACUCCUGGAUCCAGCUCCCAGUGAGAAGACCUCUCCUCCAAGAGAGUACAGCAGGUAGAGCAGUGUAGCUCUUACAAGAGCUAGUGAUUAUAGCAAUCCAAAGAAAAAUCCCAGGAGCAGGGAUUAUAGCUGGUAUAGCUUUCCCCUACACGCAUGAGUCAAGGCUCUGUGGUGAGGGUAAACUGGAACUCGUUUAUUGGUAGCCACAACUAGCCUAAUAUGCAGGUCCCCAUGCAAGGGGCACUCCCCCCUGGACCUAUAGUAAAAACAUACACCAGAUUACAUUGGCUCUCAGGUCCAGGACACUCCCCAUUAAAGAAGAUAAUCCCUCCUCUGUGCCUGGGAGAUAAUCAAGUCAAGCACUGUGUUAUUAUCUCCAGGCACAGAAAACAUACAUUUCCACAAAACCCCAAAAAUACCUUCAAACACACAAACCCCCACCCCCCUAUCAGCUACAUCCCCUGAUAGCCCCGAUCUAGGUGACCAACAUAUCCAAAAAUCACCCAGAUCGAUUCAGGAAUUUCAUAAUUUAAUUUCCCCUAGCCUGGAAAUAGUUCCAUAGAAUCGCGGCUAAGUGCCGCUGGGGACCGACCGGGAACCGCGAAGUCUUCAUGCCGAAAAUAGUUCCAUAGAAUCGCGGCUAAGUCCCCCUGAAGCUUAUUCACAGUUUUGGUUCAAUGCGAACGGCAGCCAGGGAGCUAGUGUUCGGUUCUAUGCGCACAAAUUGAAAGUGCUGAACCAAGGGGAAUAAAAUAUGGGUCUGUACAGUCGCUGACCUGGCCCAUAGUCUUUUGGCAGGAAGCUGGCAAGCAGGCCCCUCCAAGAACAUGUAACAGAGGCAUUUCUGCCACACAUGUGUACAGUUGAGGAUUUACAGACGUUAGGCAGAUCAUUUAUAAAUAAUGUGAAUAGCAGGGGAUAUGGAGCUUUGGUGAACACCAUACGUGACUGGAAGAGGGAGGUAAGCGCUAUCAGAAAUGGCCACAUAUUGCAAUUGGUCUGACACAUAUGAUUGAAACCGUGUUAGCAGACGAUCACCAAUGCCUGCGUUUUUAGGUUUUUACAAAAGAAUGCCAUGCUCUUCUGUGUCAAAGGCCUUGGCAAAAUCAAGGAAAAUAGCUCCAAUUAAGUCUCAUUGUUCCAUGCAAAUUUGGAUGUCAUUGCAAACUUUAAGAGGGCAGUCGAAGUUGAGUGAUUUUGACAAAAGCCUGAUUGAUCAGGGGUCAGAUAGUUUGAUUGUUGAUAAUUGUGACGGUAACCCCUGAGUAGUCGGGGUAUUUACCGCCUAGAUGUCGUUUUACCCACUCUGGAAGGGCACUGUGGAGUCCCAAUACAACAUCCUAGUAUACUGCUAUGAUAAGCAAGUUUCGUAGAGCUCUGAGAAGAGCUAGUGAUUACAGCAGGUAAAGCAUUUCCCUAGAGCACGAGACGAGGCUGUGAGCAGAGGGUAAGAAGAUCUGAGAGUUUAAUGGGUCAGGUUGGAUUUUUUUACAAUUCCUCAGGCGAGGGGAACACCCACUGAACCUGAUGGAGCACCGAAUUACAAGAUGUGCAAACCAAUAAAAACAAUGUACAAUGUCUGACACUCCCACAUACAGCACACAAUCCCUCCCCUCUGCUUGGAAGAUAAUUGAGCAAGAUAAUUAACUCAAUUAUCCCCAAGCAGAAAAAACUAAUUUUUGCAAAGUACAAAAAACACCCCAAAACAUGACAUUUCCCCAUGUUAUAUCCCCUGAUAGCCCUGGUCUGGGUGACCAACAUAUCCAAAAAUCACCCAGAUCAGAGCAGGGGUUCAGAAAAUUCCUGGAAGUCCCUUUUGACCGACUGCACACAUGGCUUCAUGCCCAAAAAAGUUCCAGAGAAUUAGGUUGUGCGGUCGAUCUUUUUUCAAUAAUUAAAAUGCACUUUGAAUAUUCGAACGAGACCGUUCGUGCACAAAGUCAGGGUUGAAGUGCGUUUGGUAGAUUACUUUUACGGAACGGCACUCACUUUGUUGGGAUUUAGUGGAAGUUAGCUGGGGGUUGAAGUUCUAGCGGUGUUCGUGCCGUUGAGUGUCCAAUUUUAGUUCCAUGCACUUGAAGACAAAAUACCGCUGGCAGCGUUCGACUAAAUAAGAUGGUCGCCACCACCUAUUCGGCUAUACGAAUGGCGACCACCCAGCCUUUUGUUGAUUAAGCUGCGUUUAACCACAACUUCUGGGAGGUUAACAAGCAGCACACUUCCAAUUAUGGAUGGUCCAGUACUUCGGCUGUUCAACAGUUUGAAGUGCCAUUUCAAAUCACUUCGAAAGGUCAAAGUGGUAAAAGUCCCAGCAGGCAGAAAUAAUGUCCUAGAAUCAAAAAAGUCACAGGGGCCAUAGUUCCAAGGUAAAAGACUGGCGAUUAGUCCUCUCCAUAACCCAGUGGCGAAGUGGCCUUUAUUACACAGCAAAGGGGAAACACUAUAACCACUGCAGGAAAGGGGAAACACCAUAACCUUUGGGAAAACAGAGGACUCCUGUUACAAUAAUAUUCACAUAGUUGCGUGUGGACGCAUUUUUCCAAGAUUUUUUACAAUACAGGGAGCAAUGAUAUCGGGCGAUAGUUAGAAACCAAAGUAUUGUCACCUCUUUUAUGGAUAGGCACUACUAUAGGAUAAAUACAUAGCAUAAACCUAUCCCAUAACUAAAAAACAUUGCUGUAAUGGCAAGCUAAUGCAAUGUAUGACCAUUUAAUAAAUCCUCAUGAUGAUUUUAAGAUACCUGUAUAUCGUUUAUAUUGUUUAAGAUAUAUUGUUUUAUAACCUAAAGCUAAAUUUAAAUGGAGGAGUAUGACAGUACUUGGUGUACUUUAAGUCUUCCCCCCGUUGGAGAGAAAAGGCACUAUAUAAAAAUACAUAAUUAGUAUAUAUAUAUAUAUAUGACUAUGUAAAUAUAUAAAUGUGGUUAGAUGGAAAAACCUAUUUAGGCAAUUUAUACUAUACUAUGUUUUAUAAACUGAUUCCACCAUGUAUUGUUUGAUAAGUAAAUCCACAAGAAAAUAUUAAGACAAUUACAGUAAACCUCAAAAAAUAUAUACACUUUCAAAAAUGUGGAAAUCAUAAUAAAAUGGCAAUAACAAAAAAAAGCUGAUUUCUACCAAUACGCAUCGCACCCAUCACCGUUAGAUGAGACCAGUUAAGACCCUGACACUGAAAAGGUGAAAACUGCAUAUAUCACUCAUUUAACAUAGAAAUGAAUGGAGGCGAAUUAGAUUGGAUACAGUGCUGGUGUGUUGUAUGAUAUUAAAAAAAAAAAAAAAAAAAUCAAAAAACAAAAUCACUGAAAUAUAGGCUUGAUGUCCUAUUUCAAAUCAUCCUUGUGUUAAGAUUGCUAGUUUUGUCUUUGUAUAGCCUGACAAUCCAUGCAUGUUAUGUUAGAUUGUAAAACCUAUUACUUUUUCAUUUUGCUUGUGUGUGUAACUUUAAGUACAUCAAUUCUUAAAGUGGAUCUUAUAUGGAUACGACCUGUCAUUCACAUAAAACACAUAUCUAGACAUUCAAUGUUAGUGAAUUGCUGAAACUCUAGGAAGAGCCUGUUACGGACCUGCAAGGUUAUUUAUCUGGGUUAUCUAAUAUACCGCUGGAUUACAAGAGCGUAUCGUACUGGAUACAAAAGAUUGACACUUUCAUUACCAGAAAAUCCGUGCAUUCCUUGUAUACUGAAGUAUUUUACAAUCUACAAGAGCAAGGCUGUGUUUCUUGGGACACGAUAAGGGCUUCUGGGGAUAAAUAUCCAAAGCUGGAUUUAAUUAUCUACAGUGCCAGACUCCAGAAAGUUGUCAUAUUCAUACGUUUCUAAAGCUGGCUGUGCAACUACAGGGUGAAAGUGAGAAUAUGGCAAUUGAAGUUUACAUUUUUCAGAGCUUUUUUUUUUUGCAGACUUUAGCUUCUUUGGUUGUUAUGUUGUCCAACUGCACCCCAGGAAUAAGCCUCCCUGAUUGAAAAUUGAGUAAGUGUAAAGGGAAACAGAGAAAGAUAGAAAGAAACAUUUUGCGAAAGAGGGGGUUUGUCUGGAAGAUGAGAAGGAGGGAAAUAGAAAUGGGCACCAAUAAAAGUAAAAAAUAAAAUAAAAAAAAUAAAAAAUAAAAAAAAGAGUUCUGGUAGUGCAGGGGGGAACAAGAAGUAGAUACCCAACUGCUGCCGAACUCCAUUAAGGUUUUCCAAGCAUUAUGCUGGCAAAGCAGAAUGGGAGAUGUAGUUUUGCAACAGCUUCAGGCCAUUGCUUUGAGAUAACUUUUGAAAAAGAGCAAUGGAAAAUACUGGCUGGUAGUAGAGGCAAUAUUCACCAUUUAUUCCUAGAGAAAUAUUUUACACGAGUUAAAAGACACCAUAUAGAAAAUGCUGCCCUGUGCUAUGUAGUCGUCACAUUCUGCAGGAGGGUAAUCGGUAAAUGAAUUUCCUUGGUGAUCUUGCUUUGAAUAAUGGAUUGAUUUGCAUCUUACAGCUUAUGAAUUCUAUGUACUGCAGGGCAUCAUUUUUCAUAUGCUGUCCUUCAGCAUGAGAUAAAAUAUUUGUCCAAGGAAACUUGGUGGGUCUGGAAACCCUGGUGGUUUAACAGGGAAGUUAGAAAGGCUUAAGGAGAGAGAAAAAUUGAGCAUGUUUAGAAUGUGUUUGCUGACAUUUCUCUCGAUUUCUAAUGUGAAUAACUUAAAGGGGAGUUGUCAAUUCACAGGAUCUUUAAUAUUAUGUUUACUAAUCCACUAUAUUUAACAAAUAUGUGUUUGUGAGAUUUUUGUUCCACCUCCUCAUUUGUCAGGUAUGCCUUAGCUGUGCCUCGACUCAAUUGCUAACUCCUUCCGCCCCUUUCUUACACAAAAUGCUACUAGGGAGCUUGUCCAUGCUCAAGUAAUUUCCUAAAUGAAUUAUUGUAACCCUCUCCUAAUUGAUCUUCCCAAAAGCUGUAUUACACCACUACAGUCUGUAAUAAAUGCUGCCGCCAGACUGAUUUUCCUCUCUAGUCGGUCCUCUCACACCUCACCCCUCUGUCAGUCCUUACAUUGGGAGUCAAUUCAUAUAGGAGUCAUAUAGGAGUCAAUUCAAAGUGCUAACCCAUACCUAUAAAGCACUGAACAAUUCCAGCCCCUCUUAUAUCUCCUCACAGAUCCAGAGGUAUGCCCCUUCUCGGUCUCGCCGCUCUGCCUGUGACCUUCUCCUGUCCGCUGCUCGCACCCGUGCGGCCAACUAACGCUUGCAAGACUUAUCGUGGGCGGCUCCCUUCCUAUGAAAUAGCCUGUCUACCCCCAUCAGACUCUCCCCUAGUCUUCAAUCCUUUAAGAAGUACCUUAAAACCCAUCUCUUUAGGAAAACUUAUGGCCUCCCAGAGUAACCUCUACUCCACAUACAUGUCUCUUGCUCUCUCCUACAGGGCAGUACUUUACUCUCUUCUCCAGCCCUGCUUCACUCCCACCUUAUUUGAUUUAUAUUUCCUGUCCUAAUGUGUUUUAUACCCCACCUCCUAUAGAUUGUAAGCUUGUUUGAGCAGGGUCCUCUUCAACCAUCAGACAUCAGACUCUCCCCUAGUCUGCAAUCGUUUAAGAAGUGCCUCGAAAUCCAUCUCUUUAGGAAACCUUAUGGCCUCCUAGAGUAACCUCUACCUCACAUACCGGUCCCUUGCUCUCUCCUACAGGGCAGCACUUUACUCUCUCCUCUAGCUCUGCUGCACUCCCACCUUGUUUGAUUGCUACCUCCUGUCCUCAUAUGUUUUAUACCCUACCUCCUAUAGACUGUAAGCUCGUUUGAGCAGGGUCCUCUUUAAUCUAUUGUUUCUGUAAGUUUUCUUGUAAUUGUCCUAUUUAUAGUUAAAUCCCCCUCUUAUAAUAUUGUAAAGCACUACUGAAUCUGUUGGCGUAAUAAUAAUAAUAAUAAUAUACAUAUUAAAUAAAAUGGAGAAUUGUAUGAAUAAAAGUUUACAGAAUUUAUAGGUGAUUUUCAUUGUUCUAUUCAAUGGUGAGAUUUCCAGCAAAGAGACAGUUCAUUUUUUAAUGAGUGUAUCUUGUACUUUAUAAAAAAAAAAAAAAAAAUUGCAAAAAAAGUUGUAAUCACAAAGUUCCAUGUAUAUAUAUACAGACCUACUGAUCUAUAGGUUCUGGGGAAGAUUUAUGGCCAUUUAUGACUAACCAGACACAAAUUCAAUGAGGAUAUGUUGGAACUCUUGUUGAAGCAAUGUUCCAGCUAUUAAAUGCUAAAUUAAAAACCAGUGGUUUUGUACACAUGGAGUGCAUUCAUUGACCUGUGCUCCGAGAAGCAGGAUGUGGUCCACUGCAAUAAGUUGAAAAAGGAAGCAGACGAGAGGUCAGUAGUGGGCACUUAGAAGACUGAGAAUUGGUGGUUUAUGAGAAACAAAUAGACUGGAGAGGCCCAGGGCAAACAGACUUUUUCUUAAACUUCAAAGGGUUUCCUCUCCUUUGCUUUUUUUAAAUUUAAGAUAACAUGUACCAGUAAGCAGUAUAGGCACAGUGACUGACAUGGGAAGGAUUAAGGAUAAGGGGGAUGCUUGUCUGGAUGUAAGAAGAUGCUUUAUUUUAACAUUUCGAGUGGCUGAAGAAUUUUAUGUUAUUUUAAAGUGGGGCUUUCUCUUAGACCAAACGUACAGGGUUAUUUACUAUAGUGAGAAUUCAAAAAGAAUUUCACAUUUAAGGUCAGAGUAGCUGAUUUGAAAGCAAAGCUGCCAUAGAGAAUUUUUACAGUUUGGCUAAUUUUCACUUUCAAUAACAUUGAUAGUGUACAUUGACUGAGUGCAGAAAGGACCUUACAAUGGACUCUUGGUUAGGGUCAGAAUGAGAAUUAAAAAGAGCCAUUGAAAAUGUAUUAGACAAGCUCCAUAAAGCACUGCGUUAAAAUAGUGUGCAGUUGAACAGGUGGAAAAAAGCUGAAUAUCUUAAUAUCCAUAGCACUUUAAAAUAAACAAAUAUACCCACUGACAGAUACACUCACAGACAUAUAUUCACUGGCACACAAUGUCUCACUGACAGAUAUACCCACACAUCCAUAUAUUCACUGGCACACACUGUCUCACUGACAGAUACACUCACAGACACAUAUAUUCACUGGCACACACUGUCUCACUGACAGAUACAUUCACAGACACAUAUAUUCACCAGCACACACUGUCUGACAGAUACACUCACAGACAAAUAUUUUCACUGACACACACUGUCUCACUGACAGAUACAUUCACAGACACAUAUAUUCAGCAGCACACACUGUCUUACUGACAGAUACACUCACAGACACAUAUUCACUGGCACACUGUCUCACUGACAGAUACAUUCACAGACACAUAUAUUCACUGGCACACACUGUCUGACAGAUACACUCACAGACAAAUAUUUUCACUGACACACACUGUCUCACUGACACACACUGCAUACUCUCCGGGAGUGCAUUGUACACUGUGUGUUGGGUUGCAGUCUGUCCCCUUAUUCCUCAAUAACCACAGUCCAACAGUCUGUGCAAACAGAUUAAUACGUUUGUCUUGUUUUGGGGGAUUUCUAAUAUGCCUAUGAUUUACACAUAUUUUCAUAGUUACAGGUCACAAAAACACAGUACUGGAGACCGUAUCUCCAGAAGGAUAUUGAUACUUUGGAGAGAGUUCAGAGAAGGGCUACUAAACUGGUUCAUGGAUUGCAGGAUAAAACUUACCAGAAAAGGUUAAAUGAUCUUAAAUGUAUAGCUUGGAGGAAAGACGAGACAGGGGGGGGGAUAGGAUAAAAACAUUUAAAUACAUAAAGGGAAUCAACACAGUAAAGGAGGAGACUAUAUUUAAAAGAAGAAAAGCUACCAAAACAAGAGGACAUAGGCUUAAAUUAGAGGGACAAAGGUUUCAAAAUAAUAUCCGGAAGUAUUACUUGACUGAGAGGAUGGUGGACGCAUUGAAUAGCCUUCCAACUAAAGUGGUAGAGGUUAACACAGUGAGGGAGUUUAAGACUUAAGAUAAGGCCAGGGACUAAUGAACGUAUUUAGAAAAUUGGGCAGACUAGAUGGGCUAAACCAGUAAUGGCUAACCUUGACACCAUAAAUUUCCAACUACAUUUCCCAUGAUGCUCGGCUAGCUUUUAGACUCUAAAAGCUAGCCGAGCAUCAUGGGAAAUGUAGUCAAGGUUAUCCAUCACCUGGCUAAACGCCUCUUAUCUGCCAUCAAAUUAACGGUUUCUAUAUUCCAAAUUCAUACCCUUAAAAAAAAAAAAAUAUAUAUAUAUAUAUAUAUAUGAUAUUUGGGUUUCUAACAGACUUGUGCAUUCGGUUUCUGCUGACUGCAAUUCUUCAGAAUUUAGGUUUGAAUUCCGUAUCUCCGAAGCACUAUAUGGACGUAUAAACAUGAAAACGUCUAGCUCAAUGGAUGAGCAUGUUUGUUUGCUUUGGGAUUCGGCCAAUAGAAAACAGAAAUUUGUACUUACCGUAAAUUCUUUUUUUCUUAAUAUGGUGGCAGUAACUGAAGGGUUAUACUUCUCCCUGUGGAGAAGACAUCUUAGCAACUAAAAACAAAAAGGAUCCUUCCCCUUUCCCUAUAAAGUAUUGUACCUCUUAGACAUUCCCCAGUACGUGACAAGAAAGACAAUACAGCCCAAAUUCUACUGCAAAAAAUAUUUUAAUAGAAAAAAGGGGGGGAAGUAGUACUGCCACCAUAUUAAGAAAAAAAAUAUGGAAGAACUUCAUCUGGGCAGGAUUUAGGCCACUACUGCUUGCAACACCUUACCCCGAAAGUUGCUUCAGAGACAGAGUAUAUGUCUAGCUGAUAGUGCUUGAUAAAAGUGUUGAGCGAUGACCAGCAUGCUGCAGCAUGCUGCUUUGCAGAUGACCUCUGGUGAUGCAUGGACUUCUCUGCCCAUGAGGUAGCCAUAGCUCGAGUUGAAUGGGCCGUCAUUGUAGUUGGAGACUGAAGACCAGCCGAAGAAUAUGCCAAUUGUAUAGCCUGAAUGAGCCAAGGGGACAAGGUACCACGGGAAGCAACCAUGCCCUUGAGGUGCCCCUGAAAAUGAAUGAAGAAAUGAUCUGAUUUCCUGAAUUCUUUUGUUCUUGUUAAAUAAACAAACAAUGCUCUUCUGACGUCCAAUUUCUGCCAUCUGCGCUCUUGAGGAGAUGAAGCAUUGUUAUAAAAUGAAGGUAAAAUGAUUGGCUGAUUAACCGUCUUAGAAGAUAAUACUUUUGGUAGAAAGGACGGUCUAGGAUAAAGAACCACCUUGUCAUUGUGAAAAAUGGUGAACUCAUCCGAGGAAGAAAGGGCGUGAAGUUCUCCCACUCUUUUUGCUGAGGUAAUUGCUACCAGGAACAAAACCUUGAGCGACAAAAUUUUUAAUGGAACUUCUUCUAAAGGUUCAAAGGGAUGAACACUAAGAGAUUGUAGGAACAGGGUUAAAUCCCAUGUUGGAAACCUAGAUCAUUUAGGAGGUCGUUUGAGACUGAUGGAUCUAAAAAAUCGUCUGAUGAAGACAUUGGUAGCCAGAUUUUUAAUUAGAAAGAAACUUAAGGUUGAUAUCUGCACCUUGAGCGUGGAGACACUCAAACCAGCUAAAAACCCAUCUUGUAAAAAAAUGGAGAAUGUUAUCUAUAGAUGGAUGCAAAACUGGGCACUGGUGUUCCUUACUCCAGUGAAGAAAUUUAGACCAAAUCCUAAAGUAAAUCUUAGAAGUAGAUUUUCUAGUCGCGUGGAGUAAAAAUGCUAUUCUGUCUUCUUGUAAACCUUGGUUUUUAAGGAUUAGCCUUGCAGUAGCCAAGCUGUCAACCUGAAAGUUUCUAGGAUUUUCAAGGGUAGGUCCCGGUUCACAAUAAGCAGGUUUGAUCUUGGAAGUUCCCAAUAAUUGAUGGUCAUUUCCUUUACGGCCGCAAACCAGACUCUGUUUGGCCAGUAUGGGAUUAUCGCUAUUACCCUCGCUCUAUCUGUUCUUAUCUUGGAAAGGACCCAUGGGAUUAAGGGCAGGGGUGGAAAGACAUAAACUAGUCGGAAGUUCCACUCUAUUGACAAAGCGUCUAUCCAAUUGGGCCGAUCCGUUCUGCAUAGAGAGGCGAAAUUGUGAACCUUUUUGUUUGAGGCUCUUGCCAUCAAGUCUACUUCUGGAAGACCGAACAUUUCUGUCAGGUAACUGAAGAUUUCCGGGUUCAAGGACCAUUCUUUUUGGUCCCACUUUCCUCUGCUCAGAUCGUCGGCUAUUAUAUUGUUGCUGCCUCUUAUGUGAACCGCUUUGAUAUCUUCCAGGUUUUUUGUGACCAUUCCAUAAUAUCUGCACAAAGACCGAAAAGCUUCCUUACUUUGGUUCCUCCCUGAAGAUUGAUAUAUGAGACUACUGUGCGAUUGUCCGAUUGUAUCAUCACUGCUUUUUGUAGUAUCCAAGGCCUGAGGUGAAGUAGUGCGUAAAGUACUGCUAACAAUUCCUUGAAAUUUGCGGAUUCUUUGGCUUCCUCUGACGACCAUCUUCCUUGGAACAUGGUGGAGCCUAAGUGAGCUCCCCAGCCUGUGCUUGAGGCGUCUGUAGUGACUACCAUCUAAUCCUUUGGCCGAAACGAUAAUCCUCCUAAAAGGCAUUCUGAUAUUUUCCACCAGGUAAGCUGAUUUUUUACAUGAGGUGACAGCCUGAAGAUUUCGUCUAAAUCUUCCUCCUUUUUUGAACAGGCAGUGAGGAUAUUCCAUUGUAACGGUCUGACCUCCAACCUUGCCCAUUUGACAGCUGGAAAGGUGGAAAUAAGAAGACCCAAAACACCCAUUGCCUGUCUGAAGGAACAAGUUUCCAUCCUUUGGAGAUUGGAAAUCUCUUCUCUGAUUUUCAUCCUUUUCCGCUUGGGAAGAAAAAUUGACAUGUAGACAGAAUCUAUCACGAAUCCGAGAAAUUCUAACUCUCUCGUGGGGAUGAGUACCGAUUUUUUUCUGUUUAAGAUCCAGCCAUGGUUUUGAAGAAAACUUAAAGUGACCUGCAGGUCCUUGUGUAGCUGUUCUUCUGUAUGAGCAAUGAGGAGCCAGUCGUCCAAAUAAGGGAUGAUUGAAAUACCUAGUUCUCUAAAAUGAGCUGUUAAAGGAGUAAGGAUCUUUGUAAAUAUCCUUGGGGCGGAAGACAGACCAAACGAUAGAGCCCUGAACUGGAAAUGAACAGUGGAUCUUCCAUUUUUUAUAGCAAACCAUUUUCUUGAAGUGGUCGUGAUUGGAACAUGUAGAUAGGCGUCCUUUAAAUCUAUCUUCACCAUAAAGUCGCCUCUUUGUAAAAGGGGAAAAAUCGACGUGAUUGACUCCAUACGAAAUCUGUGAUAGGGGAUAAACUGAUUUAUGUAUUUUAGGUCCAGAAUGGGAUGAAACGAGUUGUCUGGUUUUGGCAAGCAAACAAUGGGUCGCAAGAGUAUUCUGAGAACGGACAGCAGCUAAAAUAGCCUGCCCUUCGGUGGGUCACCGCUCAGAACUCAUGCUAGUUUUAGCUCAACUUGUGCCAUUACAGAGAGAACAUAUCUGAAGCAUAUCAGACUGGUCCCACCCAUACGGGCAGUCCAGACCCGAAAUGCCAGCAAGUUCUCUCUGCACGAGAGAUACAGCAACCCCAGACGAUCGUUUCAGCCUUGUUAGGCAUCGUCAGUGAGGCAUAGCUGAUAUCUCUCUAGGCACCGUGAGCAAGGGGUCCACGUCUGGAUUACCCUUUAGACUAAUGGAGAGCAAACAAUGGGUCGCAAGAGUAUUCUGAGAACGGACAGCAGCUAAAAUAGCCUGCCCUUCGGUGGGUCCCCGCUCAGAACUCAUGCUGGUUUUAGCUCAACUUGUGCCAUUACAGAGAGAACAUAUCUGAAGCAUAUCAGACUGGUCCCACCCAUACGGGCAGUCCAGACCCGAAAUGCCAGCAAGUUCUCUCUGCACGAGAGAUACAGCAACCCCAGACGAUCGUUUCAGCCUUGUUAGGCAUCGUCAGUGAGGCAUAGCUGAUAUCUCUCUAGGCACCGUGAGCAAGGGGUCCACGUCUGGAUUACCCUUUAAACUAAUGGAGAGCAAAAAUGGGUCGCAAGAGUAUUCUGAGAACGGACAGCAGCUAAAAUAGCCUGCCCUUCGGUGGGUCCCCGCUCAGAACUCAAGCUGGUUUUAGCUCAACUUGUGCCAUUACAGAGAGAACAUAUCUGAAGCAUAUCAGACUGGUCCCACCCAUACGGGCAGUCCAGACCCGAAAUGCCAGCAAGUUCUCUCUGCACGAGAGAUACAGCAACCCCAGACGAUCGUUUCAGCCUUGUUAGGCAUCGUCAGUGAGGCAUAGCUGAUAUCUCUCUAGGCACCGUGAGCAAGGGGUCCACGUCUGGAUUACCCUUUAGACUAAUGGAGAGCAAACAAUGGGUCGCAAGAGUAUUCUGAGAACGGACAGCAGCUAAAAUAGCCUGCCCUUCGGUGGGUCCCCGCUCAGAACUCAUGCUGGUUUUAGCUCAACUUGUGCCAUUACAGAGAGAACAUAUCUGAAGCAUAUCAGACUGGUCCCACCCAUACGGGCAGUCCAGACCCGAAAUGCCAGCAAGUUCUCUCUGCACGAGAGAUACAGCAACCCCAGACGAUCGUUUCAGCCUUGUUAGGCAUCGUCAGUGAGGCAUAGCUGAUAUCUCUCUAGGCACCGUGAGCAAGGGGUCCACGUCUGGAUUACCCUUUAGACUAAUGGAGAGCAAACAAUGGGUCGCAAGAGUAUUCUGAGCGGACAGCAGCUAAAAUAGCCUGCCCUUCGGUGGGUCCCCGCUCAGAACUCAUGCUGGUUUUAGCUCAACUUGUGCCAUUACAGAGAGAACAUAUCUGAAGCAUAUCAGACUGGUCCCACCCAUACGGGCAGUCCAGACCGAAAUGCCAGCAAGUUCUCUCUGCACGAGAGAUACAGCAACCCCAGACGAUCGUUUCAGCCUUGUUAGGCAUCGUCAGUGAGGCAUAGCUGAUAUCUUUCUAGGCACCAUGAGCAAGGGGUCCACGUCUGGAUUACCCUUUAGACUAAUGGAGAGCAAACAAUGGGUCACAAGAGUAUUCUGAGAACGGACAGCAGCUAAAAUAGCCUGCCCUUCGGUGGGUCCCCGCUCAGAACUCAUGCUGGUUUUAGCUCAACUUGUGCCAUUACAGAGAGAACAUAUCUGAAGCAUAUCAGACUGGUCCCACCCAUACGGGCAGUCCAGACCCGAAAUGCCAGCAAGUUCUCUCUGCACGAGAGAUACAGCAACCCCAGACGAUCGUUUCAGCCUUGUUAGGCAUCGUCAGUGAGGCAUAGCUGAUAUCUCUCUAGGCACCGUGAGCAAGGGGUCCACGUCUGGAUUACCCUUUAGACUAAUGGAGAGCAAACAAUGGGUCGCAAGAGUAUUCUGAGAACGGACAGCAGCUAAAAUAGCCUGCCCUUCGGUGGGUCCCCGCUCAGAACUCAUGCUGGUUUUAGCUCAACUUGUGCCAUUACAGAGAGAACAUAUCUGAAGCAUAUCAGACUGGUCCCACCCAUACGGGCAGUCCAGACCCGAAAUGCCAGCAAGUUCUCUCUGCACGAGAGAUACAGCAACCCCAGACGAUCGUUUCAGCCUUGUUAGGCAUCGUCAGUGAGGCAUAGCUGAUAUCUCUCUAGGCACCGUGAGCAAGGGGUCCACGUCUGGAUUACCCUUUAGACCAAUGGAGAGCAAACAAUGGGUCGCAAGAGUUUUGGCACCAGAAAUAAUCUUAAAUAGACCCCCCCGAAAAUUUUGUUUUACUGGUACUCUUUCUAUCACUCUUUUUCGUAACAGCAGCAUGGUUUGACAAAACAGGGCUUGUGAUUUCUUUGCAGACUGGUAUGUGGAUACCAGAAACUUUGUUCUUGGUUUUUCUGUAAAUACUACCUUGUGUCCUUUUUGGAUAAGAUUUAGCACCCAAGGAUUCCCUGUGGUGUUUUCCCAUGCAGAAAAAAAAUUGUUGGAGUCUUCCUCCUACACUUCUGGCGUCAGAAACGUCUCUCUUUAUCUCUGAAGGUUCUUUUAAUAUCACCCCUUUAAAAUUUACAAUUUUUAUCCUUUCUUUGAAAACAUUGCGGCCUCUCUUGAUAGAAUCUUCUAUUUUUAUUCUGAUCAUUUCUGUAACCUGAUCUCCAGGAAAACUUCUUAUCUUGAGGAAGCGCUUUCUUGGUUUCUGACAUUUGUCUAAUGAUUUCUUCUAAGGGAGCGCCAAAUAAUUUCGUUUUUUGUAGUGGAAGUUCGCAAAGGACUGAUUUAGAAACUGAAUCCGCCGUCGAAGACCUUAACCAUAAGGCCCGUCUUGCUACCGAGGAUAGGCCCAUAAUUUUGGAUGCUAAUUUUAGAACCUCUACUGACAUAUCCAAAAGGUAUUCAUUAGCCAAAUGCGCUCUUUGAAACAAAUGGUCUAAUUCUUUAACCUGGUCAGAUGAAAAAAACAUCCUGCAUUGUAGUUAGCCAGAUGUCAUUUGCUCUGGCAACCGCUGCUCCUGCAAAUAAAGCCCUGCAUUGGAAACCGGCUGUCUGGUAAGCUCGUCUACACAAGGUUUUGGCUCUUUUAUCCAUUGGAUUCUUCAAAGCUGAAGUUUCCCCUAUAGGGAUAGUGGUCCUUUUAGCAAUCUGCGCAACCUGAACAUCUACUUUAGGGAGAUCUUCCCAAAUGACUUCGCCAGCCAGUCUGAAGAUAUCCUUGAAGUGUCUAAAAAAAAAAGGCACGUUUUUCAGGGUUUUUGCAUUCCCUAAAAAUGAGGUCGACAAGGCUUUGCUGUACAAAAAAACCCUUUUUAGGAUUCUCAAUACCCUGAGGUAGGAUUGUUAGGUUAACUUCCUUUAUAAAUUUACGAAUCUCAUCUGCAGGAAAACCAACCGGUUCACUUGAAGAGGAACCUGAAUCAUCUGAAUCAAGUGAUGAGAUAUAUUCCCCAGAUGAGCUUUCAGAUGUAGAUGGCGACCUUCUUCUUUUCUUGAUCUUUUGUGUCGUGGAUUCUACCUUUUUAGACUCCUUAAUCGUCUCCAAGAUCUGGGCCAGAUUUUCUUGGAACCAGGAUAAGAAAGACUGCAUAUCUUUUUGCUUAUCUUUUUCCAAGGAAUUUGCCGUACACUGACUGCACAUCUUUUUCCUUGAUCCAUCUGGGAGAGAUGUUGCACAUUCACUGCAAACUAAAUGUUUAGAUUUAACCGUAGCCUUUCUAGGCGUAGCAGCAGCCAGCUUUUCUUUGUCCAUGUCAGGAUAAGCUGGGCUAGACAUAUCUGUGGAGAACAUAUGAAAGGGAGGUUUUUCAGCAUUUGAAUUGAAGGAAUAUUUUCAGAGAAUAUUUUAAAGUAAAGAUCAAAUUAAAUCUUACCUCAAAAUACCUCUGAGCCGUGUGGGGGACAGGUGACACGGUGUACUAUUUCUGACCUGCAUCCAUGCAGUCAGUAGGUACUGCACAGCUUCUUAUAUUUACCGGUUUCAAUUUCCGCUUUUUCUUUUUUUUCGUGUAUACCUUUAAGGUUCCGGUAUGCGCAUGCGUGUUUGCGCACCCGGAAGCCUAGGUGGAACGCAAUCACCACCAGGGCGUGCGUUCCACCACUGUGCGCAUGCUCGGCCAGAGCUCCACCUCCUGGAAGUAAUGCUGGAACCGUUCUCGGCAUAAAAUUCUUUCCCUCCACUUGCUCCGUAACCUUACCGGUUAGGAGCAUGGUCACUCAGCCUACCGCCCAGGCAGCUCUCGGACCGGGUCCCCCAGACAACAACCUGUGUGUCUCACCUCCGAUGUCCUGUCCUUCCCUCUUGGGACAAGAAAGAAGACUGGUGAAUGUCUGAGAGGUACAACACUUUAUAGGAAAGGGGGAGGAUACUUUUUGUUUUUAAUUGCUAAGAUGUCUUGUCCACAGGGAGAAGUAUAACCCUUCAGUUACUGCCACCAUAUGACAGAAAAAGAGAUGAUUGACAGGAAAAAGGAUGAUUGAUGGCUAGGGCACAGCCACUACUUGAUCCUAUUCACAGAUCGAGUGAAAAAUGACCAAGAGAGGAAAAAAUGAGAAGCAGUUAAAACAAAAAAAUCUAAAUAUAUACAUGUUUAUUUUUCCUCCUCUUUUUUUCCCCCUUUAUUGGUUACUUCUAUUGGUUUACAGAUCAAGUGAAAAAAGACACCUAUAAGUGUCCUGCAAAAUAUGUUCAGAAUGGUUAACCCUUUUCAUUUAAUCUCAUUUUGUUUUCUGGAAUAUUUUCCAUUGACGAUAAUUGGAUGAACUAUCAAAUGAAGGAGUGCUGAGGUCCCAAACUUAAUUCCAUUUCUCAUAAAAAUAGCUCGGCCACACCAAAAUUUAACGAUGUGUUCAAGUCCAGUUUAAUAGUGGUCACUGAACUCAAUAUCUAAAAGAAAAAGAAAAGUAGGCUGUGGAGCUUUUCACACUUUCAUUGCAGCAAUUUUAUUACCAGUUUCUGCCAAAUUUCAGAUAAUGCAUUUUUAAACACAUACAGAUAUCGCAUUGCAUUUUAAGUGUGCUCUUAUAUACCCAAGUUUCUCUUCCCUCAAUCCCUCGAGACCUGGCCAUUUUAAUUUUGAAAUAUGAAAUUUUAAAAUGUGUCUUUUAUCUUUGUCACAAGGAGGUCUAUGUGGGAUUCUUGAGAAUUCCUAAACCUCUCUGUCACAGUUGCUGUGUUCUAUAAUAAAGUGAUGAAGGUAAUUUUAUUAUGUACUGUUUUAAACAAGGGGUAGUUUAGUUGUGGUUUUGGGGGUAAUGUGGACAGGAACUAGAUUCACCUCUAUGUCUCCUCUUUACUCAAGAUUGCAGAGUGUGAGGUUCCCAUUGGUCAUUAAAUAGGUCAGUAACAGAAGAGAUGAAAAUGUAUAUAAGUAGUGUUUGGGGACACUUUCACGGGUGGGCACAGUAUUUACACUUACUGAUAAACCUCUUUGUUACUCUCUGUUAAUGAUAGGCAUACUUGGGGCCCAUUCAUCACUGUGUGAUAAAGUUGUUUUUUUCUCUCUAAAAUGGGUGAGUUAAAGCAAUACUUUGUUAGGAAUAGAAACCUAUAUUUCUAACACUACAGCUUCCUCUGCCUUUCCCCUCACUCGUGGGGGGGGCGAUCUCCCUCUGUGCUGUGUCGGUGCUCUGCCUUCUAUGGGGAUUUUACCAAUGUUGGUUGUCCUCAUGCAGAGCAUGAGGAUAUCCAGCAUCAGUCAGGUGACCUAAAGUCCGGUAAAAUCCUGGAACCAUCUCUGGUGGCUGACUGGUAGACAGCUACUAGAGGCUGUCUUAGUGCUGCAAUGUAAACAUUGUAGUUUCUCUAAAACUGCAAUAUUUUACAUUGCAAUUCUAAAGACAAUAGGGACACUGCACCCAGAACAAUGAGCUGAAGUGGUCUGGGUGUCUAUAGUGUCCUUUUAAUACGUUUAACUCUGCUACUCUCUCUCAUUCACAGAUCUUGGAGCCCUUAAAACUUAACUAUUAGACCCAUUCACUUUGAAAAAAUGUUCUCAAUUAACUACGAAUUGAAAAAAAAUUUAAAAAAUUACUAACCAAGUAGAGACCAUAGGACUGUGGGAAAGGUGGACAAAUUGCCCACAGAAAAUCUGGUAUAGGAUUUAAAAUCAUAUGUUUACUAUUUAAAAAUGAUAAGAAAAACACAAUAUGUUAAUAAUUGGUUUCCCAUUCCACUGAUAGACUAUCAUUAAAAUCUAUCAUUGUACCCACAGAAAACGGCAUGGUUCAAAGUAUGCUCUCUAAGUAGUACUGAAAUUUUUAUGAAAGACUAUUCCCCUCAUAUUUUCUUUUGUUCUACUGCAAUGGUGAAGCCAAUAAGGGGAAUAGGAUAUGCUAUCAUCUAACUUCUGAGCUGACCUGCUCACUCACAAUUAAUUAAUAAUGUGAACGUGUAGGUAAGCUGGAGAGUAGACACUGUAGACGCUGUAGUACUAUCGUUGUGUGUGUCUGCCUGCAUUUCCUGACAUGUGGUUGCUCUUAAUUCCCAAUAUGGGGAAUAUAAUAUUGUAUAAUUGAUGGUCUAUAUCUGAACUGGACACUCAGACCAUGCUUCAAUACCAGUUGGGAUAGUUUUCUGGUUAAUCUGUCCAUAGAUACCAGUGACGGUAGUAUAUGGUAUCACUGUCAAGCAUACCCUUCUUCCCAUAAAAGAAAAUCACCCAAUACUCCACAAGUAGAAAUAUCACUGGAAUCGCCAAAUAAUCCACACGUGAGCCAAGGCUUAAUGCUGGAACAAGACUGAUUUACUAGCACACAGGAUGUAAUUUUAACAUCCCUGGGUAGCUGAGGAUACUGGUAGUCACAUAUCACAUAUCCCAGGACAUACUUGAAAACGAGAGAAAUCUCAAUGUAUCUUUCCUGGUAAAAUAUUUUAUAAAUAAAUAAAAAAAUAUCCAAAUCUCACGAAUUUCCAUUUAGUAGUUUCUGUGUAGCAUCAUGUGGAAGUUUGACCGGCUCGCCAUAUGGAGGUAUCCGAGCUAGAGUUCCAUAGAAUCUGUAGCAAGAGCCGGUCUCUGUUCGCAUUGAACUACACGAAAACCACCGUUCGUAUGGUGCAGCUGGUUACAUACGAAUGUUCCCCUCGUUCGGUAGAUUCUAUCUACCGAAUGCCCGUUUGAUUUGUGGAGGGGAAUGUAUACAUCCAGGACUUCCAUGAAGACUGGGCCUUCGCAUGUUUGCCUUGCCGAAAAUAGUUCCAGGCAAUUCAUGCGUACUCCCGCUGACCGCGUUCGUGAGUUUUAAGAUGGCCGCCACCCUUAGUUCUCGCCACGUGUUCGUAUGCCGAGUGGUGGCCACCCAGGAGCAAUCAAGUUGUGGUUUUCUCCCCGUUCUAAUGCUGAUUGCUACCCAGGGUAGGUGGUCUCGCGUUCGGGAGACGAAUACAAGCUUUCACAUACAUAUUUAAACUAACUGAAUACAAGCAUUUAAACAGCAGAGAGAGGACAUAACUGAAGGCACACGGGUAAGUACAAGAGAUCCUUCACAUUACCGUUAUCAUUACCAAUAAUAACCUUGUCUAUUAAAUUGCAAUCACAGAAUUCACUUCAAAAUAAAAUAAUACCAUGUCUCCGUAACAAACUGGUAAAUCAAUAAGUAAGCUAUGAUUAUAUUUGCGUCAGGCACUAAAUUUAAAUUCAGCAUUACAUUUUUGAUUUUUACAUAUUUUCAGUAAAUCAUAAAAGAAAGGAUAGUGAGCAUCUGAUUUUAAUGGUUACCUAUUUUGUUGGACUAAAUAUGACUUCUUUGCAUGUCACUAAAACAAAUAGCAAUAGCUCCCAGCGCUGCUGAUAUUAUUUUACGCUUACUCAACUCUCGACAAGUUUUAUAAAUCAUUUUUUUCAAUGACAUUGUGGGCUACUAGAGCAUAUCAGCCCAAGUUCUAAAUUAAUAUAAAAAAAAUUGAAGAAUGGAAAAAGUCAAUUUAUUUUCAUCAUAGUUUCUUGGUGAGGUAUGUCAAUUAUAAUAAUGACCGUCUACAUUUCAACUGUAUCAUGCCCUCUUUAACACAUGCAGUUUGAUUUACUUGUUGCUGAAAAAAAUGGCAUAUCUCAUAAAAUGAGCUUCACUCAGAAGUAAUAAAAAGGUUUUGUGUUAUUUGCUGUAAUGUCUUGCUGGCCGGAGUCCAAGUGUGAGACCCCAGCAUAAAAUACGAUAGAACCAUCUUGGUCUCACCCCCUACCUCGUGUACAAGGGUGGGGGAGAAAAAAGUAGGGUCUGCUAUAUCCCAAUAUUGCCCAGGGAGUUGUUGCGUGAAAGGACCUUGGCAGUUGGGUGCAGGCAGAGACAUACCUAGAGCAUUUGGCACCCGGGAUGGAUCCUGUGCUUGUUACCCCUUCGCCCCCCCCCCCUCCAAAAAAAUAAAAUAAAAAUGGUAAAUGUUUUCUUUUUUUUUUACAAUUUGUAAACUUUGCAAAACCGCUGUCAGCCCCUCCUACAAAACCCUUGUCCUGCCCCACCCCUCCUACAAAACCUCUGUCCUGCCCCUUCUACAAAUCCUGUACUGCCCCGUCUACAAAACCCCCGCAACCCCCUUCCACAAAUCCCCUGCUUAUCCCCCCUUAUUAAGACUCCUGUCCCAAUACAAAACCCCUGCCCCCUUCUACAAAAUCCCUGCAGCCCCACACACACACACAUUUACAGGCAGACAGUCACACACAGUUACCAGCAGACAGUCACACGCACACAGACACACAUGCAGUCACAGACAGUCAUACAUACAUUGACACACACAUGACAGCAGCAGACAGUCACAUGCACACAGUCACAGACAGUCACACACGGUUACAGGCAACAUCAAACAGUCACAGGCAGACAGUCACACAUACAUAGUCACAUGCAGUCACACACACAGUUAUAGGCAGACAGUUACACACACAGUCAGUUACAGGUAGCCACACACAGUGAUAGGCAGGCACAUACAGGCAGACACACACACACACACACACACACACAGUUACAGGCACACAGUCGCGUGCAGACAGUCACAGACAGUCAUGCACACAGUUACAGGCAGACAGUCACAUAUACAUUGACACACACACACACGACAGCAGCAGACAGUCACAUGCACACAGUCACAGACAGAUAUUCACACACGGUUACAGGCAACAUCAAACAGUCACAGGCAGAUAGUCAGGUAGACAAUUACACACACAGUCAGUUGCAGGUAGUCACACAUAGUCAUAGGCAGGCACAUACAGGCAGACAAACACACACACACAGUCACGUGCAGACAGUCACAGACAGUCAUGCACACAGUUACGGGCAGACAGUCACAUAUACAUUGACACACACACACACACGACAGCAGCAGACAGUCACAGACAGAUAUUCACACACGGUUACAGGCAACAUCAAACAGUCACAGGCAGAUAGUCAGGCAGACAAUUACACACACAGUCAGUUGCAGGUAGUCUCACAUAGUCAUAGCCAGACAGUCACACACACAGUUACAGACAGACAGUCACAUAUAUAGUCACUCACAGUCACAGUCAGAGAGUUACACACACACACACAGUUACAGGCAGACAGUCAGUCACACACAGUUACAGGCAGACAGUCACACACAGUUACAGGCAGACAGUCACACACAGUUACAGGCAAACAGUUACACACACACACACAAUGUUACAGGCAGACAGUUACACACACACACACACACACACACACAGUUACAGGCAGACCAUUACACAUACACACAGUUACACACAGACACACACAGUUACAGGCAGACAGUUACACACACACACAUGCACACAGUUACAGGCAGACAGUUACACACAGACACAUACACACACACACAGUUACAGGCAGACAGUUACACACACACACAGUUACAGGCAGACAGUCUCUCUGACACACACACAGUCACACACACAGACACACACUCUUACUUACAGACAGUGGGCUGGAGGAGGACUGGAUUCCCUGAAGUCCUUCUCUGAAGCCUGUGGAGAAGCAGAGAUUCCAUCUUGCUGCACCUCCUAACAGCAGCGGGUAAGGGCCAUGUUAAGCCCUGCCCCCGCUGUCGGUUUGGCUCCACCCCCGAUUUUGCUUGGCUCCACCCUCAUUUUUCCUUCGUGCGGUCAGUUCAGCAGCUGUUUGGUUGUGUGAGCUGUACUGGCCGCACGGCACCCUAACUAGCAUGGGGGGGCACUGUGCAGCCACAGCUCACACAGCCCCCUCCAGCUCCCCCUUAGUACGCCACUGGGGUGGACUGUGCCUGGGGUGGACUGCCCCCUCCGCCUCCCCCUUAGGACGCCACUGGGUGCAGUGCUAUAUAAAAAUAGGGCUAGGCCAAUCAUAAUAGAACCAGAAGAUGCCCAGUUCACUGGUCAUUAUAUCUGCUGUAAGAUCAGAAGGUGCUCCAGCCUUUGGCUGGUGGGCUCAAGCAUGAAGAAUGUAUUUUCAGCUUAAAGAACCUUCUGUUUCUUGUGGUUGGUUGGCACAAAUCACAGUGCAUCCCUAGACCAUCCUCACGCCAACAAAGUUCAGCUGACUUAAAUUCCUCUCCCAUUACCAGGCAACCCUCACAAUGGUCUAGUAAACAGACUUGAUGGUGUUUGACACGAGUUGUGUGAAUUACAGAAGAUAUUUUAAAAAUAAGAUAGUGAUGCAAAACGAUUUAUAUCGUUUGAAAAAAAAUAUGAUCAUUGAACAUUUUAUUCUUUGCAUGACCGGUUAAUAGAAAAAUAUCCCAGAAUAUAAAAACACAUCUAUUAGCAACUCAGAGAACCAAUGUCUCUAUUAAACAAAACAUGAUUUUGCUUCAGCUAAAUUGAAGCCAAAUAAAACCCAGGCAGACUUUUCCCCCGUGAUGUGUAAUGUAAAACGAUUUUACUAAUAGAAACACCCAUUCAUUACAUCAUCCACUACACUGGGACAAUUUAGAAACUAUUAACAAUUAAAAUUUUAAUUAUUUCAGCAGAUAACAGCACAUCGUCGGUAAUAAACAUUUCUUUGCAUAAAUGAUCUUAACCACUAAUCUUUUCAAUGAUGCCACAAGAGCAAAUUAUUCCCUAAGUGGAAAAGUCAGCGAGACCUGUUAUAGGUAAUAAAGAUCACUCUAAAUGCCCCAUCACUCUAAAUGCCUAAAUGAUGCGUUUAUUGACUCACCACAAAUUGGGACCCUCACUGUUUCAUCCCCUAGAUCAGGCAUAGGCAACAUUCGGCACUCCAGAUGUUUUGGACUACACCUCCCAUGAUGCUUUGCCAGCAUUAUGGGUGUAAGAGCAUUAUGGGGGAUGUAGUCCACAACAUCUGGAGUGCCGAAUGUUUCCUAUCCCUUCCCUAGAAAGUUGUUAGUCAAAGUCCGUUUCAAGACAACUAUGUUUGGAGUUACCACCAUGUUUAUCACCAUGUUUUCCAGCACACAUAUCAUUUAUACAACUUGAUGGGCAACAUAGAGAAAGUGCUGCCCUGGACUAUGAAGAUUUCUAAUGCGGUAGGUAGUAAAUCAGGUGAUAAAUUAAUCAAGAAUCCCGCAACAUAUACGUUAUACAUAAUACAGGGCAGCAUUUUGUAUGUGCUGUCAAUCAACAUUAAAAAGUUAUGUGUGUCCCAGAAAACAUGGCAAUCUUACUUAUGUUUCCAGUUUGGCUGUUUUGACUUGUUAAAUCUAAAAUACAUAAAUCUAUGGAAAAGUGGGACAGCCAAGACCUAUAGAACAUUUUAAUUGUAUUUAUUCAUAAAAUAUUUUACCAGGAAGGAUACAUUGAGAUUUCUUUCGUUUUCAAGUUUGUUCUGGGUCCAUAAUAAAAACAAUAUUACUACACAAUAUAUACAAAAUUUAACAUAGAACAGGUAGGAAAAAUAUAUAAUGAACCAUGACAGGUGCAUUCUGUUUUGAGGUAUGUAGAGAGGGUAUGUAGAAAGGAUUUUAGGCUUGGGGAAGAUUUUAAAUUGUGCGGGUAGUCGUUCCAUAAUUGCGGUGCUCAAUAGGAAAAGGAUGAUCAAGCUGCUGUCUUUUUGUAUUGGGGUAGACUAAAUAAAGUGCUGGUACUGGAUCGGAGGUUAUAGGAAGUGGGAACAGCUGGGGAGAGCAUUUUGUUCAGGUAGGGAGGGAGCUUCCCAGAAAAGCUCUUAAACACAAGGCUGGAAAGAUGAAGGGUGCGUCUGGAUUUCAGUGACAGCCAGUUUAGUUCUUUUAGCAUGUCACAAUGGUGGAUCAUGUAAUUACAUUGUAGCACAAAUCGGCAGAACGAAUUAUACAAUGUAUUGAGUUUAUUAAGGUGGGUUUGCGGUGCAGGAGUAACGGCUUACCUUGGUUGGGAGUCUUUAGCGCAGAUAUAUGCUCACCCUUGCAAUUAAACACAGGCCACGGUGGUCAGGGAAGAACUCACCUGGCCUGUGAGUCUGUGCAAGGGGGCUGUGCAGGAUGAUGCUCCAAGUCGCAGUAUAGAUACAGACAUGAACAGGAGAAUCGUCGUGGGUCAGUGGGUGCCAGAAAUCAGGAUAAACGAGUAGAGAGAUGAAGUUAGAGGAUGCCAGAAGUCAGGAUACACGAAAUAACAAGACAAGGUCAGGAAUCAACAGGAGAACACGAAACAGCAAUACAGGAACCAGAGUCAAUGAACUGACACUGCCCUCAGGGAGAGUCAAUGUCUUAUAGCUGGCUAAUGAGGCCAUCAGCUACAGGUGAACCAUGAGUGACAAGAGCAGUCUCAGGUAAAUUCCAACCCCCAGUGCUGAUACAAGGUAAGAUCCAAACUUCAGGCUAUUACUUGAGCUGUAUGGUGGCUCAGAGGAGAAACAGCAGGCCCAGGACCACAAAGUACCCAGGUUCAAAUACCUUAUUGGGCACUUCUGGGGUGACCUAGUCUGGAUGUCGCGGUGAGAACCGUGACAGCAGGUGCAUAUACUACAUCCUCAUAAUCAAUGAUUGGCAUCAGCAUUUGCUGUACAAUCUUUUCCUUUACUGUAGGGCUUAGGCAGGAUUUGUUUCUGUACAGGGCACCUAGUUUUGGAUAAAGUUUAAAUGCAAGUUUUUCUGUGUGGAGGCCAAAAGAUAGAUUGGGGUCUAACAACAUACCCAAGUAUUUGGAAGAGUGGAUUUGUGUGAUAACAGCCCAUUACACAGUGCUAGUAAAAGCCUUGCAUAAUUCUUGCUCCUUCAGUACUCUGUCAACAGAAUACUAAAACCUCUCCAGAUGCUUUUAUUCGGAAAAACCCCUGUAUGCUAUUGGCAUUUAGUGCAAUUGCCCCGCUUUCCUCCUUGCCAGCUCAUGCACUUAAGUUAAGUGGAUACUCCACUGCCCAAAUAAAAAAAAAUAUAUAUAUUUAGUGGAUAUACUCCAAAUCUAUCUACAACGAGCUUGUAAAAGCUGAUGUUCUCUUGUCUGUAGCCUUUGCAAGCCAUCCCCCUCUAACCCAGCCCAGACUUUCUGUGGCUGCCCAAUCACAGACAUUCCAAAGCAGCUCAAAGAGAAGUCUUUGCAUAGCAUUUGCUUCCUCUUGAGUUUUGCUCCACAGAGCUAAACAACCAGGAAGUAACAGGACCGAUUGUCUGAUUGACAGUCAAGAAGUGUAACAAGCUUCAUUUAGAAAAGUACUAAUUUCUAUUGAAAUCUACUAUUUUUGUGAAAUGCAAAAAGAGAACACAUUCAUUACAAAUAAAGCACUUCAGCACAAACUCUUCUGAUAUGUCAGAAAGGCAAAAUUUAUUUUCAUCAUCCCAGCUGGUAUGACUUUUUAUAUUUUUAAUUUUCUGGGUUUCAAUAUACUUUCACAUGUUUUCUUUUUAAGUGUAAUCUUUGCUUGCCUAAAAUUAGAUAGGAUCUAAUAUUUUUUCCAUCUCCUUAAUAAUUGGCCCUGCCUGGUUAUACAAUGUAACAAAUGACAUUUAAAACUCUUGUGAAGAAUACAUUAGUCUGUUCUGUUCUGACCAUAAACAUUUAGAUAUUUCUAAUAUGAGUCUUGUUGAAGAAAGUACUUGAUGACUGUAAUUUUUAUACAUGUAUUUAUUAGUAAGAGACGGGAAUUUAGCAAUGAAACCCAGUCUUCUUUAUCUUCAUUUUUUAGAUUGCUCUAAGUUAUUAUGCAUUUAACUGGAAUGAUGGGGCUCCCAAUAAAGAACUACAUGAUAAACAAUCUAGUUGGAGGAUAGAAUAAAAUACAGAUUUAGAGACAAAAAAAACAUAUAUCUACUGAAACAUUUUUACUUUGCUUUGACAGUUCUUCUCUAAGGGAUUUUGGUUUUAAAGGAGAGAUGUAACUUCCAAGAAUUAUUAAAGGGACACUAUAGUCACCAAAACAACUUUAGCGUAAUAAGGCAGUUUUGGUGUAUAGACCAUGCACCUGCAGUCUCACUGCUCAAUUCCCUGCCAUUUAAGAGUUAAAUCACUUUGUUUAUGCAGCACUAGCCACACCUUCCUGUGUGUGACUUGCUAAGCCUUUCUAAACACUUCCUGUAAAGAGUCAUCCAAUGUUUAUACAUCAUUUAUUACAAAUUAUGUUUAAUGCUAGGGAUGCAUUAAACAUAAAUAAAAGCGAACCAAUUCCUAAAUGGCAGAGAAUUGAGCAAUGAAACUUCAGGGGCGAUAUCUGUACACAAAAACUGCUUCAUUAAGCUAAAGUUCUUUUGGUGACUAUAUUGUCCCUAAUAUUGCGUUCACUUAUUACCUAUAUUUUACAAAUACAUAUUUUUUAGGUCUUAAAAUUAAUAUCUUAUGUGGAAAUAUUGCUAGAAAUAUUGCUGUCUAUCUUAUAACUUCCAUCUUUCUCCUCUUCCAAUACAAUAUGUGCCUUGGCUGUGCCAGGACUGAACUAGUUUGUGAUAUCAAUUGGCAACUUUUUAAAUAUAAACUUAAAAGAAAAAGAAGCAUCACAUUAAAAAGGUUGACACGAGUUAAAAUGGAUUUUCAAUAUGUUAUUAAAUGAUGUAAUUUCAAAACAUGUAAAGGUUCCUCUAAAAUAUCUCUUAUGGGGGCCCUAGCAUCUCUGAAGCUUCCAAAGUACCCCAAGAAUUGUGUACCUAUACACCUACACUAAAAUAUACUUAAUGUGUAAUGAUCAUUAUGACUAUGAUUCAACCUAUAUUUAUAAUUCCCUAAUUUUAUUUCAUGUAUAGUUACUCAGAUCAGUCUUGUAUUGUUGAAUGAUAUUGGCUUUUUCACCACUAGUGAUUAACACUAUAAAAGUUAGAUUUUUUUCGGCAUGUUUAUUUAUUAAGACUGGCUAAAUCUGAGAUAUAGAGUAAAACAUGACCUGGUGCAUUUAGGGUCAUGCACACACCAUUCCUGUUACUUUGCAGUGCAACCGUACAUUUAAUCACUACACCACUUUAGGUAUUAGUUUUUCUUGCUGCUGCCAGAUCUUGGUAAUAGGUUAUAAGAGGGUAUAUAUUGGGGUUAAAGUGUCAUAAUAAUAUAUAAAGUCCAGAGGUAAUUGGAUAUUAGCAGCAAGCCUAAAAUAUAUUUCCCAGUUAAAUUCUCGCUUUCUCAGUCUCUGUAUGAUUUUACUUUCUGUAACUUCUGUAUAUCCAUGAACAGAUUGAGAAAGCAUUGAAAAAUCAUUAAAGCAAAUUAUUAUUUUUUAUCUCUUCUAAAGUCUUGAUUCAAUUAUAUUUUUCAAUAAGUACAAGUACUAAGGUUUAAGGCUCUAAAUGAACACUCUGAUGUUAGAAAUACAAGUAUGUAUUUCGAAAGUUAGUGUUUUCAUGUCUAUUUUGAUUAUUGGGCUGCUCUCAAAAAGUUAUGAAAGUUGUUCAACUAACCUGUAGACCCACAGCUUGCUGGACUCUAUGCGGCCUUCGUUUGGACUAGGCUGAAAUCAUCAGUGAUUAUGAUCUCAGCCAAUCACAUGCUUUGGGGGCUAGUGCAUAUGAGGCAAUAGCUCUGCUGCACCAGUCAGUAUUUUCUAAUAGUGACGCAUUAACUUAGUUCUCCUCUAUGCCAAGCAUUCAUAGUCUAAACGCAAAAUGUAGAGAUGCUCAACGUUAGUCUGGAAAAGAUUAAAAAUAUGAAUAUUUUGCUAACACUCCUGCCAUCUCCACCAACAUCAGAUGUUCUGAGGGAAACUGCUAUUCAAAUAAUUUAGAAAAUCUAAAAAUCUAAAACUAAUCUUAAAAUAAACAGAAAUAUGCCUCUUAGUUUCUUUUCUGAAAACUUGGUUUUCUCAAGAACUUGAUCACUCUUCAAUUCUGACUGGGAUUGGUGACUGGGGAUAUCCUAUAUUUCUUUAUAGAAACAUAUGUGUCCAUUGUGGCCGACCAUAAAUGAGAAUCACCAUAGCGGACGUUAAAAGCAAGUGGCUUAAAAUAUCAAAUGUAUCUUUUAAACAGAUGGUACAGUGAGCAACUGCACAAAUUAUUCAUCCCCAGAGAGUUGGGCUUAAUCUUAUGUUUGAGUCCCAAAUGAAAAAAUCUUAGACUUCUAGCAUAAAACUCGACAGACACGCUCACAUAAAUAAACAAGCAUUUUGGCAGAGUUAAUGCUUGGAAGGGCUGCGCAGUCUGGGAGUAAUGGAGGUCAUGCUUGAAAUUUACUUAGGAACAGGGUGGGGAAUUGAGCUUGGUAUCAACCUGCCAUGUGCUUCCAUUUUCGCGGCUUCUGUUUUCUUAUUUUUUCUCUUCCAGAAUUUCUCUGAUGCAAAGAUCCAUCUUCCUGUAAAAUAAACCCUAUAAUUGCAAUGGCAUUUUCAAUUUGGGCGCUUUCAUAUACUUUCCUAUCCUCCCUUGCUAAGGUCUGAAAGCUGGUCUAAGAAAGUUAGAAAUACAGUCAAUAAGAAAAAAAAAAUAACUUUUGAAUUUUGUGUUGUUAAUUGGUAGAUUUGUGCACCAUGGCAAAAUUACGUUUGGCUGUACUGACUAUAUUUCUUUAUAUUUGGUCAAUAGAACUUCAUCGACAUGACAUUUUGGCUUGUCUGAAUUUCACCCAUGUAAAUGUUUCGGAUGAGAUAUAUAUGUAUAAAUCCCACACCCUCACCCUAAAGUGCUUCGAUGUAGCAAAAAUACCAAAACACUCAUCAUUUCACAUACAGCUUCCCCAGGGGAUUUCCCAUAUAAUAUACCCUCUCAGAAGAGCUAAAGUACUAUGUAUAUUGAAAGACAGCUGUACAUUAAAAAAAAAAAUUAUAUAUAUAUAUAUAUAUAUAUAUAUAUAUAGCAUAGAACAGGUAACAAAAACCAUAAACUGUGCUGUUUGAAAUGCACUCACAAUAUGGAAUGUUGGUAAAGCGCGUCUGGGUUCCUCCAUCAAAAUUCUUGGGGGCUAUCCAAUAUCACUUUCACCCCAGACAGGAACCAUUGUUUCAGGUCUCAGGAUAGGUAUCAAAUAAUUUAAUUUAUAAUAAAUUGUUUUUAUAAAAUACAAAUAAAGUGCAUUUCUUCCUAAUAUUGGAUUUCCCCAGGGACCAUACAUUGUUAGAAAACAUAAUAGCAAUUCCCAAAGAAAAGCUACCUGUACAGAUAAUUCAUGUUAUACGUCAGUAGCUAUGACUGUCAGAAGGCGUAAAUUGUGCCUGCAGCUGGCUUUGCAGGACAGUUGAGAAGAUGGGAUCCAAUAAUAAACAGAGAUAGACAGAUAUAGAUAAGAUUUCUUAUAGGCAAAGUAUUGUUAGAUAUAUACAGGAAAGCUAAUUGAGUGAAAAAAUAAUAUACAGUAAGUAAAUAGAUUUUUGUAAACUGUGUUAGAGAUGUUAAGAUGUCAAUGUAGUAGCAGUUUUAUUGCCUUCGUGAGACCAAAGAAAGAAUUUGGAGGUGCCAAAACUCGUCGAGUGUAAAUGUUGAAAUGACCAAAAAUGAGUGAGUGAAUGUCAAAAGGGAGGAAGUGACUAAACUGUGCUGGGAAAUAUUCAAGGAAGACCAGGAGGUCUGUAGAUAAAACUUGAUUGAGUGAGGAGAUAACAAAAACCUUCACAACAAGAGAAAGAGAGUAAAGGUAUAAAAGGUAUUUAACAUUAAACAUGCAGAACUUCAAAACCAUCUCUCUUACUGAAAACUCAGUGAAACUGAUACAUUCAAAGAAUGGACAAAUCUUAAUAGCUUGCUCUACGGGUAGUUAACAAGCUUUACCUAGUUUUGAAAUCAUCUAAGCCUCAUCGCAAACAGGAGUGCAGGAAAAGGGGAUUGGAUGUUAAAGGAUCACUAUAGGGUCAGGAGCACAAACAUGUAUUCCUUACCCUAUACUGUUAAAAACACAAUCUAGCCCCUCCUGGCCCCACUUGCUACCCUAAAUAUAGUAAAAUCUUACUUCUCUGAGCCAAUCACAAUGAUUCCCCAUAGGAUUAGCUGAGACUGUCAAGGGGUAUGAUCAGGGGCAGAGCCUGGCCAAUCAGCAUCUCCUUAUAGAGAUGCAUUGAAUCAAUGCAUCUCUAUGAGGAAAGUUCAGUGUGUCCAUGCAGAGAGUGGAGACACUGAAUGGCAGUGCUGCACACUUUGCAGCACUGCCAGAGGAAGCACCUCUAGUAGCCAUCUGAAGAGUGGCCAGUUAUCUCUAGCCUGUAAUGUAAAUACUGCAUUUUCUCUGCAAAGACAGUGUUUACUGCACAAAGCCUGAAGGGAAUAAUUUUACUCACCAAAACAAAUUCAAUAAGCCGUAGUUGUUCUGGUGACUUAAAGGACCAGUAUAGUGCCAGGAAAACAAACUUGUUUUCCUGACACUACAGGGUCUUUGGGUCCCCCCACCCUCAGAGUCCCACUCUCGCCAGGCUGAAGGGGGAGUGCCAAUCUCCCUCGGCGAUGGGGACUCUCCUCCCUCUUCCGACGUUAUCUGCCGAAUGCGCAUGCACAGCAAGAGCAGCACACGCAUUCAAUCACUCCAUAGCAAAGCAUUUCUCAAUGCUUUCCUAUGGACAGCAGUGUCUUCUCACUGUGAAAAUCACAGUGAGAAGCGCGGAAGUGCCUCUAGUGACACUGCUAUGUUUACAGCUGCAGGGUUAACACUAGAUGGACAUGGCACCCAGACCACUUCAUUGAGCUGAAGUGGUCUGGGUGCCUAUAGUGGCCCUUUAACCCCUUAAGGACACAUGACAUGUGUGACAUGUCAUGAUUCCCUUUUAUUCCAGAAGUUUGGUUCUUUAAGGGGUUAAGUGUCCCUUUAAGUUUUGCCUAUCACUACUAUGACUUGUGUAUAGAGGACGGCUAGCAAAGGGCCACCCCACCCUGGGCCACUAGAAUGGUGAGGAUUGUGGGCUUCUGUCUUACAUUACAAUAGUAAAAAUAUAAUUGUAAUCUAGUACUUGCAGUUAUAAAUAAAACAUUUCAUAUUAAAUACGAAAGGGAGAGGAAUGUGUUGCAACAAUUUGGUCUCUAAUUGGGCUAUUUAUUUGUAGUUGCAUAUAGCCACUGGUCAGUCUUUCUCUGCUGGAGUAACACUUAUGGUUGCACAGGGUGUAGUUGCACACAGUAUCCAAGGUAACAACUCCUCUUUUUGGUGAUGGUCUUGGGAGGAUUUUUGUUUUGGGUUGUACAACCUUUCCCAUACUUCUCCCUCCUGAGGCAUAACGAAUUGCACACAGAGGUUUCAGGAAUUGGCAUCAUAUCUCUGAACCCAUUAAAGUAUGGAGUGGCAUACUGUGAGUGAGCAGGGGAAAGGUUAUUAAUUCUCCUAAAGGACAGCUUUCUUGUUCCCUAGCUAGACUACCUGAGAUAAUUCAUAAACAUGGGAGCAGAAGUUUAAAUCAACAGUGGAAAGGAGUCUGCAAAAUGUGCACCCACCAUCUUGUUAGGCUACCUACCCUUUUACAUGUGUAUUAUUCAAUCUAAAUUAUGAGGACCGUAUCACACAUGUCAAAUUGUAGGUAUUGAGAGCGCAGUCCCCAAAACCCAUGAUAAUAAUCUCCCUACCUGUCAAUCUAAGGUUUGUUGUACCCCUGUAGAAUUUCUUGGCUCUGUAUAAAUAAAUUGUGGAAGAUUAAUAAAGUAAUUAUGUAAAGGUGCUCAAUAAAUAAUCAUUAAUGAGGAAUACACUUCCAGGGACCAGAUUUAAUACAGGGGAUUAUGACACUUCCAGGGGCCAGAUUUAAUACAGGGGAUUAUGAAUUUUUAUUGGAACCAUUCUAAAUAGCAUUAUUGUACUAUUUUGCUCAUUGUGAUUGCCCACACUGUAAUAAAGUCCUGCUUUCUCCUGCUGACUCCUCAUUACAAGCAGAUCAGAGCGGCUUCGAAAGAUCUGCUAUUACAUCCUUAUGUGCCGGCAGAUUCAGCCUAAUGAACACAAGUACUAGUUUAUUUAGGAGGAUAGCAGGCUUCACUUAGGAAGAUUAUCAGCAGUAAGGGUGAGAAAUAGAAUAUCUUUGUUGGCAGUCUUCCAGACAUCCAAUCAAUGCCAAGAAAUAGAACAUCUAAUUCCCUGCUGUUCUCUCGGAAUGGGAAGCACUGGUAUGUAUCAAUAUUCGUUAAAAUUACAUCACUGCUGCUAUCACAACUAGCAGGAUUUGCACCAAUUCCCCCCCCCCCCUCCCCAUCCCCCAAUAAAACAAAUAAACAAACAAACAAAAAACAACAAAUUGUGUUGUUAGAAAAGCUGUACAGAUUCUGUAUAAACACAGGAGAGACUUGGUGGAUGGUUAAUUUUAGAAGCUGAUUUUAUUCCCUGCUGAACAACAAAUAUCUACAAGAAUCAUCAAGGGCCAAUCAGUAGUAGCAUUAACAGAACUCUUGAAAUACUUGAGAGUAUUUAAUAAUUACAUAGUAUGAUGCCUGUAAGGGAAAAAUGCUUCUUAGUAUUCAGAUCUGAACAGCCUCUAGAAUAUCCGCUACAGCCCGGAAUUCUUUAAAUCAUUUACUAAUGGAAUAUUUGCUACAAAUAUUGUCUUUGUCUAUUAAUGUAAAGAAAAUAUUCCAAGUGAUGUAAUUCUCUAGAAAAAAAAUAUAUAUCCGCUCCGGCUUUUUUGUUAUAUAUGAUUUGUAUACAAACUAAUCCAGCCAUUCAGGUCCGCCCUUAGGCAGGGGUGAGUGGGACACAUUCCCCAGGACCUGAGGUGUUUUUAUUUUAAUUAUGAUUUAUCCCCUUGUGAGAGGUGAUAAAGUGCCCGCGGGGGGUUGCAUUAUUUCCUUGUGACUGUAAUGUGCAUUGUUCUAGUGCUUCCACCCCUCUCUCACUGCAGCAUUAGAAUGGAUCAUGCUGAAAUGAUACUAAGUGAUGACAAAGUGAUGACAGGUCACUUUGGGGUCUCAUGGCUGCAGUAAGAAAGAGGAUUGAGCUCUAGAGGAAUAUGUACAGCUCAAGUUGCAGCCACGGGAUCACUAUGGAUCAAGCCCAUCUGCCCAGUGAUAAAGUAGGCAAACACGUGGGACCUGGGCUAAUGUAGGGGGCUUACCACUCAUACCCACCAUCUGAUCACUGUCUCCACCUGCACACCUAAGAGGCACAGACUAUAUUUAUCAUGACUCUAAAGACAACUAGUGUGUGUUAUGAAUGACAUACUUGAAAACCAGGAAGAAAAAAAUCUCAUAUCUGUAUCCUUCCUGGUAAAAUAUUUUAUAAAAAAAGAAAUAGCACAAACGCUGUUUCGUCUCGCUCUGCCGUCCACUGGCAAACACCUCUGAGGACACCAUACAUACUCAGCCUACUCUGGCAACCGGAUUAACCCAGAUACUACAGUCCACUGGGAAAUUCUAGCGUGCCAUUCCAAUGGCAGGUUACUAGCCCAAGCACAAACCCAAACAGUAUCAGCCUAUCAAAAGCCCUGCCAUAUUGCUUGCCCCUGCAGUACUGUGGCAACAGACAUUCCAACACACCUUCACUUUUUUAACCUUCAAAAGAAUUGUUUGAGGCUGCAGCCACAUCCUUCUGAUGUGGAAUCAAUCAAUUAAUUAAUUAUCUUGUGUAUCUGCCCCCGGCCAAAUUUAAAAAGAUGCGUGCACGCUCCUGAAGUAAUUCACACCAGACACAGGUUUUGGGUUAAUGAAAAACUUGAGGAAUGUUUAUUCAGGGGGGACAACAUGUCCAUUAUAAAGCAAAAUUACAUCAUAUGCAUUGUCAGAGAUAACAUGGAAUAAUACAUCAAUAAUUGGUUAGGUGUUAAGUGGUUCAUUUAUUGCUCUUCCUACCAGGUGUGAUGUCACUGGUAUCUUGGAGGUCUCCCCCAGAUUCCAGCGCCAUCUUGUUAAUGAGGGUGUUAGUCGAUGUCAAAGGGAAACUCCCUAGUGGCCAUUUUAGGUAAAUCACAUAUAAGGUUGAAUAAUGCUGAUUGUGGUUAUGCUGAGUAAAUAGGCAUUUUAUUAAUAUGAAUUUGGUUAAUAUUUUGUCCACAACAGUCCCCCCUUAAAAUGACUAUUUACUAAAGAGACAACUACUAACUGACCCUAACAAUGUCCCUACUUGGCAGCAGCUCAUCUGUCUGAACAAGCCUCGAACGCUUCACUGCGCGGGUAUCCCGUAGUGGUUAACCCACUACAUCUCCUGCGUCAGACUCCUACCCGUGGAGACAGACGCUGUCCCUAUGCUGUCCCUAUAAAGAAGUAGUUGUCCUUUUGAGGUGGUGGGACUGAAGAGGUGUGUGCGGGGUGUCACAGUCUAUAUCGUCAAUAUCUUGAUGUAGGAAUGUAGGAUGUAGGAAAGCCUGAUGCAGCAGGAGAGGUGCCUACAGCAUAAGGUUGUUCCGAUCCAACAGGUUCAUUCGACCCAUCUAUCAUGAUUGGGUAACGGGGAGACGCCAUGAGGGAGGUGGAGACAGGAACUGGACUUGGUGAGGGGGCGGAAGAGGAAAUGGUUGGAAGGGUGCUGGGAGGGGAAGUCAUAGUCAUAACCGGAGGUGACGGAGUCUGAGUAAGCUGAGGGAGAUGAGCGGAGAGGGUGGAAAUUAGUGAUGAAAGAUCAAGGGAGGGAGGGACUACGGGAUUGGAGGCUGGAAGGGGAGGGGAAGCUGAAACUGGGACAAAAGGGGUGAUGGGGAGAGGAGAGGGAGCAGAGAGGGCGGAAAUGAGUGAUGAAAGAUCAAGGGAGGGUGGAAAUACGGGAUUGGAGGCUGGAAGGGGAGGGGAAGCUGAAACUGGGUCGGAAGGGGUGAUGGGGAGAGGAGAGGGAGCAGAGAGGGGGGAAAUGAGUGAUGAAAGAUCAAGGGAGGGUGGAACUACGGGAUUGGAGGCUGGAAGGGGAGUGGAAGCUUAAAGUGGGAGGGAAGAGAGGGGCUGGGAUAGUGGAAACGACGGUAGGAGGUGGGAGAGAGGUGGGAACAAUAGGAAUGAUAGAGGGAGGUGGGAGAGUGACGUGAACAGUAGGAAUGACAGAGGGAGGUGGGAAUGGAGUGGGAGCAGUGGGAAAAACAGAGGAAGGUGGGAGAGGGACGGGAUAGUAAUAAGAUCCAUCUGCCCCGAGGACAGGGUACAGAGGGGUGGGGACAGAGGAGCCUGCGCCAAUUGGAGGUGACGACCGGGUAGUGGCUGGGGGGGCGGAGCCAGAUUCUUUUACAUUGUGUUGGGCGCCAUCAUAGGGCGGUGGCUGGGGAACAUCAAGAGAUGAGUCAUAAUUACAAACAUUUCUGUGAUAUACAUAAAUCGAUUGUCCUCCAAAAUCUAGUUCUUCCUCUAACCAACCCUCCCGCUUGAGUCCUCUUGCCACCCAAUACCAAGACCCCACGGCGUUCGUUAACCCAUAAUCCAACAAUAAGCCCUCUUUGUCAAUAAGCAAUUUCCUCCAAAAUUCUGGCUGUAAUCUACCACUGGGUGACAUUUGAAAGCCACAAAUCUUUGCUAUUUUCUUUAAUUUUAACAUAGCCUCUUCUCCUGCUCUCUCCUUAACUAUGUCACAAGCUAAGUAGUCUUUGGAAGGUCUGGCGUGUUCUUGUCCCAUUUUUACCAAACAAGGCUUCCCACGUAAGAGGGACAGAGAGAGAGAGAGAAAAAAGAAGGAAUGUCUACAGUGCUCGACUGCUACGAGGAAUUGAUCUUCGUGCGUCUUCCCUAAAUGUAGACUAGUCACGGGAUCCGCCCAACCGAUAUGGUGGCCACGGAUCUGAGCAGGCGAGCGUGGGUGACUAACACAGCUCUGGGUAAAAAGUACAGAAGAGGUAGAGAAUGAAGGAAAAGAUGAAGGUGGAGAGACUAAUCAGAAGACAUUUACAAGAGUCACAGAUGUAGAGAUGUGCACAUAAUCCAGAAUCAAGGAUGAGCCACACAACACACACACACACAGCAAGGGUACCCACACUAUGGCCACAAUUGAAUAAAAACCAUAAUAUAAUAAAGAACAAUAUAACAAUGAGCAUAGUAACAACUAAACAGUAAAUAAAACCCUGUUCUGCUCUGAAACGUAAUUCCCAGCCUUUCUCCAGGCGGUUCCCAGCCCUUCACCAGGCGGAUGCGUUCCCUGCCCGCAAGGCAGUCAAGCUAUAAUAAAUUCCCAGCCCUUCACCGGGCGGAUGCGUUCCCUGCCCGCUCAGCAGUCAAGCUAUAAUAAUAAAACAUAAAACCACACACCAGCUGUCUCACACGCACACGCACACUCAGGAGGCAGAUAGACAAUCGACAGGUUCGUUUUAAAAGGCACCGGAUAAGAGAUUACUUGUCUUGUAGCCUUCUGGAAGCUGGAAGUGGACACGGAGACAGACCGACACAAAACAGGAGAAUACAGGCAAACCACUGUAUUUAGGAGGUGAUCAGGCUCCGGUUGUCCCACUUUCCGGAGGUCCGCUCCGGUCCCUUUUUCCGGCCAUCUGAACUGGCGAAUCCCGGUGCCCCACGUUGGGUGCCAAAUGAUAUGGAAUCAAUUAAUUAAUUGAUUAUCUUGCGUAUCGGCCCCUGGCCAAAUUUAAAAAGAUGCGUGCACGCUCCUGAAGUAAUUCACACCAGACACAGGUUUUGGGUUAAUGAAAAACUUGAGGAAUGUUUAUUCUGGGGGACAGCAUGCCCCUUGUAAAGCAAAAUUACAUCAUAUGCAUUGUCAGAGAUAACAUGGAAUAAUACAUCAAUAAUUGGUUAGGUGUUAAGUGGUUCAUUUAUUGCUCUUCCUACCGGGUGUGAUGUCACUGGUAUCUUGGAGGUCUCCCCCAGAUUCCAGCGCCAUUUUGUUAAUGAGGGUGUUAGUCGAUGUCAAAGGGAAACUCCCUAGCGGCCAUUUUAGGUAAAUCACAUAUAAGGUUGAAUAAUACUGAUUGUGGUUAUGCUGAGUAAAUAGGCAUUUUAUUAAUAUGAAUUGGGUUAAUAUUUUGUCCACAACACUUCUUACCUGUCGUCCCAUGCUAGGAGCCUGGGGCAGUUGCCCCCUGUGCCCGCCAUUGCCAGCCUUACUACUCUUGUCUCUCCCAUUUAACAUUCAGUUUAGAAAAUAAUGCCAGGAUAUUGCUAUAAACAGAUAUAGAGUUUACCUAAUAAAAAACGAACGGGUAAAAUGCAUGCAUGUGCAAUGCAGCCACUUGCAGCAUCUUAAUCACUUUAAAAAAUAUAUAUUUUAAACAAUUUGCAUACAUGAAUGGGAGCUGAUUGAGAUGAGCUACUGUUUAUGGCUGACUUGUGCAAGCAUACACUGUAUACAUUUAUACAUAUUCAUUAGAUCAUCUAUAUGCCGGGCUAAGUCUGUUUACUUUUUAAGUAUAAUAGCUUUAGAUCAAUGCAUUACUUGGUUUAUCCGCUGCCUUGUUUUAUGAAUAUUUUUAUUGGUUAGUUUUCAGUCAUUUAUAUUUAUCCUUUAACCCCUCCUGAUGAACACUUAUUUUUGUUUUAUAAUUUACAGACCUUGAUUUUAUUAUUUAGCAUUUAAGAAUUCAUUCCCUGAUUAUGAGCUUUAAUACCAUUUUUAUUGAUUGAUUUAUUCAUUUUUUCUAAGUGCUUAAUUUACGAGACAGUGAUCUGAAACCAAAUAUACAAUAUUUUGGCAUAAAUAGCUGAGCUGGGUUAAUUUUCCUAUUCUGGUCUACAUUUAUAAGGCUAUUCACCAAAGUAAUAAUUCAAAGUGAAUAUCAUAUUAAAGACCAAUAUUGCAAAACCUGAACAAAUCAGAUUUGCUUCCCGUUUGUCCACUUUGGAUUGCAAGUCACGCUGAAUUCAGUUUAGUGAAUACAUCUGUAAGUGAUACAUGGCUGCCAAUUAACUGCAAUUUAAUAAGCCUAAGCUUUUGUGAAUAGACACAUACACAUUUUUACAUGCCUGCAAACAAAGUAGUUUGUGUGUUAGUUAUUUAUUAAAAGAACACUAUAGUGUCAGGAAUACAAACAUGUACAAGCACAUAUUCCUGACACUAUAGUUCUAGUAUGGCUGUUUUGGCCCCUGGUCCGGUUCCUGUUCCGGUUGCACUGAAAAGGUGAUUUUACUCACAUUUUUUCUCACACCACACCUGCCUCACCACAGCUGUCCCCACCUCCAUUGCCAAGAUCAUUAAACUUGGGAGGCUAUAGUGCGGCAAAACGCUGCACUGCGUCAGUCCUUAUAGAGAUGAUAAUAUAGAAAGAUAUAAGAGAGUGUACACUGCAGUGACAAAAACCAUGCAAAAAUAAUUCACCUAGCGCAACAUAUGAUUAUAAAUUGCUAUGGCUCCACCAGCAGAAAUACCAAGUAGAAAAAUAAAAAUACAAUGUUAUACCCUGGUUACUGUUGCUCAGUGACGAACUGCAUACCGAACGUAGCCCCGGGUGAAGUCAUCACAUCACAGGGGCUCCGAAACAUUUGUUUACCUAUUGCUCUUCAAGUACAUGUGGGUUACACAAGUGGGUCCGGUUAACAAAGCUGCACAUUGUAUUUAUCUUAUAUUUCUCCUUAUAGAGAUUAAUUUAUUAAUGUAUCUCUAUGUGGAAUGUUCCACGCUUCCAUGCAGUGGGUAGAGAUUCUAAACGCCGUGCUGAAACAUCGUGCAGCACUGGACUAGAAAGCAUCUCUAGUGGCCAUCUGAGUAACUGCCACUAGAGGUGUUACAUUACAUCUGAAAAGGCAGUGUGUUUACAUUAAAAUGCCUGCAGGGACAUGCUAUAGACACCAAAACCACUUCAUUAAGCUGUAGUGGUUCUGGUGACUAUAGUGUGCCUUUAAGAGCAGUGAUGGAAAUAUAUUAUAAAAGCAGAAACCAAUUAAUGGUUAGUUCUUAUUUCUCCAAGUUUACAAUGUUGCCCCCCAAAUAAAUAUUGUUAAUGAAAAAUAAAGAAAGCAAACACAAUCUGUGCUUGACACUCUGCUUGAAUAAAACGUCACAUAAAGGACUGAAUGAUGUUCCAAACCGUAUUUUUCUUGUGUUAGUAAUGAGCAAAUAAAAAGCAGUGCACAAUAAAACAAACAAAAAAGUUAAGUUAGAAAGGUAAAUUCCCUUAUGAUUUCUGAAUCAAUCAGCAGCAGAGCUUGGCUGCAAAAACCCAAUAAUCAAUAUUCUACAAACCAAAGAGAAAUGUUGAGGCCAACACGUGGGAAUAGGAAACGUGUAGAUUCUCUUCUCUAAUAUAAUGAAGUCAGAGACAAAACAGAAACAUGUUAUGCUGGUGCAAACAUACUCAGAUAUUUAAUAGUCAGAACUUUUCCCCAUUCUGCUAAAUUCCUAUGUAUAAGGCACAAAAGUGACAGGGAAGAGGGGGCUUGUGCAUAAAAUUGGUGAAUAUUGUUGCCAUACGUUAAGCUCCUCCCCCACCCCACACAGUUCUACCUGGAGGGCAUUUCCAAUGACACUGAGCAGAUAGAUCUCCUACCAUAACCACUACAUCACAAGACAUAGUGCUGUUCCAUUAUAACUUGUUGCAUCCCAUGUGGACAUGUUAUUAAUCAAGUGUUAUGUAUUACUUCCACAAUAAUUAUGUUUUCACUUUGGUUAAUUGAAAAAAAAAAAAAAACACCCAUAGUUACUUACUGUUAUUAUGUAUGUAUUAUGCACAUGUAUAAAUUGAUGUAGUCUGUUCACUACUUGACCUCUCCCUGGCAGUUUUUUUUUUUGUACUGUGCCAUGUUUAUGUCAGAAUCCAGUUCAGACAAAGCAGAGCCAGGGCACACAUCAUUAAUGAGGAGAAAUGGAAAUAUUGUAUAGACCAAAAAGAUGUCAGGAAACUGUUCAGACAUCACAGUGCUAUGCUGGCUGACAUCACAGUGCUAUGCUGGCUGACAUCACAGUGCUGUGUUGACUGACAUCACCGUGCUGUAUUCUCUGACAUCACGCUGCUGUGCUGGCUGACCUCAUAGUGCUGUGCUGGCUGACGUCACGGUGCUGUGCUGGCUAAUCAGACUGAAAAAUUUAAUUCACAAACAUUGAAUGUGCCUAGCUAGCUUAUUCAUUGACAUCACAGUACUGUGCUGGCUCAUCAGUCUGAAAAAUGCCAUUCAUAAACAUUGCCUCUGCCUACCUUAUUCAUCACUGAAAAAUGUAUUCAAGAACUCCAACAGUACUUAACAAAGAAUUUGGUAGAAGUUGACACCUAAGGCUAGCUAUGGUUACAUAACAUUCUAGCACUCAAUUCCAUUUCAACAAUAUUUUACGCUAUCUAUUCAACAUGUAGACUAUAUAUGCAUGUUGCAGUGAAUUUAUAAUAUGAGCUGAUUUUAAAACCGGUGUGUAUGAAUACAGCAUCCCACUGGGACUGUGGUCCAGAUCAAAGGAUGAUGUUAUCUGACAGUAACAAGAUUUAUUCCUCCACACCUGGUCCCUACAGCGUGUAUUUAAAUUAUCUGUCGAUGGUGCCUCAUUUCCUAUAAUUGUAGGGGGUCUAUUCACUAAAUUAUAUACACAGGCUUUACAUCAUUUUAAGGCUAAAAUAAAAUAUAUAAGCUUUUGGUCUCCCAGAUUAACUUCUAUUUCGCAAACCUGUCUCUUGCGUUCUCUUAUAGGGCUACACUUUGCUGUUACCUUUCAGUUCUGCUACUUUCACACCUUGUUGCUUAGUUACUAUUCCCUUUAAUGCUAUUUUUGUUGUGUUUUGUUUUAUACACCACCUCCUCUAGAUUGUAAGCUCCUUUGAGCACGUUCCUCAUCAACCUAUUGUACCUGUAACAUUUGGUAAUUGUCUCAUAUAAAUUUCCUCCUUAACCCCUUAAGGACGGUGGGCGUGUUAUGCCGUCCUUGGGGACCCAGCUCUAAACGCCGGGGGCCGGCAUAACACGUCCCCGCCAUCCUAUGUACUUACCCGAUCAUUGGCGAUCGCGGUGGGGGGACUCACCUGGCAUCCCAGGGAGUCCCCUGCUCCUGUUCCAGCCCUCCUGGGCUAUGUGAUUGAGAGGUCUUUCACGUGGCGUUCACCUAUACGAACGAUGGCCGCCCAGAGAGUGCAUAAUAGACGGUUCCCUUUGAAGGUAAUGAGCCAGGAGGGUGGUCGGUGUUCGGUAGUUUAAUCUACCGAACCAAUAAAUCCAAAAUAAACGAAUUCAGCGGAAAGUCACGAAUAAAAGAAGAAAAUGCCGAAAAUAAGUCUAUUGUCUUCACAACAGGUACUCCCCCUGCUGCCUGUAAAAAACUGUUUAAAACUAAAUUAUAUAUACUUAGAUCAUAUAUAUAUUUAUUACAUAAAUUAUCUAAGUAUAUAUAUAUAUAUAUAUAUAUAUAUAUAUAUACAUACACAUACAUACACAUACACUGUCUAAGAGUAUUUUAAUAUAUAUAUAUAUAUAUAUAUAUAUAUAAAAACAUCAUUUUGCAUUUUUCACACACAAACAAAUAUCAACACUCACUUUUGUGACCAAGUGGCUUCUAAGAAAGACCCCAUUUGCAAUACCUUGGAUUGUGUACUUUUGCAAAUGGUAUGCCAUCAUGGGGAUAAUUCUCAUUCCUGGGCUACCAUACGCUCUCAAAGGCAACAUAACCAAUCUGGCGAAUUUCAAUGUGAAAAAACUGAAAAAUGUAACAUGCUAUAUUUGACCCGGUAACUUCUCAAAACCCCAUAAAACCUGUACAUAGGGGGUACUGUUUUACACGUGAGACAUCGCUGAAUGCAAAUAUGUGUACUUUAUUGGAUGAAUAAACUGGAAAGUAGUGUACCUAUAAAUAGGGAGAAAGUAGCAUGUGCCUAUACUUCAUAAUAAAAAAUUGAAGAUAGAAGGCACAAAUAAAAAGACCAAAAGGUCAAAAAACAAUAAAAGAUUUUGAGUAUAAAUAGCAUCAAAAAGAUUUGAAUAGCAACAAUGGAUACAACGAGAAAUUGUAACACUAAAAAUAGAAAAAGAUACAAAGUAAUACGCUAGAAUCAGUUCUGAUGUCUUGAAUGAUACAAACGUAAUCAGCUACAGCACACGUCUGUGCUGUUUGGAAGAGACAUAUAAAUGCUAAUUGUGUGUUAAUGGGAGAGUGGUAGGAUAUAAUGUAUGGUAAAACCACAAUAAGACAUACAUGAAACUAGAGCCUGCAAAUGUAAACUGCGUAUAUAUCGUGUCCACAAACAAAGAUAUUGAAUGUAUGAAUAUAAAUAUAAUAGUGGUGGAAUCAGAUACAAACAGAGGUGUGAUGCUGGUAAAUCUCUAGAAUUAGAAUCUAAUAGUGAAGUCCACAUGUAUGUAAUAUGCAUUAUUGGCAAUCUUUGUGAUGUUUGAUAGUAGAAAGAGUAGUAGUGAUACGAUAAAAUAUAGACAGGAAUGCCGAUAGAUCUAUAUCAUUAAAGAUGGAGACUCUAAAAAGCGUGCUACAUUCCUAAUGGCAAUGAUAACUAAAGGUAAAUCCCAAAAUAUUCUGUUCGAUCAAUGAAUGUUAAGUAAUCAACUGGAAUGACUGAUCAAUAAAUAUUAGAUGAUCGACUAAAAUAGAUGGAUAAAUGGAUGUUAGCUAAUCGACUCAAAUGACUAAUCAAUAGGUGAUCGACUAAAAUGACCUUGAAUUGAUGAAAAUAAACGGGAUGAAUAUAUAAGUAGAACUGGUAAAUGAAUAAUAAUUGUAAAAGGAAAGAAUAAGCACUGUAUAGUGAUAUACUAAUGUUAAAAAAGAAGAAAAAGAAGCACGCUAUGAAUCUGUAACUAUUCCUAUAGAAGUGAUGGUAACCGAUGGCUGUCCUAAACUGUCUGAAAAUAAACAGAGACAGGUAUAAAGUGGACUAACACUAUUGCUAUCAAUCCACCCCCGUGCCUUCGAGGGCACCUAUGUCUAACCCAGCUGAAGAAUAAACUAAUUACAAAAAGACUAUCAGAGUAAAUAACAUAAUAUGAUAAAAAGACGGCAUGUAUAAAGCCCUAAAUCCCCUGACGCGCACGUUUCACCCACUUAGCUCGUCAGAGGGGAACCGGUCAGAGGAGAAUGCUGGAUUUAAAAAGGACGGGAACGGCAAUGAUUGGACAGGGUAAAUAGCUCUGAUUGGAUGAAGUGAGAUGACAUCGUAGGAGGUGUGUGUCUCACUGACCCGACCGUGAAAAGAAGAAUUAACCCCUUAGGUGACAGGUUUAAUAUAAAAUGUUUGGAACAGAAUAGUAGUAUAAAUGUUGAGACUCAAAUAUAGUCUAUAUAUAAAGUACAAAAAAACUCCAAACAUGGCACAAUAUAUAUUAAUAGUAAACGAUAGAGUAAUAUAAAGAUAUUAGGUAAAUGAUGAUUAUUCUAAGAAAAACAUUAAAAUAAACAUACAGUAGUAAAAAAAAGAAUAGUAUUGAUAUAUAAAGGGGUAUGAGACCAUGUAUAAAUAUGGAAGGAUUCAAAGAUAACAAGAAUGUGAAAUGUAUAUUAAGAUUAGAAAAUAACAGUGUUGUUAAAAGAAAGAAUAUCGGUUGUAUAUACAAUGGGAAAGUAAGAGAUUGAUACAGAGAAAACAAUGAUGAUUGGACAGGAUAAAUAACUGUUGAAUAAAAUUGGAGGACAUCAUAGAAGAUGUAUUUUGCGCGUUAUCAAACCUCAGAGAGAAUUAACCCCUAAGGGACGCUGAAUGACAGACUUGGUAUACAAUGAUGAAAACAAAAAUGGAAUGUUAAGGCUUAGAUAUAGUCUGUGUAGCAGUACAAACAGUUCCAAAGUAGCAAGAUAUAUUAAUAUCUGAUUAAUUAGAUGUAUAAAGUAAAAAAAGGGCUAUAAUGAACAUGUAAAAGAAAAUGAAUACAUAAAAAAUGGAAAUUAGGCACAAAAUGCAAAAAUUGGGAAAAAAAUUGAUUAUAGCGCUCUAAUAAAAUCAGUAUAAAUUAAAAUAAAAUGUUCACUAACUUUAUGAGAUUAGGUAUGGUAAGUAGUGUAGAAUAUGGUAAAGAAGAAGAAAAAUUCCAGAUGAUGAACCAAUAUCUGAAUUAAGAAACUUAUUUAUGGAUAAACAGAGUAAAAUUGAACUCCUCAUUAAGGCCACUUGGAGCCAGAGUUUAAAAGUGAUAAAUCCACCUGGAUUCCUUCAUUAACAGCAUUUUAUUAAAAUUGCCCUUUCAAGAAUUCAUGGUUAUUUUUUCAAUAGCCUGGAACAUAAGGUGACUUGAAUCGCCGCCAUGGUGCAACCUAACAUGAUUAGACAAUGGGGUAGAAAUGGUCAGAUUUGAAAUUGAACAUAUAUGUUGAAGAAUCCUUCUUUUGAGCUGUUGGUAGGUUUUAUCAAUGUAUUGAAUUUUGCAGCUGCAAGUUAUGAGAUAUAUAACUCUGGUGGAAUUACAAUUAAUGAAUUGUUUGAUUUUGUAUUCUUUCGUUGUAGUUGUACUUAGGACAGUUUUAGAGGGUUUAAUAUGCUUGCAGGCCUUACAGUGGCCACAUUGAUAAACACCUGAAACAGGGGUUAACCAGGUUGAAUUAUAAUUGGGUUCAAUGUGACUAUGUACAAGAUGGUCACGUAAAUUCUUGGCCCUGCGCGCAGUAAUAUUGUGAAACUUGCUGAUGUUCUCCUUAAGGUCCUUGUCAUAAUUGAGAAUAGGCCAAUUAUGAGACAUAAUUCGUAAAACUGGUUCCCAAUAUUUAUCAAACGUCCUAAUACAACGGAUAAUGUCAGAGUCUGACACUUGUCUGUUGGUAUGUAAACUCUCACUUCUGUUCUUGGCAGCUGCUAGUUGGUAUGCUCUUUUUAAUAAUCUGUUAGGAUAUCCUUUCUGUUUCAACAUCAUUCUUAAUGUUUUUGUUUCCAGAUGAAAGGUUUCAUCAUUAGAGAAACAUAGAAACAUAGAAUGUGACGGCAGAUAAGAACCAUUCGGCCCAUCUAGUCUGCCCAAUUUUCUAAAUACUUUAAUUAGUCCCUAGCCUUAUCUUAUAGAGCAAUUACGUCUAGCCCUAAGAUAUUGUCCUUAAGGGAUGCCAGAUUUGAGUUUAAUUGGAUGAUGGCUAUUCAAAUUUAACAGGCUAUUUGUUGCUGUAGGUUUGCGAUAUAGCUCUGUUUCAAUGACUCCAUCAGGUCGAAUUUUGAUAUUGAGAUCAAGAAAAAUCAGAUGUUCAGUAUCUAUGACAUGGGUUAAUUGAAGACCGAUAGAAUUGUUGUUAAGUACUUCGACCAAUUCUUCAAAUUGUUUAAUAGUCCCCAACCAGAAUACCAAGACAUCAUCUAUAUACCUGUGCCAGCUGUAAAUACAGGUUUGGUAGUUGGUUCUGAUAAUUGGAUCCAAAAUGGUUUCUUCCCACCAGCCCAGGUAAAGAUUGGCAUAGCUUGGGGCACAAGCCGUGCCCAUCGCUGUGCCCCUGAGUUGGAGGUAAUAUAUACCAUUGAAUACAAAAAAAAUUGUGCGUUAGUACAUAUUUCAAAAGUUGAAUGAUAAAGUCACUCUGUGUUGGAGAACAUUUGUUGGAUUUGAGAAGAAAGUGUCUGAUUGCAAUAAGCCCUAUGUCGUGAGGAAUAUUAUUAUAAAGAGCUACAACAUCGAGGCUCCCCAAAAGACAGUAAGGUGGUACAAUAAGAUUUUCUAAUAGGAUAAGAGUUUGCUUAGUGUCUUGAAGAUAUGAUGGAAGUCCAAUCACUAGCGGAUGUAGCAAUUUCUCUAAAUAUUUGCUACUUCGCUCGGUGAUGGAGCCGUUGCCAGACACUAUUGGUCUACCCGGUGGUUUAUUGAUGUUUUUGUGUACCUUGGGAAUACAGUGCAGGGUGGCGAUAUUCGGAGUGAGGUGUGGUAAUAUAAAUUUGUAUUCAUCUUGUGUUAUAAUUUUAUUGUCUAAUGCAGGUAUUAAAAUAGACUUAAGUUCAUUAAGAUACUGAGGAGUGGGAUCCUUGGGAAGUUUGUUAUAAGCUAGUGGAUCUCUAAGAUGUUGUCACGAUUCUGCAACCUAACACGCUAACAGGACAUAGAGAGGAAAGAUGCUAUACCGGUCCUUAGAGUGGCCGAGCUAAGCACACUAAGAAUGGUCAGGAGACAAGCCAAGUAAAGGGAGCUAGAAAACGGGAGAACGAGAAACAAGCCGAGGUCAAACGAGUGGAGAAGACAGGAUAAUCGGAAUAACAAGCCAAAUAAUCGGUAACCAGAGAGAAACACGAGCAAACUGCAAUACAGGUAUCACAAGACCACAACAGGGCACUGAGAGACAGGAAAGGUAAGUAUAAAUACCCUUUGCUUAAUUCUGAUUGGAUAACUUCCAAUCAGAAUUAACAAUCACACGUGGGAGAUAUCUAUGCCUCCCACUGUGAUUGUGGUACUGUUGCUUUAAUGCCGGGUCAUGUGAGUGACCCUGGCGUUUGCAUAAAUUUGCGACCUCCCAGCGUGCAGCGUUAUACAUGCUGCGUGGAGGACACGAGCGGCGGAGAGGAGACAGCGCACGCCGACAGGUAGGAGGAGGGGAGACCAAGUGGCGUGCAGCCUCCCCUCACAGCCGCCCACGGACCCCUGACAGAUGUUCCAUACACAUCUCUAUGUAUUGUUCUUUAUUCAUCAAAACUACAUUGCCACCUUUAUUGGAAGGUUUGAUUAUAAGAUCUACUGCUGUACUUAAUUCUUUAAGAGCUCUCCUUUGGGGUAUGGUGAGAUUAUCAUGUCUGAUCUUAGGAACAGUAAGUGACUCUAUUGCAGAUGUAGUCAUUUGUAUAAAUAAAUCAACACUUGAUACGUCACUUAAAUUAGGGGUAAACCAGCUUUCUGGUUUCAAAUUGGUAAGUGGUGGUUCAGAGUUUUGCUCCUCAAGUAAUGAUAAUAGUGUUUGAUGAAGACGAAAUUCAUCAUAGGGAAUACCUGCCUCUUUGGCCAGUUUAUAAUCCUUUCUCUUAUGAACAACAUGCAAAGCCAAUUUACGGGCAAAAAGGUUUGUAUCCUUGAUCCACUCGAAUUUAUUAGUGUUUGGGGUAGGUAUGAAUGAUAGUCCUUUGUUAAGGAGUGAGAUGUGAUGCUCUUGUAAAUUGAAUUUGGAUACAUUUAUAAUUUGAUUAGAAUUGUCACCUAUUGAUACUGAUUCGGUCUUCUUUCUCUUUUGUAGCCCAUUUGCGCCUGUCUCGUAACUUGUCUCUCUGUGGGAGAGGCCAGUCUUCCUCUAAAAAAGGAAGUUGUCCCUCAUUAUUCGAGGUUUGGCUUGAGGUUACCGUUUCAAGGACUGGAGUCUCAGGGAAAGUGACAUUCCUAGUUUUGAGAAUGCCCCUAUUCUUAGGUGGUUGAGACUGGGUUUUCUGAUAGUCUCGUCUAGAUGUACUGGAGUCUGAGUCGGACCAGUCUGUAUUACCAGAGGUAGAGCUAUUUCUGCUGCUAGUUUAUUUUCUAGGUCUUUUGAUUCGAAAGAUAUUACCCUCUUUGAAAUCUCUAUGAUCUCUUAAAUAUUUAUCAUGUUUUUUUUCCCUAACAUGUUUCUUGAAUCCUUCUUAGUUUUUUUGCAACUUAUUUUCUAGAAGGGGAAAUUCAGUUCUAUCCUUGAAGGUUUUUACAUUUAUCAAUUCCUUUUCUAAAUUUUGAUUCACUGUUUCUAAAUUGUUGGUUUCUAAUUUAACUAGGAACUGCAUAAGUUUGGCAGAGCAUUCUAAAAGUAUGUUGUUCCAUUCUUGGAUUUGUUCGUCUGUAAUUGCCUUUCUGGAAGAGAUAUUUCGGGUCUUAAACCCCGUGGUACCAAUUUAUGGUCCAGAUAUUGUUUGAGGCUAAUCAACUCCCAAUAUCCUUUAAUCUGUUGUUGAUACAACUUUUGAAUUGUAAAAAAUACUUCACUGAUAUCAUUGCUAGGUGGUAAAUUAAGAGGAUUUAAUGAGAACACAUUAUUAAUGUCUGUGGGUCCAGGGUCAGGAUUAAUUACACCAGAUAGAAAGGACAUGUUUUGUAUGGGGCUGUAAAAUAAGGUACUAAAACCAAGUGUAAAAUUAAAGACUAAUCAAAUACAGCCAAAUAAGGUACACUGAAUGCAGGGGGUUAACCCCUAGUGAAAAUGGAUAAAUAAACUGGAAAGUAGUGUACCUAUGAAUAGGGAGAAAGUAGCAUGUGCCUAUACUUCAUAAUAAAAAAUUGAAGAUAGAAGGCACAAAUAAAAAGACCAAAAGGUCAAAAACCAAUAAAAGAGUUUAUUGAGUAUAAAUAGCAUCAAAAAGAUUUGAAUAGCAACAAACAGUAUUAUGACAUUCACAGUUAAAAUGUCAUGUGGAACUAAAAAUAAAAUUACAAUUCUUAUUUUCUCCCAUUUUUUUAUACUUUAUUCAUAUUAAAUUAUGUUUCAUACCUGAAUAUUUGAUGCUUAAUGAAAGCCCUGUUUCCCCUGAAUAAAAUGAUAUAUAAAAAGUGUGGGUGCACAUAAUAUGAAAGAGGCGAAUUACGCCUGAACAGAUAUAUAGCGCAAAUUCCAGGUUUUGCUUACGUUUUGUUUUGAUCACAACGUGUACAUUUGGCUCAGUCCUUAAGAGUUUAAUAAUAUUGUUGUAAGCACUGUGGAAUAUGUUGGUGCUAUAUAAAUGCCAAAAAUAAUAGUAAUAGUGUAAAAAAUAAUCAUUCACACAUUAUGUAUUAUUGUGUUAUUUUUUUCAACCUAGUUAGAGACAAUUAAAUGUAAAUAUGAGAUUGCCUUUAUGCAUCUUAAAUCCAUUGGGUUCAGGGGUGUAGUGUGCUUUAAACUAGGAGCUAUUUUAUUCUUGACAUUUCUGAUAUCUCAGGUGGCCUUGUGUUUUUUACUGAGCGACAUUUCAAAUUAAAUUCCUGUAUUAGCUUCUGAAUACUCUGCCUGGAGGCUAUUCCGUGAAUCCACCACCUAUUUUAAAAUGAAUGCGUCCUCACAUGUUUCAUGAGAUAUGUGCCCUCCAUCUUCAGAUUAUGACCUCCUGCUCUGGUAUUUACAAAUAUCUUGUUUAUUGCUGAAAGAAACACGAAAAAAAAAAAACUCCAAUCCAAUGAUUUCAUGACAAUUUCUAGAAUUUGAAAGUUAUGAAAUUUUAUUUUUGAAAAAUGUGCGUCUGGUUCGAAAUCUGAACCCCUUGUGCGUAAUGGACCAUAACGCUUAUGGUGGUUGUACUUUUAGUCGAAAACCGGGCAUUUUUAUGCUUUCAGCCUUUGCUUCAAUAGAACCGGCACAGAAAAUCUACUUUGUGGCUGUAUUUUGUAAGCACAUAUUGGUUAGACAAGUUACACAAGGUUCCUUUUCGUGUGAAUUACCCUCUGUAGAGUAUAGAAAAAGCAUUGAGUGGCAGAAUAAUAGGGUCGUUCCUUGCGUGAUGUCCCAGAAUAGCUGUAAAGUUUCCUUCUAGAGAUCAUUUCUUCAUGGUGUUGAAUGUAGAUCUCAGUGACAGCACAUCUAUCCAUCACUUUCCUUCCUGUGAAAUGAGGAAGUGUAAUACUGAAUAAAGAUAUUUCAACACCAUAAAACGUAUCAUCGUUCAGUGGAGAGAGUAAUUCAUUUAUAUUGUUAUUUGUGUGCGGUUUUCUACUGUAAUAAAAUAAUAAAAUAUUUUCUAAAAGAGAAAAUGCAAUCAUCUAAAUAUUUGUAUUAUUUUAUAUUAGAAAAUUGCAGCCAUUUGUAUGUUUUGGCAGGCUACAGUAAAAUGGCUCCUCCAGUUACUCACACAUGUUGAGUGUAAUGUGUGGAUUAGACUACUGUUAGUAUCGCUAAGUAUUUGUAUUUAUUAUUGUUGUUUUUUUUAAAUAUAAUAAUAGAUUUACUCCAUAAGUACUCUUUUUCUGUCCCUCCCUCUCAAUUAAUCUGUUUCUUCGUUCUUCUUUGCCCCAAUACAGCGUUACAGAUUGCACACUAAAGCAUUCUGGGAUUUAUAAUUCAGCUGUUAGCUUUCUAUAGAAGUUAAAAAAUUAUGUAUAAUACAGAUAACCAUUUAUAUGGCCUAAAAGUACUGUUUACCUAACCCUGGUUCUCAAUCCCCUAUGUAAUGGUAGCGGGCACAGCCUAUCUGAGCGCCCAAGAUUUUAGCCAUCCGGUCUGCAUGGAACUAUGUACCAAAUCGGAAACUAGAUGCGGCUGGCAAAACCUUUAACUGGGUGGCAAUUGUUUACAUGGAUAAUAAGGGUACUUUUUGGACAGAGACUGAGAGGAUGCGCCAUCUGGGGAUAUCUUUGUUUGUCGGGCUGGAGAGGUCUCUGAUGUUUGGGGGGCUGCAGAGGGUUUCCACUGGUUAGUAAGAAGGAAUUGGGGAUUUUAUACAUACUCUGUAGCAGCCAUGGCAAAUUUAAUGUGUUAUUAACUUGUACAUCACAUUUGAAAAUAAGAAAAUUUAUAUAGGAUUUUGGCAUAGGUUUACUACUGCCUUCAAACUGAAAGGAGUAUUAUGUUAGAAAGUCAAUUCCUGUUCUAUGCAAAGUUCGAUGCAGAAGCUAAAAAAACAGCAAAUGCAGGAACUUCAACUGUGAAUAUAUUUUUUUAUUUUGCAUAUGUUUUCAUUAAAAAAAGCAAAAACGGGCUAUCUCCAACCUGGCGUGUCCCAUUAAUCUCAGUGAAUGAACAAGAUCUCCCAAGAUAUAAAUCAUUGCUGCAUUCUUUUCUUACUAGGAGAGGUAACACACAAAUUGACUUGUUGGUAGACUACUAGAAAGCCAACGUGGCUGCUUCCAGAAGACUUAUUUUAUAUGUGUUUUAUCAAAACUAGUGGUGGCAAAAAAGACAACUAGAAUUACAUUGCCAAAUUUGAAGGCAAAACAGCACAUUAUCCCAACACACUAUAUCUUGAUUUUACAUUAAAUGUUUUAUAUGAAUACACUAAUAAUAAAAUAAUAUAAUUACAUAAUAUAUUUUGUAUUGUGCUGUGACACAGCAACCAAAAAGCCCAUUUAUACUAAUGGUCUGGGGGCAUUUGCCCCUAGCCCCUUUUCCCCUGCCCUCUUGCCCGCUGCCCCCCGGUUAUAUUGGCUAAACUGGUAAUGUAAAGAUUUAAAAACAAAUAGCGAAUUUUAGGCCGUAAUAGCUGAAUUUAAAAAAAUAAUGCGCCAAAUUCAGUUAUUUUAAGCUAAAAAAUUAAUUUCUCUUGCCAGUUCUUCGUCUGAGUUAGUGAAUAAAUUCUCUGCACGGUUUUAUCAAGGUAAGUAUAAAUCAACUCUAGUCUUAUGGCUAUACAGUCUACAGUCUUAUGGUCCUUUUUUACAGAUAUCAGAAUACGUUCAAUUAUCUCAUGCAAUCAUAAGCUAUUUUAUUUUUAUUUCUUCAUGAUGGAGCCGAAACGUUCAUUCUCACGAAGAAGAGGGAUCCACAUAACAAUACAAUGAACAGCCCCAGAGACCUGUUGAUAAGAAUAUAUUCGGAAAACUGCUUUUGCUGUUCUUCAGGAACCAGGCAGCAUUACAAUGCAAAUGAUUAAUCACAAAUGUCGAAUCUAUUUGUAGUAAUCAGAGACACAUUGUAUAGAAAGAUGUGUGACCAGAAACAUGUAAGCUUCAUGUAGACUGAAACAUGAUAGUAUAACUCCCCCACCACCCCAUGCAGCAACUGUGACAUGUUAUUAACAACUGUGGAAUAUUGCUCUCUAUGCUGACAGAAUUCAGAAUACUUCAUUCAGGAUAUUACUAGCAUUGUUAUUUUAUUAAAGGAGAGAUGUUCAUAUUAUCCUGAUGUUUUGCAGUGUAUUUUCUAGCUAACAAAAUCAAAAUAUAAAACUAUUUGAUAUAAAACUGUUCCGAGUGGUUGAAAAUCAAUACCCUUACUCACGUGUGAGUUUAAAAUACUGGUUAGGUGGUUUCUGACACCGGACUGCUUAAGAACAAUGGCACCGAACAGAAAGAUUCCUAGAGUUGUGAAGCCUUUGGUUGUUUUAUGUCUCAACCCUGCAUAGAAGAGUAGUGGGGGGUGAGGUAGACUGACUUUGACACCCCCAAGGACCAGGGUUGUAUCCAUUAGGGAGAUGUGACAAUGUAGACCCGAGUCGGUUGGAUGUGGGUUUCGUGUGGUCCUGAGGUGAACUUUUAUGCACUCUUGUCAAACUUGAAUAAAUUAAGGAUGUAACACCCAAAUAAUGCUAGAAUACACCUGUGCAACAUGGUAAGUACAUGAUAUAUUUUAUUAUGCUAAAGCUGCAAAUGUUAUGUUGAAAUAAUAACGACGAAAAACUAAAGUAAAGAUUGUCAAAGAUAAAACUCUUUUGAAAUAACAAUGCUCUCACUUUGCCACAGUUUAGGGAACUCUCUAUACUUUUGCCACCUAUUUCUCCUGCCCUCGAAAAUCAAUCCUUAAAGAUCCACUAAUUGCACCCAAACCACUUCAUCUCAAUGAUGUGGUCUGGGUGCAGUGCCCCUUUUGUUUUAACCCUGCAAUCUAAAACAUAGCAGUAUUUGUAAUUUUACAUGUUUACAUUGCAGGAUUAAACAUACAUCCAGACAGACAGUAGAGCUGAUAACACAGCAACACAGUGAUUACUCAGUGAAACUCAGUCAUAUGACCAAAUGCUGCUCAUGAAUGAUUUCCUAUGAGGAGCAUUUGAUUGGCCGCACACGUACCUUGUCCCUAGUGGCCGUAAACGUACCUUGUCCCUACUGGCCGUACACGUACCUUGUCCCUACUGCGCCUUUAUGAGGAGCUUUGGAUAGGACAUACAUCGUGGUAGCGGGAGAUGGAGUGGGCAGCAUCACCGAGCGGGUUUCCUAAUAUAAAUUUGCAAAAGAAAAAGGGCCCUGAAUCUAUAUUGGAACUAGGGCACUAUAGUGUAAAGAAUACAGUUUUGUUUUCUUAAUGCUCUAGUGUCCCUUUAAUGAAAAGGGAAUCUUCUCAAGAGUUUGUUUAUGGAGUUAGUUUGAGAGUUUUGACAUGAGUUAGGAAUAAUGGCAAAUGUUAGUUGAUUUCCAUUAAAUGAUUUGAGCCUGGCAAUAUCAUUUAUUAAAUGAUACAGUGAUAUCAACAAUGAAAUUAUAUUUAAAAAAGUAUAUAUCUGAGUUAGAACCACAUAUAUCUAUACAUAGCUAAUUAACUUGAAUUAAUGAGUAUAAAGUACUUUAGUGCUGAUUUAAAAAAAAAUAUUUAUUAAUUGGGUUUUUGUUUUUUGUCAAUUGCCUAAUUAAUUUAUUAUCUGCAUCCAAUUAUAUAUGGUUAUUUAAAAAUCUUUUUUUUUUUCCUUCUCUGCUAAGGAAUUUUUUUUGCUGUAAGUUUAGUCCAUGAUGUUUUCAUAUCAAACACAGUUGAUAUUUAAGUUAUAUUAAAUGUAUAUGUAUAUAUUUGUUAUUUUUCUCUUCAGUUUGAUUAUUGUAAGUUGUUACUCUUUAUCCAUAUUUAAAUCAAAAAUAUUUAAAUCAAAACACUGACCUGAUUUGCAUGACUUUUGACCUGAUUUAUUUAUUUGUAUGAAGCUGAUAUGUCUUCAUCUUCAAGAGAAAUGACAAGAAGAGCACAGGGCAAAUGAUUAAUUUGGAGGAAACUCUAUAAGGCAAAAAAAUAUUGGACAUUCCACCCAUUUUCUAUGCAUGAGAACAGUGUACAGUACUAAAUACAUUACUCAGAUUUGAUACUCUUCUCAUUGACCAGGAUGGAGAGUUGUGUAGACCCACCAGGAUGUGAGCCUAGACAGGCUAUGAGUAGGAUCUUUACAAAGGCUCAUUCACCCACUGAGCCAACUUACCAUCUAAAUCUUUCAGCUAAACUAUUUUUAAAUACAUUUUGUUUUAGCUUUUAGCUUUGAGACAGCUAACUUGUGAUGAUGAACAAAGAUGAAUUAUGUAGUAAUUCAGAUUUCCUGGCAAACAGAAUGAGAAUAUUAAUGCCUUGAAGGAAUUAUUUAUCACUUGAAAAUCUUUCCAUGUUUCUAAUCAAGUCUAUGUGCACACGAUGCAUGCAUGGAUGAAUGGAUGGAUAGACGGAUGGAUGAAUAGGUGGAUUGAUAGAUGGAUGGGUGGAAAGAUGGAUGGAUGGAUGGAUAGAUGGAUGGAUACAAGGAAGGAUGGGUGGAAGGAAGGAUGAGUGGAUGGGUGGAAGGAUGGCUAGAUGUAUUGGUGGAAGGAUGAAUGGAUGGAUGGAUAGAUAGAUGGAUGGAUUGGUAGAUGAAUGGGUGAAAGGAAGGAGGAGUGGAUGGGUGGAAGGAUGGAUGAAUGAUGGAUGGUUAGAUGAAUGGAUGGGCGGAAGGAUGGAUGGAUAUGUGGAGGGCAGUUUUAGUCACUUGCUAGUCCAUUUAGUUUGGGUUACAUUAGAGAAUUUUAUUUUAGCUAAAAUUUUCUUAGCAAACAUAAAAAUAAAAAAAUCAAAGCUUGCUGUCAUACAUUUUUAUGUAUUAUUAUUAUUGGUAUUUAUAUAGCUUUACAAUAAAAGUGUAUGCAUAGAAUUGGCCAAGCAGAUAUAUAUUAUAUAUAUUAUUGUUGUUGUUUCUUUUGCUUUUUAAUAUUGCCAGGGGCACAAAUGCACACUGACAUGAUACAAGCAAGCAUUUUUUGAAAAUAUUUUGCACAUUGAAUCUCUGAAUUACUUUAACACUACAGUUUGCGUGUUUGUGCCGAUGCAUUCAUAUGUAAACAAUAAAGUAAAACAACAUUUUCUUUAUGUCAAUACAUUGCCAGCAAAUUGUUCUCCAUCAUUUUUUAUGCAUCACAAAUGUAAAUCUUUAAAUGCAAAUUGAUCAGUAAAUAAGUACAAGUGUGCUACUUUUAGUUCAGGGCUAUUACUCUCUCCCUCGUGAGGAUACUUAAAAAGUUGAUUUAAUAUUUGUUGCUAGCAGUGUUUACAAUGUGUCUAAGCAUGUAAAUAAGCAUAGAGAGAACAUGUCAUCUCCAAAUAUAUCUCAAUCUGAGCAUUCCAACAAACACCUACAGUUUGGUAUGCUGACCCCGACCAGCUGCCAUAGUAACAGUUAGCAGGCAAAUUGCAAAAUACCAUGCACUUUUAUCCGUUUUGUGACAUUUCUAAAAAUAGCACUGCUCAUAAUAUAGUGGAUCUGCAGAUGAGAAAACAUUUUUUUAUUUCUUUCAGAAAAAUCUCUGAGAGAUCUGAAAUCCCGAUACGCAAUCCGCACCGUUAAGGCUUAUUCAGUAUAUCAAAACAUAAGGACAUGUUGACAAUUGUGGGGGAGGUUGUAAUAUUUAACCUAAUCCACUGAAUGAGUACUGUUUAAUUAAAUAAUAGCAGUAAAAAUAAUUGUUUGCUCAACAUGAUCAGCGCUGACACAUUGUAAUUUGUACAUCAUUUCAACACAUCAUUUUUUGUAUAACAAUGUUUACUAACAGAGUACCGUUUUUAAAUUUUUUUUAAGUAUUAAUUUACUCUGUCAGUUAUCUUUUUAUUGCAAAAUAUUCAAUCUAGAAUGACGUUAUAUUUUUAUGAUAUGGAUGAAGAUGAUUUUACAAAAGAAUGGGCAAAAGAAGGCAAAAUUCAGAGAAAUAAGUAAUUAAAGCUGAUAAUUAUGUUUAUCAAUGCACAAUAAAGAUAAACCAGUCAAUUUUAACAUUGGGCCAAUGAGAUACCUUCCUAAAGCAAUCUAGAAUAACAAAAGGAAGGCUUAGAUUGAGUUAGCUAGCACGAGCACAUUGACAGUGAAGGUAGGUGUGAAUAAUUUACAGCAAUGCUACAUUCACAAGCUGAAUUUUCAGAAGGAAUGUUAAACACAUUAAAAGACAUAUGUUUAGAGAGUAUUGAUUUUUUUUAGAGAUGAUUAUGAUUAGACAGGCAAGGUUGAAAAAAAUAAGGCAUGCUGGGAGCUGUAGAAGUUCAUAUAAACAUAGCAUGGCUAUGACGCUGGAAAUGAACAGAAAUUACCAGGGCCAGACUGGGGCAAAAAAUAAGCCUGUGGUGUUUUAAAGAAGAGCACCCUUUAAAGGUUCAGGUAUCAAGGGUUAGGGCUCUGAGAAUUAAGGUGAGGGAUUUUAGGAAAAUGAUGGUUAAAGGGUUAUGAUUGGGAGAAUUAGGGUUAAGAGAAUUAGGAGAAUUUGGAUUAGGGUAGUUAGGUUUAGAUGAAUUAAGGCUAGGGUAAUUCAAUUAUAAACAUGAGAAGUAGAUUUAGGGUAAUUUAUUUUACAAUUAGUAGAAUUAGAGAUAAGAGGCUUAGUAUUAGGAGAAUUAACCCCAAUGUACUCAUUACACCCUUACCUGUGCAAGGAACACAAUCUGUUAUUGUGUUUAGAGUGCCCCUUUGAGCACAAUUGCACAUUCCUUAUACUGUGAACUUGUGUGUGCAUGUAUACAGUGUAGAUGCAUGUUUGUACUUGUGUGUGUUUAUGAUAUAAGUGAGAAUGCAUGUGUACAUUUGUUUAUAUAACAUAAAUGUGAAUUGUGUGUGUGGGAUCAGUAUGUGUGCAUGCUGGGGAGUACAUGAGCAAGUAUGUGAAAAUACAGCAUGGUAUCUUUUUCUGUGGCCAGUAUUUGUAAAUUUUGGGUGUAUUUGAGUACCGUAGCAGUAUUUUAUUGCAGCAGUGUAUCUGAGUGAUGGAUAAGUGUGUGCGUGCACACAUUUUGUGUAUGGUGUGAAUGUUGCUUUGCAUAUUAGUGUUGUAAGUAUGUGUCUUUUUUCACUUUAUCAUUCGGCUUUUCUCCAUUCUUUAGCGUCUUUCUCUUCAUUUUCUAUAAUUAUAUCUGUUGACAUCCACGUCUCUCCCAAUCCCCCCUCCCUAUCUUCUCUCUCUCCCUGGUCUCCUAUUUCCCUUCAUCCUAUCCUACUUACUUAGAUGUAAGGCUAAUGCAGCUAGACUGGAGGAAUGAUGGUACCUAUCACUCAAAAUAGAAAAUGCAGAGAAUAGUAAUCCAUGCAGUACAUCCAAUUAUUCUGUCUUGUGUCCUUCCUUACGGUAGAAUACACUAGAAAAGAAAAUGAAUAGCAUAUUCCAUGUUGCACUUAUUAGACAGACAUCGCCCGCUAUGUGUUCCGUCCCUGGAAUCUGAUAUAUGUGCAAUCUUCCACUGUAAUAGGAACCAUGGUCCUGUCUUGCUGGGUAACAAGUUGUAGUCCAGCUUGAGGAACCUGCCCAGCUAGCGCACUUGCAUAACCUUCCUGAUAUUUCCUUGAUACAGUGAGAUAACAUGUUUUACAGUGACAAUGUGACAAUGUAUCACACAGUUUAACACUGUGCUUGGAUGGUACCUGUAAGUAAUAGAUCAGAGUUUUGUGGGUGCAGAAAUCGUUUAUUAGAAUUCUGUAAAAGGCCUGUUUUAUGAAUACAAGGUUAAUAUUCUGCACUGCUCGCUAUGUAUAUUUUGCACUUUUAUUGAUAUUGGGAUAUUUGUAUAGUAAAAAAUAUAAAGGCAAUUGAGUAUAGCCAUAUUAAGUAUAUUUGCAACUUGCUGCUGUUUGUUUUGUGCUUUUAAGGGCUGCAUGGUGUUUAAAGGGACACUUUAGUCACCAGAACAACCACAGCUUAUUAGACUUUUUUGCAGUAAACACUGUUUUGUCAGAGAAAAGGCAGUGUUUACAUUACAGCUUAGGCAUACCUCCAGUGGCCACUUCUCAUAUGGCUACUAGAGGUGCUACCUUCUGCAAGGAGACACUGAACUUUCCUCAUAGAGAUGCAUCGAUUGGCCAUGGCUGUGUUUGACUUGUGCUCGCUCUGCCCCUGAUCUGCCUUCUUGACAGUCUCAGUCAAUCCAAUGCUUUCCUACGUGACAGCAUUGUGAUUGGCUCAGAUCACCACUUCUGAUUAUGUCAGCCAAGCAGGAAUCAGGAAUAAUGCCAGCAGCAGCAGACUGGAAAAUAAGUAAGAUUUUACUAUAUUUAGGAGGGCAAGGGGUGACGAGGGGGGCUAGAUGGUGUUUUUAACAGUAUAGGUUCAGGAAUACAUGUUUGUGUUCCUGACCCUUUGGUGUUUCUUUAACAAUACAAAGUGGCCCUAGCUUUAGAUGUGUAGUCAGUUUCUAAUGGAAGCAAAUAAGAAAUUAAAAAAUACCCAGGAUAUGUCUAAUGCUGUGUGGAAGAAAGCAGCAGUAUGUUCUGUGUGUUUUUUUUUUUUUUAUCUAUAUAAAAAGUCCUUGACUCGUGUGCAAAGAUAUAACAUUAAAUUCUGUUAUCUGGAUGGUCUUUUGGUACGGAGAGCUGUCUCUGGUACAGACAGAAUAAUUAUAUAAUGAUUAAAACUGUAUCACUGGAGCUUUGAGACUCUUUCAUUGUUUAUAUUUUAUAGUUGCUUCUUUCUUUUUCUCCUGCAUUUACGCGAGGAGUUCAGGACAUCUGACAUGGUCAGGGAUAAACUAGUUAACAUUUUCUGACUUUUUUUUAUUAUCUUAUCAGUCAUUCGAGGGGCACGCAAGGGGCACUCGGUAGUUCUCAAUACCCAAUGGAUCUUUUAGCCAGCAGGCAUGUAUUAAUUAUCAGAGACACCAAAGAGGUCUGAUUGAAGUGCAGUUACAGAAGAUGGUCUACACAGCAAAACAAGUUGCCAAGUAUGAUGAGCCUCUAGUUUGGGGCAGUUGCAAGCAGAAAAAUCUGCAUAUAUAUACUAAGAUAGAUAUCCAGACUAUGUAUGUUAGUGCUAGUACAUCAUGACUAUCAUAACACAUGGAACAGGAUCCAGAAUGUACACCUGGGAGAAUGACUUUAGAUAAAAAUUGCUGUUACUGACAGGGCACAAGGGUAACACGCGCCAGGCAGGAAUAGAAUGUGCUUCAUGAGGUAUCAGGUGCUGACUAUGCUAAUUAGUACCUUCCCCAGCCAACAGGCAGACGUCCAAAGAUAAUCUACCUAGGUGCGAAAGGCUGACAGUGACAGGUUAACUGACUACAUAGCCAACCAAGCAAAACGUAAAGGAGAAUCAGAACUCUGAAAUAUAAGUCUUAGAACCCUGUAAAAACAUAAUCUGUGAUAUGCCAACGUGUGCAAACCAGUUGCAUAUGCUAUAUAAUGCUGCUGCGGAUACUAGAAAUAAAUGUCAAUGAAUCUCUGUGAUUAAACUAUAUAUAUUUAUGAAAAACUGAAAAAUGACCAUUCCAGGCAAAGCCAGCAGAAAUAUUACAGAUACAAAGGAGAAAAGGAAACAGUUUAAUUUCUCACCUGCAAAGUACAGAGCUUAUAACAAUGAUUUGCAGUGGAGGCAUCCAGGUGCAGGAUAAAGAGGUAUGGUGUUUUACACUUAAUUUUAUUUUUCACACCUCAUGAAUGAUUAUUAGUUAAAUAAGGUGAUAAGUAAAAAUAAUAUUAAAUAUCCUGGGAAGUGAGAGUUACUUUUUAAAAUGAACCUUAUUUGAAUUAGAUAGUAGCAAAGCCUAUACAUAAAUCCUGGUUGAGAAUGAGAGGAAUCUCAAUAUAUCUUUUCUGGUUAUGUUGUUAUUUUAAUCAUUUGGAGAUAUUGAAAUAUGUAAGCAAAUGUUGUCUGCAAUGUGAAUCAUUGCUAUUUUUGCUACAAUAUGUCUGCUUUUUGCAGGCAGCUGACACACUUAGUCGGAGCUAGGCAUUUCUCAUCACUGAAUGUGUUUUGAAUUCUAUCCGCUUUCUGAUUGGCCGAAAAGACAAUAUAGAACAUAAGUUGUGAUUUUAAAUGUGUCAGACUCUCUUUACUCCUCCGAAAAUCUCUUUACAAUUUGCUGCUGCAAAGCUUAUGGCAUCGGGAACAGGGACAACUUUUCAUUAUAUAUACACUGCUCAAAAAAAAUUAAGGGAACACCUAAACAACACCAUGUAACUCCAAUUCAAUCACACUUCUGUGAAAUCAAACUGUCCACUUAGGAAGCAACACUGAGUGACAAUCAAUUUCACAUACUGUUGUGCAAAUGGGAUAGACAACAGGUGGAAAUUAUAGGCAAUUAGCAAGACACCCCCAAUAAAGGAGUGGUUCUGCAGAUGGUGACCACAGACCACUUCUCAGUUCAUAUGCUUCCUGGCUGAUGUUUUGGUCACUUUUGAAUGCUGGCGGUGCUUUCACUCUAGUGGUAGCAUGAGACGGAGUCUACAACCCACACAAGUGGCUCAGGUAGUUCAGCUCAUCCAGGAUGGGACAUCAAUGUGAGCUGUGGCAAGUAGGUUUGCUGUGUCUGUCAGCGUAGUGUCCAGAGCAUGGAGGCGCUACCAGGAGACAGGCCAGUACAUCAGGAAACGUAGAGGAGGCCGUAGGAGGGCAACAACCCAGCAGCAGGACUGCUACCUCCGCCUUGUGUAAGGAGGAACAGAAGGAGCACUGCCUGAGCCCUGCAAAAUGACCUUCAGCAGGCCACAAAUGUGCAUGUGUCUGCUCAAACGGUCAGAAACAGACUCCAUGAGGGUGGUAUGAGGGCCCGAUGUCCACAGGUGGGGGUUGUGCUUACAGCCGAACACCGUGCAGGACAUUUGGUGUUUGCCAGAGAACACCAAGAUUGUCAAAUUCGCCACAGAGUCUGGAGACGCCGUGGAGAACGUUCUGCUGCCUGCAACAUCCUCCAGCAUGACCGGUUUGGCAGUGGGUCAGUAAUGGUGUGGGGUGGCAUUUCUUUGGGGGGCCGCACAGCCCUCCAUGUGCUCGCCAGAGGUAGCCUGACUGCCAUUAGGUACCGAGAUGAGAUCCUCAGACCCCUUGUGAGACCAUAUGCUGGUGCGGUUGGCUCUGGGUUCCUCCUAAUGCAAGACAAUGCUAGACUUCAUGUGGCUGGAGUGUUUCAGCAGUUCCUGCAAGGUGAAGGCAUUGAUGCUAUGGACUGGCCCGCCCCUUCCCCAGACCUGAAUCCAAUUGAGCACAUCUGGGACAUCAUGUCUCGCUCCGUCCACCAACGUCACGUUGCAACACAGACUGUCCAGGAGUUGGCAGAUGAUUUAGUCCAGGUCUGGGAGGAGAUCCCUCAGGAGACCAUCCGCCACCUCAUCAGGAGCAUGCACGGGUGUUGUAGGGAGGUCAUACAGGCAUGUAGAGGCCACACACACUACAGAGCCUCAUUUUGACUUGUUAUAAGGACAUUACAUCAAAGUUGGAUCAGACUGUAGUGUGUUUUUCCACUUUAAUUUUGAGUGUGACUCCAAAUCCAGACCUCCAUGGGUUGAAAAAUUUGAUUUCCAUUUUUUUAUUUUUGUGUGAUUUUGUUGUCAGCACAUUCAACUAUGUAAAGAACAAAGUAUUUCAGAAGAAUAUUUAAUUCAUUCAGAUCUAGGAUGUGCUAUUUUUGUGUUCCCUUUAUUUUUUUGAGCAGUAUAUAUAAGUUGUUAGUAUGCUCUUUGUACUAUUUUACUACAAGGGCACGAGACUCACCCCUAUAUAUUCCUAUAUUUAAUAAUUUAGUGUAAUCUUUCAUACUGUUAACGUUUUGGCAUUGGCAUAUAUUAAUAGUAGAUCUUUUACCUGAAAAUAAAUUAUUUAAUCAAUAUAGCACAGAAAUGUGUAUUAUAUACUUUAUUAAUAUAUAUUUUUAAAAUUAGCACAGACAUUUUACAAAAUGACAAAGAGAUCUGCAAAUCCAAUUCCUGUUGAUUCAUUAGUAAUUUCAACAUGUGUAUGUUCUCUUUCUGAUUGAUUGGGGAUUAUUAUUUUUUUUAUAUUUGUAAUAUUUUAGUACUGGUGAAGGAAUUAGGAUAUAAUUGGUUGCUUACUGUAGCAGGUAUCAUGACGUGCUAUUACAUCUAUGUAUUAAAACUGCUCAAUCAUUUAAAUAUAAAUGUAUAAUAUAACAUACUGUUUAUUUUGAUUUAGUGAUUAAUAUGUCAUCUUUUAAGGUGCCAGGUUUUCCUUAAAGGGACACUUAACUUCCUAAAAACAAAAUAAACAAAAAUCACUGUUUAGUAGAUAUACUCCAAAUGAAUAUGUGCAUACAUUUAAUAAUGCAUUUUUUCAUUGUAGUAUAUUUGAAAACAACUAGCAAAAACUACAGACCUCUUGUCUGCUGCCUUUGGAAGCCAUCCCCUUCUAACCCUGCCCAGACUUUUUGUGGCUGUCCAAUCACAGACUUCCCAAUGCAGUUCAAUGUGAAAUGUUUGCAAGGCAGGUAUUCUGAGCAAUUGCUGCCUCUUGAGUUCCAUGCUAAUAAGCUAACCAAUCCAGGAAGUAACAUGGCCUGUUUUCUGCUUGAGAAAAAAAAAAACAGGGGGUGUAACCAAGUAUAAUUUAUAAAAGUGUCAAUUUAUAUUGAAAUGUACACUGUUUCCAAUAAAAUGAUACAUACUCUUCAUGCAUAAAGCUUUUUAGCAAGCUAACGUGAUUUAGGUGUCUGGAGUGUUCCUUUAAACUGUUCUGAAUACAAAAUUUUGAAUUUGCCCAUUAAAUUAAUUCGUUUUUGGCUUCUUUAACCUGAAGUUUUUUUUCUUGCAGAAAUGUAUCCUCUUUGCAAGUACCAUACUGUAAAAAUUCCUCGUUUAGUAGUUCAACCCAGAGGCAUGUGCGAUCACCAGUGGUCCCAGUACGACCAACGUCAUGGAGUGGCUGAGCAGAUAGAACUAACAAG
This 125773-nucleotide long non-coding RNA is filed under the name Pelobates cultripes (western spadefoot toad). Lineage: Eukaryota; Metazoa; Chordata; Amphibia; Anura; Pelobatidae. The record is from RNAcentral.